UUUUUUUUUCACAACAUGGAAAGCCAUUUCUUGAGAGCAGCAGCCUUUGGUUUGGUUUUGGCUUUUGCGUUUGUGAUUGGAGGAAAUUAUGCACAAGAGCCAACUACAAUUGUUCCAGCAAUCAUGACGUUUGGAGACUCUGCAGUUGAUGUGGGCAACAAUGACUACCUCCCUACCAUUUUCAAGGCUAAUUACCCUCCGGAAGGGACUUUGUGAACCAUCAGCCUACUGGGACGUUUUGUAAUGGCAAUCUGGCCACUGACAUCACUGGUAAGUUUAAAAUUUAGCUUCCAACAAAAGUGCUUUUGUUAUUAACAAUAUUAAACAGGAAUUAAUUGCUUCUUAAUUAGCAUAAUGGGCAACUUAAUGUUGAUCUGCAUAAGAUUUAGUUAAAAGAACUGAAAUUUUAAAUUGUUAGUGAAAUUAAUGACUGUUUUUUUGCAUAGCCAGUUCAAGUGGGGAACAUGAUUAGUUUACUUAUGUAGCUUAACUGUUUUGCUGCUAUUUUCUUUAUGCAGCUCAGAAUUUAAGUGCUUUGGAUUAAUAAUAAGGUCACUUUAGCUGCAUUUGGGAUUAAUUUCUGUUAGAGGGAGCAUGUUAACUGAUGAUAUGAUAUGGUACUUGAUGUGUUAAGUAACAGUUGUCGAUACUCGGUAGUAAUUGAUACAUGAUUUGAUGUAAUAAGUACGCAUCAACUUUAAAUGAGCUCCAAAUAGCGUCACCUCAUUACGAAGAAAUUUUUUAUUGUGACCAGAAUACAAGUCGUACACCAAAUCUCUGCUCAUUAGGAGUGAUAUGCACGCACCCCAUAGCAUUUACAACACCAUAUCUCGCCUCAUUUACAGGAAUUUCCCAACGUUGGACAUCCCCAAAAUCACGAAAUGAAGAUGGAGACCUCGAUUGAUACGGAAUCAGCGCCCUAACGUCCAUUGACUCUUCCUCCAUUAUUGCCUCCUAAUUCAAAUCUGGAAUCACAGGUCCUCGAUUUUCAAAUGUCUUAGCAUAAAUAAGCCUUAAUUUCUUUACCUUCCAGUUAUAGAGUUAGACUCUGAAAGGCAAUUCUCGUGAUUGGCUCAAAAAAAAUUCUGAGCAUUUUUUCUCACCACCAUAAACUAUAUAGUGUAUGCUCAUCAUAUACCUCGUCAUUUGUUACAUGUUUUCAUCUAACUCUCGUUAGCUUUCACAUUAAAUAUUACUUUUUAAAUUUUGAAAAAAUUAAUCAAAAUUAAGUAAAAAAACACGUGAUAAAUAAUGAUGUGUAUGAUGAGCACGUAGUUAGAAAAGUGAUGAUAUACUUCGGAACAUCGUAUCCGAAACGACUUCCCAUAUCUAUUUUUAUGAAGACAACUUUCCAGAACAGUUUUGAUUGGAUACAGAGCCUAUCACAUUCUCUAAUCAACCACACAUCAUUUCUAAGGCGACUGUACAUGUCACAUAUAUAAAAUGAGAUGCUACGGAACCAAUGUCUUGUGUCCCAAGAUGUCGCGGACAAUGAAGCAACUCUUCCUCUUGGUGGUUUCGCUCUUAAUAUUUUGCUCCUAGUUCAUGCCCAAGAUCAAUCAGGUAUGAAUUCUAAAUACAAAAUUAUAAAAAAGUUAAGGAUUUUUAUCGCAAAUGAUCUUUGAAAUUGACCUACUCCAUUAAGAUGAUUCUUGAAAUUGAAAAUCGAUCAAUGUAGUUCCUGAAAAUAAAUGUCACAAAUCAAUGUGAUCCUUCCUUUACAAUUUCAUAAAAAUUUAUGUUAUUUGCUGAUGUGGUAAAUAACUCGAUCCCACAAAUAAAAAAUAUGGCCAUGUGAAUUAAAAAUAUUUAAAUAAUAAAAAUCAAUUUUUAUUUCUAUAAUUAAAAAGGGAAUUUUGCACAAAUAUCAUCUGAACUUGAAAGCAUGUGCACAAAUACCACCUAAACUUUCAAUUGUGUAUUUUUACCACCUAUACUUUAUUAAUUGUUGGAAUCUACCAUCUACCAUUACUUUCCAUCCACUUGGCCGUUAAAGCAUGUCACUUGUGGAGGUACUUUCAUCAAUUAACUUCAUAGGGCUGAAGAAUAAAAUAGCUCCUAAAUAAAAUUGUCCAAGUCAACAACAUGACGCCAAAAUUGGACGCAUAAGUCAAACCCCCAAUUUUGUAAAAAUUACUAGAUUUUUGCCUAAAUUCAAGUAUGCUAUAGUUAUGAUUGCAUAGCCCUAAAACAUUUUAAUGGCAAUCCAACUGAUGAACAACAUCAGGCCUCCAACUAGUUUUGCAUGCCGCCAAAACACCAAAUAGUCAUCAUUUUCUCACCACACCAAUUAUUUUAUACUCUAUAAGGAAAGCAGCAACCAUAAUUUUGGUUCACAGGUCCCUAAUCUGCACAAUUGGAGGCCUGAUGUUGUUCAUCAGUUGGCUUGCCAUUAAAAUGUUUUAGGACUAUGCAAUCAUAACUAUAUCAUAUAGAGAAAUUAUAUUUACACAUCCCAAAUUACUUCUCCCACACCUUUUGACUUUUUUAAUAUUUUCUACACACCACUAACAUUAAAAAAUUAAAAGGUGUGGGAGAAAUAAUUUGGGGUGUGUGAAUAUAAUCUCCCUAGCAUAUAUACUCAACGAAUUUAAGCAAAAAAACAGUAAUUUUUACCAAGUUGGGGGUUUGACUUAUACGUCCAAUUUUGGCACUUGACUUGGACAAUUUCAUUUAGGAGCUUUUAUACUAACCAGCCUUAUGGAGUUAAUUGAUGAAAAUACCCCCACAAGUGACAUACUUUAAUUGUAGAAUGGAUGAAAAGUAACUGUAGGUGGUAGAUUCCAACAAUUAAUAAAAUUCAAGUGGUAAAAAUACACAAUUGAAAGUUCAUGUGGUAUUUGCGCACAUGCUUUCAAGUUCAAGCAGUAUUUGUGCAAAAUUCCCAAUUAAAAACUAAAAAAAAAUUUAAAUAAAAAUAAUGAGGGGAAGAGAAAUAUGAACCGUUGUUCAUCUUUCCUCUUUGACUCCCCUUCCCGUUGAUCUGCUACAGUGACCCUGUCCCUCUUCUCCAUCAUCGAUCUGCUCUAACAUAAACGUUCUUCCAAUAGAUUUGUAAGUAUUUGUGUUUGAACUCAAAAUAUACCCAUUUUUACUUAUUUGGGCAAUUUGGAUAAAAUAUGGCAUUUGGAGGAUUAAUAUGCAAGCAAGCUAACUUGGAAAGAUAUUUAGAUGCAAGUGGAGGGGUUUGACACUAUAAUAUUGUUCUUCCAAUUUGUUUUGGUGGUGGAGAUUUGUCAAGCUUUGUUUAAUCAAGAUACAUGCAUCCUUGCAAAUAGGUUGGAAGGCAACAUACGGGUGUGGAUGCAAAGAACAUGUGAAAGAAGCCAACUUGCUUCUUUUAAUUGUUAGUUUAUUACAAGUGGGAAAACAUGUGAUGAAAGUAUGUGGUGGAAAUGCUAGUUCCCCUUUUAAUAUUAUUUCUCCAUGUAAGUUGGCAAAAGCAAUACAAACUGCCCAAGAUUUUUUCGGGCAAGUACAAAAACCUCAGCACAGGGUUUCCUCCAGACCUCUAUAUAAAGGAGCAGAUGCACAAGGAUUAAAGACACUCAAAACAACCAAUCAAAACUCUACUCAAAUUAGCUCAUCAGCUUCCUUGUAGACAUUUAUUUUUAGCCAAACAUCCUUUGCUUUUCUUGUUUAUUAGCUCUGCUACUCACUUGUAGUAUCGAUCUGAUUUGUAGCUUUUAUGCAUUCAUUUCCAGUCAUAUAAAUUACAAGCAAUCUGCAAUAUUAGUCACUUUCCUCUGUCAUUUAUAUUUCCAAGCAACCUUGUCAUUUACAUAUUGUUCUAUCUCUCCAUAUAAGUAAAGUCCUUAUUUUUAAGGCAAACAAAGAACCUUGAUUUGAGCAACUCCCACUCAAAUGGCACAAUCUCUUGAUUUGAAGUCAAAAGGCGCAACCUCAAUCAUUCAAAUCCCGUCUACUAGCGGCAUCUAGUAGUGGCACGCCCGCACCCACCAAUCUCGUAUGUGAAGUAAAUCCCCGGCUUGCCCACAAGGCCUAUGGCGGAUUUAGGGAGCAAACAUAUUUUGGCACGCUUGGUGGGACCCUUUAUAUAGAGUUAGAUUAUGAACAAUCCUUAUGUUCAUGAUUUUUCUCAAUAUGCUUUUUCGGAGUAUGAGGAGGAUGACAGUGUUGAAGAGCGCCCAAGCUAUGGCUAUCACAUAGAGCUAACCUAUGAGUUGCCAACUUAUGGGUACAUAGCUGAAGAGUACUCAAGUCCCAUGGAACAUGAUUGUCGGCCAACUAAUGGCCAUCAAAUAAAUAAUAAUCUUGAAGAUUGGCCAACUUAUGGCUAUGAUGAAGGUUAUUGUUCUUUUGAAAACAAUUGCAUUCAUGAAUACUAUGAUAGGCCAACAAAUGACUUUGAGUAUCAAAAUGCUUCCAAUGAGUACAUAGAGCCAAUAUAUGAGAUGCCAACUCAUGAUCAUCCGGAUGAAAAGCUCUACAAAGAGGAUGUGGGCAAUUAGAGAAGGUGUCCAAACUCCAUGUGGCAAGCAUCGAAUAUGGUAAAGAGGUGACUAAGUGUUUUAAAAGGGUGGAGGAAAGCUAUACAACUUUUGGAGAAACUUUGAGAAAGUUGAUAGAUCAAAUGUGUCAAAUCCCCUCUACAAAGCACACUUACUCUAAUACAACCAAGGAAGAACAGAUCAUACACAUUGAUGAAGGCCAAACAAUGGCCCCACCAAAUGAAAAAUCUAUGAAAAUAGAUAUGGUUAAGAAGACCAAGCCGACAUAUCGAAACCGAUAACGGCUAAGAUGGAGCUUGUGGCUAUUGUAGGCCAAACACCAACGCUCGGGGGGGCACGAGCCCACACUUCAUGUGGAGCCCGAAGAAGAAGAAAAUAGCUCUUAUUCUUCCCCGCCAACACGAGCAUGUUGUCCGCAUCAAGAUCUCAAGGAGGACAAAGCUUGGGAUCAAACAUGAAUGGCCACCUCCUAUGGUUCCUAAGCUAUAUGGCAUGGCCAAUUUAAAUGGUGGGUAUGAUCUCUCUACACUCAAUUUUAAAAAGAGAAAAAGAUUUGAGUGUUGAGAGAAAAAUAACACUUGAGCAGCCAAGGGGCUUCGGGCUAGUUUGGUAUUGCUGUGCUUUGAAAAAAAAGCUGCUGUGAGAAUAAGCGGCUGUGCUGUGAGAAUAAGCGGCUGUGAAAUAAAGCCAGUAGAGUGUUUGGUAAACUUUUUUGUGAAAGUGCUUUUGGAAAAAAAAGCAGGAUGAUAGUGUGUCUUUUCAUUAAAGGAGCACUGUAGCUCCGUGUGCUUUGAAAAAACUGGCUUUUUUUCAAAGCAGCAAAUAACAGCUUCAGCUUUUCCUUUGAUUUUCAGCUUAUUCUCACAGCAGCUUUCAAAAUAAGCCUUUUUUUUCAGUUUACCAAACACAAAAAUAACCCUCAGCUUUUUUUCACAGCAGCUUUUUUUAAAAUCAUCUCAAUCCCAAACGGGGCCUUCAUCCAAUUUGCCCGAAUGACUUUCUUUUGUGUUAUUCUUUUGUGCAUUUUCUCCUGUACCCUUCUCCUCCUUUUCCUUUUCUUUCCUUUUCUUUUUUUUUUCUUUCUUUCUUUCUUCCUUUCUUUUCCUUCCUUCCUCUUUUUCUCUCUCUGUCUUAUCUUGUCUUUUCAUUUUGCCCGAAAGGGCUAUAUAUAUAUAUAUAUGGUAUUAUAGUAUUUUAUAAUAGUUUUGCCCGAAAGGGCUAUAUAUAUAGUAUUAUAUAAUAUAUGUUAGAUUUUAUAAAAGUAUUGCCCAAAAGGGCUUUUUAUAUAUAUGUAUAUAUAUUAUAUUAUAUUAUAUAUUAUAAUAUUUAAGUAAAUAAAAGAGGAAAAGAUAAAAAUAGGGUUGCUUUUUUCAAUUUGCCCGAAAGGGUCUUCCUCUCUCUUUUGUCGCUUUUGUUUUGCUCGAAAGGUGCCUUUUUCCCCUUACUUUUAAUUUUUUUAUUAUUUCUUUCUCUCUCCUUCUUUUCUUCUCUUUCUUCUUUCUUUCUCCUUCUCUUUUCUCCUUCUCUUUCUUCCUGUCUCUCCCUCAAUUUUUAUCUGCCAAAAAGUUAAUAUAUAUAUAUAUAUAUAUAUAGUAUUGCCCGAAAGGGCUUUUUAUAUUAUAUAUAUGUAAUUGUUUUGCCCGAAAGGGCUAAUAUUCUAUAUAUAUAUACACACACACACAUAUGUAUAUGUAAUGAAUUAUAUUAUAUUAUAUCAUAUGAAAAGAGGCAAAAAGAAAAAGAAGAAUAAAAAGGGUAGUUGCCCAAAGUUUCUCUCUUCUCCAUCUGUUUCUAUGUUCUUCAGUUUGCCCGACUUCGGGCAUUUGUCCAGUUUAUUAUCUAUGUAACCAGUGAGGUUGCUCCCAUGUUUUUUGGUAUCCACAAGAAGGAAUACAAGCCAAACAGAAACAUUUUUUCCAAUGCUAGUUGCACUACCAAUUGCCUCGCUCCUCUUGCCAAAGUUUAUCAACGACAGAAGAACCAAAGAGGUAGACGUGCCUCUUUCUUCGACAUUAAUCCUGGCAGCAUUGGGGUUGUAAGUUUCACAAACUUUGCUCAAAUUUGUAAAACUUGGGGGGCACUGUUUGCACUCAAAAUAUACCCAUUUUUACUUAUUUGGGCAAUUUGGGUAAAAUAUGGCAUUUGGAGGAUUAAUAUGCAAGAAAGCUAACUUGGAAAGAUAUUUGGCUGCAAAUAGAUGGGUUUGGCACUAUAAUAUUGUUUUCCCAUUUGUUUGGAUGGUGGAGGUUUGUCAAGCCUUUGUUUAAUCAAGAUACAUGCAUGUAUUGCAAGUGGAUGGGAGAGCUUUCGGAUAAGGAACAAAUUAAAGAAGCUCAAAAGGCGCAACCUUAAUCAUUCAAAUCCCGUCUACUAGAGGCAUCUAGUAGUGACACGCCCACACCCACCAAUCUCGUAUGUGAAGUAAAUCCCUCCGUAAGGCCCAUGGCGGAUUUAGGGAGCGAACAAUUUGAAUUAUCAGAUGAAGCUCGCAGCUCCUCCAUGAUUAGAAAAGCGCGCUUCUUUUCCCCUUCCUUGUUCUGCACGUGCGUCUGUACAUGCUUCAAUUUCGCAGUGAGCUCAAUCAUGCGGUCUUGAAUCUCCAAGAACGCAGCUCUAUUGGCUUCGUCAACCAUUUUUUCCAAGAUUGAAUCUUUUUGAGUUAUUGGCCUCAAUUCUGGAAGAAGAGGUGGCCGGGAAACAAAAUCUAGGUCCCAUGCACUCCCAUUGGCCAUGAAAACGGAAAAGCGUAGGACAAAGACCCAUGAGACCUACCCCUUAAUUAUCCCCACAAAAAUCCGAAAAAUAGUUGAAAAAACAAAUUAUGGGUGGGGAAGAAGAAUAUGAACAGUACUGUUCUUUUUCUGUUUUUUUUUUUAAGUUUUAAUUAUACAAAUAAAAAAAGUUUAUUAUUUAAAUAUUUUUAAUUAACAUGGCAAUAUUUAAUUGAUUUGUGAGACUCAAUUAUAUGUCACAUCAACAUAUAAAAGAAUUUUUGAUGGAAUUGUUACAGAAUGAACGCAUUGAUUUAUGACAUUUAUUUUCAGGACUACAUUAAUCGAUUUUCAAUUUUCAUGGACUAUCUUGAUUAAUUUCUGAGACCAUUUGUGAUCAAAGUUAAUAAACAAUGAAGAACUCUUUUCUUAUAUUUAUAAUAUAUCUGUGCCAGGCUUCAUUAGCAUAGAUUGUGGCCUACGGGAAGAUUCCAGGUAUAAUGAUAGUCCGUCAGGCAUUACCUAUAUUUCAGAUGAAAAUUUCGUAGCCACUGGUGAACGGAAGUCGGUGAUGCCUGAAUACAUAAACAUGUAUUUCCAGUCGUACAACUCUCUUAGAAGCUUCCCUGAAGGAAUCCGAAACUGCUACAAAAUAAAUGUUACAAGUAAAACCAAGUAUUUGAUCAGGGCAAGUUUUUUUUAUGGGAAUUAUGAUGAACAAAAUGAAGUACCCGAAUUUGAGAUACAUCUUGGACCUCACUUGUGGGAUACAGUGAACUGGUUGAGGAAUUCGUUGGAAGCAGGAUCUAUCGAGCUCAUACAUGUCCCUCUGCGAAACUAUGUACAUGUUUGUCUGGUGAAGACUUGCUCCGGGGUUCCAUUUAUAUCGGCUUUAGAGCUCAGGCCUUUAACCGAUGCCUCGUACAAAACAGUAAACGGGUCCUUAUCACUUCUCAUGCGGUAUGACACUGGUCUAACAGGUGACCUUUGGGCAUACAGGUGACCUUAUAACUUCUCACAAAAUGACUCAGUGUUAAUAGUUGUAGAACCAUUUAUAAGUAGCAAUUCAUAUUCUGUCAAGUUUUCGAGGUAGAAUAUUUAACAUUCAUCAACAUUGUAUGCACUUAUUGAUGCAAUACCUUUAUUUGUAUAGGUAUCCAUAUGAUAUUCAUGAUCGAAUCUGGAAUUACUUUGCGAAGCACAGCCCUUGGACAAAUUUAAAUACCUCAUCAACCAUCAAUUCAAUAUUCGAGUAUCAACCACCAUCUGUCGUGAUGGGCACAGCUGCAACGCCAAAUAGUUCAAAUGAUUCAUUGAAUAUUUUCUGGGAGCCUUACAGUAGAGUACAUCAUGUUUACUUGCCCUUUGCAGAAGUUGAAAAGCUCCAACCCAACCAGUCUAGACAGCUCAACAUUACUACAAACGGAGAGCUGUGUUAUGGGACACUUGCUCCUGAUUAUUUGUCCACAACGACAAUAUUCUGUACUGCUGAAUCCUUGAGUUGAUCAGGAGUACCAAAUAAAUUGUCAAUUUUUUAAGACUGGAAACUCUACCCUUCCACCCAUCCUCAAUGCCAUCGAGGUUUAUAUGGUGAAAAAAUUCAAAAUGUCAGAUACCAACCAAGAAGAUGGUGAGUCAUAUUGUUUUCUUACACAAGCUUAAAUUCAUUGCUAUAUGUGAGUUUUUAUAAGAUCUUCUGUUUGCUUAUGAAAAUAUUAGUUGAGGCUAUCACAAACAUCAAGUCAACCUAUAAUAUUGAAAAGAACUGGCAAGGAGAUCCUUGUAACCCUCAAGUUUACUCAUGGGAUGGUCUAAACUGUAGCUAUCAUGGAAAUGAUCCCCCAAGAAUUAUAUCCUUGUAAGCAUAAAUAUCUUCACACCAAAUUGCAGAUUAAUUUUCAGUAAUAAUUUUAUUGAUGUUAUGGAUUUUGCAAUCAGGAACUUGUCUUCCAGUGGAUUAGAAGGGGAGAUUUCUCCUUCUCUGUCAAAUCUAACAAUGAUACAGACAUUGUAAGUGUAUCUAAAUAAUCUGUAAUUUUGUGUGAAAACAUAACUCAGUAAUAAUACGGCAAAUGAUCAAUUAUAACGAAAAAGAAAUGACACGAAUCAUUCUGGAAGAAUUUCAGUCAUCAUAAUCAGUAGUGUUAAAUGAAUUGAGCUGCUCAUUGCAGGGAUUUAUCAAACAACAACUUAAGAGGAUCAAUUCUAGAAACUUUGUCACAACUGCCGACGUUAAAUGUCUUGUAAGUUAUUUUGUUAUAUAUGUGUGUGUGUGUGUAUUUUGUUAUUGUCUUAUCGCUUAUUUACGCAUUUGAAACUCAAUACAAGUCUAGCACCAUGUAAUUGAAAUUGUGUCACUUAACUUCCUAAAACUCAACUUCCUUUUCACUUUCCCACAUGCUGUCAAAGUCUGUUAGAAAACCCAUUAAAAUUGGUGACAUGAAACAAAUAGGACCCAAAUUCAUAUUAACCUUUUUUAACAUUCCGAAUAACUACCCAACCGAUUGAAAAUGUCACAUUUGUUAAGUCCCAGUUAAUUUUUCCAUUAAAUAUACAUGUGGCCAUACUGGGUCCAAUCUAUUGAAAAUGUUAUAUCCGUCAAGCCCCAAUUAAUUUUUCCAUGAAUCCUAAUCUUGUUAUAUAUGUGUCCUCAUUUAGAAAGCAUGGUAUAACUAUAUAUGUACUGCUUAAUCUACCUUUGCAGAAAUUUGGAGAAUAACAACCUCACAGGCUCAAUUCCGAUGGUACUCAUUGACAGAUGGAAGGAUGGUUUACUAUCAUUAAGGUGCGCCACUUUUUUUUUUAUAGCAGAACGAGGAGAUUUGUUGAAGGAAAUAGAAAAAAUUGUUGAAUUGUAAUCUUGUCUUAACCCAAAGAUAAUGGAUCUAGCCGAUGCACAAAGAAAGAUCCAUGCAUAUGCUAGAGAAUUCUAGCAAAGUCCAAGUUGGUGGAAGAGUCUAGAAGAAUGAUGAGGAUUUCACCAACAUACAAGAUUAAUGUAAAUAAUUAUAGUAUAGGAAGGUAGUGGAAUUAUCUAAAUAUAUCUAGCAUGAUGUUUCCAUGCUUCUCCAAGGUUCCAUCCAUGCCUAUAAAAGGAGAAGGCAUCCGCACCAUUUGUACCAACUAAGAGAGCAAGAAGUGAGAAAAGAAUGAAGAAGUAUAAGAGUGUUUGAGUGUUUCCUCUUGUACUAGUUUGUCAAUGAAUAAAAAUUUUGUGUAAAAACUUUGAGUGUUCUUUCUUUCUCUUGCCUAUCAAUUUCGCUGCAUUACAUUCUUCUUUGUGAGAUAAACGUCUCCAAAGUAAAGAAGUCUUUUUAAGCCCCAACAAAAACUACAUAUUAAAAUAGAAAAAAUAAAUACCCGGACAGCAGUAAGUUAUAUACAAAAGUACUUUUUUUUGUUUGAACAAAAGUACUUUGAUGGCUUAAUUGUAGAGAGAGAGAGAGAGAGAGAGAGAGAGAGAGAGAGAGAGAGAGAGAGAGAGAAUAUAAAAAUAUAAACAUGUGCGUGGAUGAUUUUGAGCUCAGACCGACUAAAACAUAAUCCACCAGUCUUUUUUUUUUUUUUUUUAACUUCUUUCUUCCUAGAAAUUUAAAAUGAUGUGGCAUUCCUCAGAAACUUGAUUUUUAGAUAUAAGAACAUGUGUUACAAUUUUUAUUUGGGAAUUAUAUUAUCUUUUACCAUAAUUGAUUAAACAAUAGAAUAUCACUUUCGUAUGUCAGUUUGUGCGAAAAUCCAAACCUAUCCAGAAAUGUUUCUUGCAACAAGAAGAAGAACAGGAAGGGUAAUUUUUUUGUUCCGAUGGUAAUUGUUUCGGUUGGUGCACUAGUGUCAGUCCUCUUACUCAGUGCAGCAGCUAUCUGGUGUCCGGCUGCUUCUAAAAGGAAAAGGCAACUUGGUAAGAUUCCAUAUUUGUUAGUGUUAUCUUCUUCUGCAAUAAAUAAUCACAGACAGAAGGUUUUGAUUGUAUAAGAUGCUUAUGAAAAAUGUUAUGAUUGUAGGAAAUAGCACAGAUGCAAAUGUAACCAUUCAGCAUGGGUCAUUUGAGCCUAAAGGGAGACAGUUUACGUACUCUGAUAUAGUACAGAUUACAAAGGGGUUCAAGAGGGUUCUUGGAAAAGGCGGCUUUGGUACAGUAUAUCACGGCCACAUAGACGAGGUGGCUGUCAAGAUGCUUUCAUCGCCAUCAGUUCAAGGGUUUCAGCAAUUUCUCACAGAGGCAUGUUUGUCAUAUUAAAUAAACUGAUCUCACUGUUUUUCAGAUCAAUAUUAAUCUUAUCAAAUUACAUGUAGCGUUUCUGACCUACUAAAUUACAGGUUAAUCCUCUUAUGAGAGUUCAUCAUAGAAAUUUGACAAGUCUUGUUGGAUAUUGUUGGAAUUUAGAUUGAAUUUAGAUUGUUAUUAGUUAUCUUGCGGGCCAAGGAUUAGUUACUUGCCCAUUAAGUAUUUGAGUUUGUCUAGGAUUUGAUUUAGGGUUUUAGUCUAGGGUUUGCUUUAGUUUUUCUCUAUAUAAGGAUCUCUUUGUAUUUGGUAUUUUCAUCAAUCAAUGAACAUGUUUUCUCCGGUAUAAUAUUCAACUGAUAUUGCAAUGAUGAAACCAGCAUAGGGCUGAUCUACGAGUACAUGGCCAAUGGAAACCCUACGAGAACAUCUUUCAGGUUUGGCUGCGAAUGAAAUUACUCAGUACUAAAUUUGCCAUUCAUUUCUUAAUUAACUAGUGCUUUUAAAUUCUUUGGUAGUCCUUAAUUUGAUAAUUCUAUUUUCCUAGACCACCUGACUUUAUAAAAUAAGACCAGAGUCGGCUCUGAGGGUGUGCAACAGGUGCCACCGCACAGGGCCCCCGAUUCGGAAGGGCCCCUAAAUUUUCAUUACAUGUAUACAAAUGCAUAUAAAAUAAUUAGAUGCAUAAAACAAUCUUAUUUGUAGUUCCAGCGCAAGCGGUUUAGCUCUUCUUUCUUAUAGCCCAUGUGUUGGAUUUGAAUCCUAAUGAUAUUGUUUUGUUAUAUUUUAAGCUUUUGCAAAUUUGUAAACAGUAGAUAAUAAAAAGGCAUCCAACGUGUAUCAAACUCAGAACCUUUGAAGGUAAGGAAAAACACCUGGCUGAUCAAACAACUUAUUUUUGUUGCGGUAACUUGUAAUAUUUUAGUUUUAUAGAUGAAAAAAUUAAAAAAAAAAUAAUAAUAAAGAAAUAUAACAUUAAAAAAAAUGAAGGGCCUCUAUCUAAGUUUUGCACAUGGCCCCUCAAUACUCAGGGCCGGCCCUGAAUAAGACAGUUAUAUUUUUUUAUGGAGCAGGUAGCAGAUCAAAUAUCUUGAGUUAGGGAGGUAGACUUCAAAUAGCAAUAGAAGCUGCACAAGGUCUGUAUAACUAACCAAUCAUAUUAUUUAGGCACACAAAAAUGAUACACCUAAUAUAGGUGCAUCCACUUACAGUGGUACGUAUAGGGCUGAACUCUAUUAGAGAGUAUGUCAGCAACUCUUUGAGACCUUGAGUUUUAGGAGCUUAAAUACCAAUCAUUAUUGAUAACGAAAUGGAAUCUACUUUUUGAGAAGUUGUGUCUGAAUUAAAAACAGGACUGGAGUAUCUGCACCAUGGCUGCAAGCCGCCUAUAAUCAACAAGGAUGUGAAAUCAACAAACAUCUUGCUGAAUGAAAACUUCGAAACCGAACUCUCUGAUUUUGGCAUAUCCAGAUGUUUCCCUACAGAGGAUGGAACACAUAACAACAACUGUCGCUGGCACUCCCGGGUACCUUGACCCUGAGUAAGAGUUUUUUCAUUUUUUUGAGGCAUCGUCUUUAUGUCCUUAUUAUAUAUGCAAACAAACUUAAAUUAUAUAAUUAACAAGAAGAAUGAAGAAAGAAACUAUAAAUCAUUUUGGAAAACAUUUUACAUUGGAUGAUAUGAUUUGAGGUAUAUGGUUUGGCUUGCAGGUAUUACGCAUCAAACAGAUUGAAUAAAGAAAGUGAUAUUUAUAGCUUUGGGGUUGGAGAUUAUCACAAGUCGACCUGUUUUUUCUAGGACGCAUGAGCGGAGUUACAUUAGUGAAUGGUUCAGUUUCAUGCUUCAAAAAGGAGACAUUUACAGUCUUGUUGAUCCGAGGUUAGAAGGAAAAUUCAAUACUAACUCAGUCUGGAAAGCUGUGGAAAUAGCAAAUGCAUGCGUAUCUCCAACUGCCAUCAAAAGGCUAAGCAUGAGUCAGGUAGUGGUGGAUCUAAAGGAGUGCUUGGCAACAGAACUCGCUCGAGCAAACCCGAGGCAUGAAACUGAAUUAAGAAAUUCCAUUGCUAUGCUAUACCCCUCGGUUGUUGACUUUUGUAUUUUAGGUAGGAUCCCUAAUUGAUAUGUAAUCCCAUGUAAUCACUUGUAAUUAGUUUUAUUUCCUUUUAUGUUAGGGUUGUACACCUAUAAAUUCCUCUUAUUGAGAAGAAUAUAUCAUCAUUCAAAGCAUUCUCUUCUUGGCAUCAGAGCCAGGUCGAAAAAAAGAAAAAAAUACCCCAUAGCUGCGAUAGCACUGUUGCGGCUCAGCCGUGUGUGGUGCGUCGACCUCGAUCAGCGAGCGACUGUUGUCGUUGCUACCCUCUCUGAAUUCGAAAUGAACAGCGAGCGACGCCGUCGUUGCUGAUCCGAAUUCAUCGAAUCGUUUGACUCUUUGUUGUGUGACACGACAUACCAAUUGGCCUAUUUGCUUUUGAUUUGAUCUGAAGUCGUGAAAAAUUGCACAGACUGCAACCCGAUUGAAUUGUGUUGCUGCGCCGUACCCGACUCGUGGUCCGACGACCCACGAACCUGCUCCCAUCCGACUUGCUGAUCUACCGAUCCACCACAACAUUGUUGCACCUCUGUCUCGCACCUUGAACUGCAAUAUGUCCUUGCUGCUAUUAUCCUUGUUGGAGCCUUGAACCACCAUACCACUGCUGCUGUUUCAAAGUGAGAAGAAAACAAAAUAGAAAAGGUGAAAGGAAAAAGAAAAAGGGGAAUCAAAUGGAAGAGAUUUGCUUCUUGGGCUUGGUUUGCUUGGAAAUUUGGGCUUUAUCAAUCACCGAGUGACGUAUUGAUUGAAGUUGCUUGGGAAUGGCAGUCUGGACUUGUGAUUCUGCUAAUACAGGUAACAAUGGUAAGGCUUUAAAGGUUUUUACCUCUGUUACGAAUAAUACAUGGAUAAUUGAUUCUGGUGCUACUGAACAUAUGAUUUGUGAUUCUAGACAGGUAGAAACCCUAAAACCAUCCACCAAAACUGUCGUCAGUGUCGCCAAUGGUAAUCCUGCCCCUGUUAUCGGGGAAGGAACCGUCUCCCUUUCAGAUACCCUUAGGCUUGAUACCGUACUUGUUGUGCCUUCUUUUGACUAUAAUUUAUUAUCUGUUGCUCAAAUAACUGUCGUCCUGCAUUGUCUUGUGAUUUUUUGGCCUUCUUUUUGUGUUUUUAAGGACAUUCGGACUCGCAAGAUGAUUGGUUAUGGUAUUAGGAAAGGGAAGCUCUACUACUUGGAGCUGACAUCAAACAGUUCUCGAAUGUUAACUCAAGCUCUUGCAGUGGAAGGAAAUCCGGGGGAUAGGAAUAAAGCUUCGGAGGUUUGGUUGUGGCAUCAUCGACUUGGACAUGCUUCUUUCGGCUAUCUACGGAGGUUGUUUCCUAGCCUCUUUGGUAAGCAUGAUGUUUCUAGCUUUAAAUGUGGUGUUUGUGAACUAGCUAAAAGUCAUCGUGCGUCGUUUCCAUCCAGUUUGAAUAAAAGUUAUGUUCCAUUUAUGAUAAUUCAUUCUGAUGUUUGGGGUCCAUCUAAAACUGCUACAUUUGGUGGUGCUCAUUGGUUCGUUACUUUUAUUGAUGACUGCACACGUAUGACUUGGGUUUGUUUGAUGAAAUCCAAAGGUGAAGUUACUUCUUUGUUUCAACAGUUUUACAAAUUGGUACAAGUACAAUAUAAGUCACAAAUACAGGUUCUCAGGAGUGAUAAUGGUGGCGAAUAUGUUAACUCUGAACUUCGUGCCUUUCUUGAUCAUCAUGGGAUUGUUCAUCAAACUACAUGUCCAUAUACUCCACAACAAAAUGGGGUUGCCGAACGUAAGAACCGUCAGCUUCUGGAGGUUGUUCAUGCUUCCUUACUCGAGGCUCGUCUCCCGUUAUCCUAUUAGGGAGAAGCUCUCACCUCAGCUGCGUAUCUCAUUAAUCGUGUUCCAUCCCGAUCGGUUGAUUUUCAGACACCCCUUCAGGCACUUUCUUCACAUGUUGAUGCUCCUGCAGUCCCUAAUCUUCCACCUCAUGUGUUUGGUUGUGUGGCCUUCGUUCAUCUUCAUAAACAACAGUGAAGUAAGCUUGAACCUCGAGCCUUACGAUGUGUGUUUGUGGGGUAUGCAUCAAGGCAGAAAGGAUACCGUUGUUAUCACCCACCGAUGAAUAAGUUGUUUGUCACUAUGGAUGUUGCGUUUCAUGAGAAUGAUAUGUACUUUGCCAAUCCCGAGUCUUCACUUCAGGGGGAGAAUCAGAAAGAAGUUCAAACUCUUAAUUAUACUAUUCCAGAUAUAGAUAUAGUGAAUGAUUUGGAUUUAAGUGGUGAUGUCUUGGAAAUAAGUGGUGAUCAUUCACACGAAAAUAAUGAUGUGAAUGAAUUGGAAUUAAGUGGUAAUGUCUUGGAGACAAGUGAUGAUCAUUCACAUGGAAACAAUGUUGAAAACCUUGAAAGGGACGAGUCGACAACGCCAAAUAACUCACUGCCUGAUAGCUCACUGCUAGUUUCCUCACCACCGGACAGCCCUGUGUCGCUAGUUACCUCACAGUUGAUCUUGAGUCCCAAUAACCAUAAUCAAUCGUCUUCGAUCCCGGAUGCACCACCACCACGUCGUUUCCUUGAUCGCGUCAACCGAGGUAUUCCUAAACUUACUUAUGAAGCCGACCCUAAAUGCAAAACUAGGUAUCCAAUGAGUAAGCCCAACCCUGAGUCUAAUGUGUUAUACCCGUUAAGUAAUUGUGUGUCUACCAGUCACCUGUCAGAAUCAAAUAAGUUGUUUGUGCAUCAAUUAUCUACUGUAUCUAUUCCUAACAGUGUGCAGGAGGCUUUAAUUGAUCCACGUUGGAAAAUAGCAAUGAAUGAAGAGUUGAAGUCUUUGAAGAAGAAUGCUACCUGGGAAAUCACAGAUUUGCCAGCUGGUAAGAAACCUGUUGGAUGCAAAUGGGUCUAUACUGUGAAAUACAAAGCAGAUGGGACGGUGGAUCGUUUCAAGGCAAGAUUGGUAGCAAAAGGAUACACUCAAAAAUAUGGAAUCGACUACACAGAUACAUUUGCACCUGUAGCCAAGAUCAACACAGUUCGUGUUUUGUUGUCAUUGGCUGCAAAUCUUAAUUGGCCCUUACAACAGUUCGAUGUGAAGAACGCCUUCUUGCAUGGAGACUUGACAGAAGAAAUUUAUAUGGAUCUUCCACCGGGAUGUAAUGCUCCAGAUAAAUACAAAAGAAAAAUGUGCAGGUUGAAGAAAUCCUUGUAUGGCUUGAAGCAAUCUCCUCGGGCAUGGUUCGGAAGAUUCACAAAAUCUAUGAGAGUAUUUGGUUACAGACAAAGUAACUUUGACCAUACUUUGUUCCUGAAAAGACAGAAUGGGAAGCUUACUGCACUUAUUGUGUAUGUAGACGAUAUGGUGGUAACAGGUAAUGAUCCGGAAGAACGUGUGGCCUUGCAAAGAUAUCUGUCUACAGAAUUUGAAAUGAAGGACCUUGGAUCCCUGAAAUAUUUUUUAGGGAUUGAGGUGUCGAGAAACAGUUCUGGAAUUUUCUUGUCUUAGAGGAAGUAUAUUAUUGAUUUGUUGCACGAAACUGGCAUGUCAGCUUGUCAGCCAGUAGCUACACCAUUAGAAGAAGGAUUGAAGCUUAGUGUUGAUCCUAAUCAAGUACCAGUUGACAAAGGAAGAUACCAAAUGUUAGUAGGCCGUUUGAUGUAUUUGGCACACACAAGACCGGACCUUGCUUAUGCCUUGAGUGUAGUGAGUCAAUACAUGCAUGAUCCUGGAGAACAACAUAUGAAUGCCGUGAUGAGAAUAUUGCGAUAUUUGAAGAGAAGUCCAGGCAAAGGAAUUUUGUUUAAGAGGAAUAAUCAUUUUAGUGUUGAAGGUUAUACUGAUGCAGACUGGGCAGGUUCCAUUGAUGAUAGACGCUCAACAUCAGGUUACUUUACGUUUGUUGGGGGUAACUUGGUUACAUGGAGAAGUAAGAAACAGAAUGUGGUUGCCCGUUCCAGUGCAGAAGCAGAAUACAGAGGUAUGGCUUUGGGGAUUUGUGAAAUUUUGUGGCUUAAGCUUCUGUUAAGCGAUUUGGGUAUACAACAUGAUCAGCCCAUGAAAUUAUUUUGUGAUAAUAAAGCUGCUCGUGACAUUGCACAUAAUCCGGUACAACAUGAUAGAACAAAGUAUGUUGAAGUUGAUCGGUUCUUCAUCAAAGAAAAAUUGGAAAGGAAAAUAAUUGAAGUACCGGCAAUAAGAACAGAAGAUCAGUUGGCAGAUAUCCUCACAAAAGCUGUUUCGAGUCACAAGUUUUCAAGUUUCUUACAUAAGUUGGGCAUGAGCGACAUAUAUGCACCAACUUGAGGGGGAGUGUUGACUUUUGUAUUUUAGGUAGGAUCCCUAAUUGAUAUGUAAUCCCAUGUAAUCACUUGUAAUUAGUUUUCUUUCCUUUUAUGUUAGGGUUGUACACCUAUAAAUUCCUCUUAUUGAGAAGAAUAUAUCAUCAUUCAAAGUAUUCUCUUCUUCGGUUAGGUAGUAAUACUAAAUAUCUCAACCAAAUAAAGAGAGAGUUUCGGAUGCAUUAUUUUCCUCUUUGUAAUAGAUACCGUUGUAUUUCUUAUGGACUGCAACUAUUUUAUAAUCGCAUGACGUGCAUCUUUUCAUGAGAAAGGCGAUAAUGAAGAUGUGUUCUAAACAACUAUUAUGUUGUUUGCCAUUGAUGGUCCUAGCGAUUAAGGAUUAAGUUUAAAUCAACUUCAAGUAGUUAAUGAUUGGUAUCUAGAGAGUUUAUUUAGAUGUUCAUUUUUCUAAUUAAACAAUAAUGUCAAAUCCACUUUAGCAAAAACUACCAAAAAUUACUAUUUGCCCUUCAAACCAAAAUUCGUCGAGUAAAUGAAUUUUACCGGAUUAAAUUCUGGUCGGCAAAAACUGGUCAACAUUUAGGUUCUGUCAAAGACUUUGCAUAACAGAGUGAGUCGGUCGGGCAAACAUUUGGCACCAAGGGAAAUAAUGGCGCGUUGUGUGUGAAAUCUUCAACUCCGCCUAUGUAAGUUUAUCUUACAUUGCCAGUCUCAAGCCCGGAUAAAGGAGGAGGGGGAGGGCGUCAGGUAGUCGACAGCCGGCACUCCAUGAUCACGUCGAAUCCUUAUGAAAAUGUGGCAAUCAAGAUUGUAAUAGGACAAGAACUUAUCAAUGUGAUUAGUGCGUACGCACCUCAAGUAGGGUUGGAUACGAGUUCGAAGGAGAAAUUUUGGGAAGACCUUGGAGACUUGGUGUAAGGAAUUGCUCAGACGGAGAAGUUAUUUAUAGGAGGAGAUUUAAAUGGACACGUGGGCAGGGAGACAGGCAACUAUGGAGGUUUUCAUGGUGGCCAUGGUUUUGAGGAGAGAAACGAGGAUGGGGAAGCUAUCUUGGAUUUUGCAAUGACAUAUGAUCUCUUCUUAGCCAACACAUUCUUUAAGAAGAGAGAAGAACAUGUGAUCACGUACAAGAGUGGGUCGUCAAAAACACAAAUAGAUUUUCUUCUAAUGAGGAAAGGGGAUCGUAUAACUUGUAAGGAUUGCAAAGUUAUACCAGGAGAGAGCGUGGCUAAUCAACAUCGCUUGUUGGUGAUGGAUGUACAUAUCAAAAGAGUGAGACAAAAGAACAAGACUUGGAAGUGCCCAAGGACUAGAUGGUGGAAUCUAAAAGAAGAAAAACAAGCCAUUUUCAAAGAGAAGGUAAUCACCCAAUGUGUGUGGGCUAGAGAGGGGGAAGCUAGCCAAAUGUGGGAUUCCAUGGCUAGUUGUAUCCGGAAAGUAGCAAAAGAGGUAUUAGGAGAGUCCAAGGGCUUUGCCCCACACCAAAAGGAAUCUUGGUGGUGGAAUGAGGAGGUACAAACAAAGGUGAAGGCUAAGAAGGAAUGUUGUAAAGCCUUAUACAAGGAGAGGACCGAUGAAAAUGGUGAAAGGUAUAGAAAAGCGAAGCAAGAGGCGAAGAAAGCUGUCAGAGAAGCUAAGUUAGCGGCUUACGACGAUAUGUAUAAACGACUAGAUACCAAAGAAGGAGAGUUGGAUAUCUAUAAACUAGCUAGAGCAAGGGAAAAGAAGACAAGGGACCUAAACCAAGUGAGGUGCAUCAAGGAUGAGAAUGGAAAAGUUCUUGCUACAGAGAACGCGGUUAAAGACAGAUGGAGAGGUUAUUUUCAUAAUCUUUUCAAUGAAGGACAUGAAAGGAGUGCUUCUUUAGGGGAGUUGAGUAACUCAGAAGAGUGUAGAAACUACUUUUUUUAUCGUCGAAUCCGGAAGGAAGAAGUGGUUGUAGCUUUGAAGAAGAUGAAGCAUAGAAAAGCAAUAGGCCCAGACGAUAUACCAAUCGAAGUGUGGAAAGUUUUGGGAGAGACAGGUAUAACAUGGCUCACUGACCUUUUCAAUAAGAUUUUGAAAACGAAGAAGAUGCCAAAUGAGUGGCGAACGAGCACUUUGGUGCCUAUCUACAAGAAUAAGGGCGACGUACAAAAUUGCAUGAACUAUAGGGGUAUUAAGCUAAUGAGUCAUACAAUGAAGCUCUGGGAGAGAGUCAUUGAGCAUAGAUUGAGGCAAGAGACACGGGUUUCGGACAACCAAUUCGGGUUCAUGCCAGGGCGCUCAACCAUGGAGGCAAUCUAUCUCUUACGAAGAUUGAUGGAAAGAUAUAGAGAUGGGAAAAAAGAUUUACAUAUGGUCUUUAUAGAUUUGGAAAAAGCGUAUGAUAGGGUCCCGAUAGACAUUCUUUGGAGGAUUUUAGAGAAGAAAGGAGUACGAGUAGCAUAUAUCCAAGCUAUAAAGGAUAUGUAUGAAGGAGUAAAGACUGCCGUAAGAACUCAUGAAGGACAAACCGAAAGCUUUCCCAUAACUGUAGGAUUACAUCAAGGCUCAUCCUUAAGUCCUUACCUUUUUGCGUUGGUAAUGGAUGAGUUAACAGGACAUAUUCAAGAUGAUAUUCCUUGGUGUAUGCUUUUCGCAGACAAUAUAGUGUUGAUAGAUGAAACUCAGGAAGGGGUAAAUGCAAAGCUUAACCUUUGGAAAGAAGUGUUGGAAUCUAAAGGUCUUCGCCUAAGCCGAUCAAAGACAGAAUAUAUGAAGUGCAAGUUCAGUGCAAAUGGAGGCCAAAACGAGUUAGGGGUGAGGAUCGGAGAUCAAGAAAUACCAAAGAGCGACCGUUUUCGUUACCUAGGAUCUAUCUUGCAAAAGAACGGAGAAUUAGAUGGAGAUCUCAACCAUAGAAUACAAGCUGGAUGGAUGAAGUGGAAGAGUGCAUCCGGCGUGUUGUGUGACCGCCGUAUGCCACUGAAGCUCAAGGGAAAAUUUUAUAGGACGGCAAUAAGGCCGGCGAUGUUGUAUGGCACAGAAUGUUGGGCGGUGAAGCAUCAACACGUACACAAAAUGGGUGUAGCGGAGAUGAGGAUGCUUCGUUGGAUGUGUGGGCACACGAGAAAGGAUAAGAUUAGGAAUGAAGAUAUCCGGGGUAAAGUAGGAGUAGCUGAAAUUGAAGGAAAGAUGAGAGAAAAUCGGUUACGGUGGUUUGGACAUGUGCAAAGAAGGCCUACUGACGCUCCGAUUAGAAGAUGCGACUAUGGGACAGAGGUUCAGGGCCGAAGGGGUAGAGGAAGACCUAGGAAAACUUUGGAAGAAACUCUAAGAAAAGACUUAAAGUACUUGGAUCUAACGAAGGACAUGACACAGGACCGAGCACAAUGGCGUUCUAAGAUUCAUAUAGUCGAUCCCACUCAGUGACUUGGAGUUUCCAAGUCUCCAACCGAGAAGUUUUCCUCACUCGGGAAAUUAAGGGAACACUACCCCAACCUAUAUGCUCCACUCACAAAGCUUCAACAUACAAGCUUCAACAAAAGAAAAUUCAAAGAACUUAGAGAAGAAAACUUUGGUGUAUUUAACACAAUACGUUGAAAUGAAGGAAAGCUUAUUUAUUGAUAUCCCCGAUAAGCCAUAAAUAUGUACAUAUACAUGAGUCAAAAUAAACAAACAAGAGGGAGCCUUCACAAAGGUUGCUUAGGAGAAGUCUCAGCAGUCGGUAGAGCCCCAGAAAGAGAAGGCAUCGGAGGGGGAUCAUUCAGAGCCUCAGUACUGGACAGAACCCUAGAAGGAGGAGGCAUCAGAGGUUGAUCAUUUGGAGCUUCAUUACGCGGUACAGCCCCAGAAGACGAAGGCAAUAAAUGCCUUUGGAACAAACCCACAAAUCUCUGAUGAUCAAGUAAAACCUAACCAUCAGUUUCCUUCAUCUGGUCAAGCUUCCUCUUCAUGUUUGUAGCAUAGUCAUGUGCGAACCGGUGCAACUGUUUAUUCUCAUGCUUGAGCCCUCUAAUCUCCUGUUUGAGACUCAUCACUUCAGCCGCCAAUGAUUCAACUUGGCGGGUUCGAGCAAAUAGGCGUUGGGCCAUAUUAGACACAGAACCUGCACACUGAACACUGAGAGCCAGCGAAUCCUUUAACAGCUAACUCAUCAGACCGUUUGGAAAGUAGUCUGUUAUCUUUGGGAGUGAGAAGGUUCAUGGCCACCACCGCAGCGGUCAUAUCAUUCUUCAUCACGGAAUCCCUAACGGUAAGAGGACCAGUAGGGGAGACGAAGGAUGGGCGCCAUAUGUUGUCUGGAGAAGGCGGGGCUGCCUCUUCAACAAGGUUCAAGUCAAAACGACGGUCGGAGGGGCCAGACAUUUUCAAAGGUGUUGAAGAGAGAAGAGGUCGGACAAAUCAAGAUCUUAGAAGUGCAAGAAUGGAGCUUCUACUGGUGGAGAUUCAAGUGUGCUUUGGAACUUAAUGCCAGCCCCUAUAAAAAUCUGCACUCGACGGAGCUUCAGAAAUCGAAGAGACGCCUGCUCAGAAAUCGAAGAGUCGUUUGCUUUCUCAAAAGCUGGGCUGCUCAGAGACCACGAGGGUUGAUCUCAGAAAUCGAAAAGGCGUUUGCUUUCUCAUAAGCUGGGAUGCUCAGAGACCACGAGGGCCGAUCUCUGAAAUCGAAGAGGCACCUACUUUUCCAACCUUGUCAGCACCUGUCACACGCACACUCAGCUUUGCAGAAAUUAUGGGCAUUCUGUCGAAGACUUCUGGUGAAGUAGAAAACACAUGAAUCUUACUGUUCAAUCACCCACUUCCCACACGCAACAAUAGCUCAUGGGCACCUCAGAUAACUUUGCCAAAGUUCUCUGCCAAAGUUGAGCACGUGAAGCUUGCAGCUCUCACUACAUCGCUCUGGCCAAGAAGGGUAAAAUAAUAGCAAAGAAACAGCAUUAACAAAGUUUAGACACAUAAAUUUUGAAGGUCUAGCUACCAUAUUAUUACCCACAAGGGUAAAGGAACAGUACCACUGCUGGAUAAUUGGAAAGUCCCUGUGUGUCAACCUCUGUGCUUCGUGGCAAGGUAGACUAGCAAACAUACCCAACCUUUACUCACAUUCGAGAAAACACUCCCAAUAAGAUUGCUUGCUCCAAAAUCGAAGAGGCACCGUAUUCCGAAUCUCGAGAGCCAGACUCCCAACAUGACUACUUUCUCAAAAUCGAAGAGAGGGUAAAGGAACAGUACCAUUGCUGGAUAAUUGGAAAGUCCCUGUGUGUCAACCUCUGUGCUUCGUGGCAAGGUAGACUAGCAAACAUGCCCAACCUUUACUCACAUUCGAGAAAACACUCCCAACAAGAUUGCUUGCUCCAAAAUCGAAGAGGCACCGCCCUCCGAAUCUCGAGAGCCAGACUCCCAACAUGAUUACUUUCUAAAAAAUCGAAGAGACACUGCUCCCCGAAUCUCGAGAGCCAGACCCCCAGCAUGAUUGCUUUCUCAAAAAUCGAAGAGGCAUCGUUCUCCGAAUCAAUCGAAGAGGCGCUCGCUUUCUCAAAAGCUAGGCUGCUCAGAGACCACGAGGGCCGAUCUCAAAAAUCGAAGAGGCACCUACUUUUCCAGCCUUGUCAGCACCUGUCACACGCAUUCUCAGCUUUGCGGAAAUUAUAGGCAUUCUGUCGAAGACUUCUGGUGAAGUAGAAAGCACAUGAAUCUUACUGUUCAAUCACCCACUUCCCACACGCAAUAAUAGCUCAUGGGUACCACAGAUAACUUUGCCAAAGUUCUCUGCCAAAGUUGAGCAUGUGAAGCUUGCAGCUCCCACUACAUCGAUCUGACCAAGAAAGGUAAAAGAAUAGCAAAGAAACAGCACUAACAAAGUUUAGACACAUAAAUUUUGAAGGUUUAGCCACCAUAUUAUUACCCACAACGGUAAAGGAACAGUACCACUGCUGGAUAAUUGGAAAGUCCCUGUGUGUCAACCUCUGUGCUUCGUGGCAAGGUAGACUAGCAAACAUGCCCAACCUUUACUCACAUUCGAGAAAACACUCCCAACAAGAUUGCUUGCUCCAAAAUUGAAGAGGCACCGUCCUCCGAAUCUCGAGAGCCAGACUCCCAACAUGACUACUUUCUCAAAAUCGAAGAGAGAGGGUAAAGGAACAGUACCAUUGCUGGAUAAUUGGAAAGUCCCUGUGUGUCAACCUUCUGUGCUUCGUGGCAAGGUAGACUAGCAAACAUGCCCAACCUUUACUCACAUUCGAGAAAAACACUCCCAACAAGAUUGCUUGCUCCAAAAUCGAAGAGGCACCGCCCUCCGAAUCUCGAGAGCCAAACUCCCAACAUGAUUACUUUCUCAAAAAUCGAAGAGACACUGCUCUCCGAAUCUCGAGAGCCAGACCCCCAGCAUGAUUGCUUUCUCAAAAAGCGAAGAGGCAUUGUUCUCCGAAUCUCGAGAGCAAGAUACCACAGACCACUUUUUCAAAGUGCUCUGACAGAGUUAAAACAUGUGAAAGCUGGCAGCUCCCACUACCGUGCUAUGACCAAGCAGGGUAAAGGAACAUCAUUACUACUUGUUGUUAGGGAGACUCCUAUAUAUGUCGACCUCCAUCCCCAACGGACAGGCAAACCUGCAAAAAUGCUCAACCCUUCCUCAUAUCUGAGAGGGCACUUCCAACGAAGCCUUUCGAAAUAUUCAGCUUUCUUUCCCCCCGAUAAUACCUCUGCAAACAAGCUAUACUAGAGCAAGAAUAUCUCAUAUCAUCAGGGUUAAAAGCAAGAGUAUCCCAUAUCAUGCUUUUUCCCUUGUCUUUUCCUUUGGCCUUGUUUUUACCUGCAAGACAAGGAGAAAGAGAGCAAUCAGUCAGGACUUGGAAUCAAGCUUCCAGCUAGGAACUGACUGCCUGGAACCCCUUUCCUGAUUACUUACCUGGCAUUGCUCUCGAGUACUCAUCUUCAACAUCUUAUGCUUCCAGGGAAGAUACCGCAUCUGCUUGAGGAACAGAUAAGGCAAGUGCGAAGGAUACAAGGAAGCAUGUGGAGACAAGUGUAACAGCACACGUGCCGAUACAUCCAUUACUCUGUCAAAAGCAAAAGUAUCCCAUAUCAGCAGGGUCGAACGUACUCUAGAUUUGAUGGACUUGUUUUGACCCUCAAAUUCUUCAGUCGGCCUUAUACUCUGGAGGAAACCAGAAAACCCUCCAGCUCAGUUCAAGAAUAAGCCUGUGGAAAGUUACUUCUUCAAAAGCAAAAGUAUCCCAUAUCAUAUCUUUUCAUUUUUCUUCUCUUUAUCCUUCAUGCUGCCUGCAAGAUAGGGAGAAGGUGAACAAUCAGCCGGAGCUCUGAUUGCUUACCUUGUCUGUCGCCUCCUUCAACAGAUCCCCUAACUCGGCGACUUGGGGGACUCCUACUACAUGGUUUGUAUCGCGCUUGACCAAGCCUGAAACUACAAGUAAGCUUCAAGUGAAAUUGAUAAAUUACCUUGUGCAUCUCCACCAGUUAAAGAUACCACCCCUGGAUGGAGGAAGAGUACUUCCAGAGAAGAUGCCACAUCUACCUAUGAGACAGAUAAGGCAAGUCAAGACGAUACCACACUCCGAUACUUAGAAGUUUCGUGAUUACGAGAUCAUUCUCCCACAAUAUUUCCUAAUGUCAUUUGUACUAAAUCAUUCACUUGUACUCACUAAAGGAGAGCUUGAACCUAUGUACUUGUGUAAACCCUUCACAAUUAAUGAGAACUCUUCUAUUCCGUGGACGUAGCCAAUCUGGGUGAACCACAUACAUCUUGUGUUUGCUUUCCUAUCUCUAUCCAUUUAUAUACUUAUCCACACUAAUGACCGGAGCAAUCUAGCGAAGAUCACAAAAAGCGAUCGUUUUCGCUACCUAGGAUCUAUCUUGCAAGAGAACGGAGAAUUAGAUGGAGAUCUCAACCAUAGAAUACGAGCUGGAUGGAUGAAGUGUAAGAGUGCAUCCGGCGUGUUGUGUGACCGUCGUAGGCCACUGAAGCUCAAGGGAAAAUUUUAUAGGACGGCAAUAAGGCCAGCGAUGUUGUAUGGCACAGAAUGUUGGGCGGUGAAGCAUCAACACGUACACAAAAUGGGUGUAGCGGAGAUGAGGAUGCUUCGUGGGAUGUGUGGGCACACGAGAAAGGAUAAGAUUGGGAAUGAGGAUAUCCGAGGUAAAGUAGGAGUAGCCGAAAUUGAAGGAAAGAUGAGAGAAAAUCGGUUCCGGUGAUUUAGACAUGUGCAAAGAAGGCCUACUGAUGAUUCGGUUCGAAGAUGUGACUACGGGACAAAGGUUCAGGGCCGAAGGGGUAGAGGAAGACCUAGGAAAACUUUGGAAGAGACUCUAAGAAAAGACUUAGAGUACUUGGAUCUAACGGAGGACAUGACACAAAACCGAGCGCAAUGGCGUUCUAUGAUUCAUAUAGCCGACCCCACUUAGUGGGAAAAGGCUUUGUUGUUGUUGUUGUUGUUGUUGUUGUUGUUGUUGUUGUUGUGUGUGAAAUCUUCCUCGAUGAAUCAUAAAAGGAUCCAUCGCGCAAAGGUUUAAUUUAGGUUUUGGGGUUUAGGAUUUUGUUUCAUCUCGUAAGUGGUAUACCCGUCAACUAAAUUGAGUGAUAGGGUUGGCAUAUUAAAUUCGUUCAAUGAUUAAUGCAUUUUAUAAAACUAGUUUGCACGAUCCAAUCGACAUGUUUUGUUUGUAUAUACUUGAGAUUUGAUAACCUGUAAAGGAACACACAACCAUGAGUAAGCCCAGGACCGGCGGUGUGCCAGUUCAAGGCUAUCCAACGGUAAAGUUAGUAAGAAAUAUUAAGACUCAAGCAGCAUGCAAGAUAAUAAGUGAGUAGCGAUUGUGUUACCAAAGAGGAAGCCUAGAACGGUGUAUUUGUAAUAGUCAAGGAGAUGACCUUUUAGGAUAGUAGAAUCCGUAUUAAACCGGAAGAACCUAUGAUGAUAUCUAGGAAGUAGAUAUUGCAUCCUUUUAGGUUCUCAAAUCUUGUGAAACAAGAAUGGUCUAUCUCAGUAAAGUCAAUGGACCUCACCCACUGAUUCUGAAGCAGGACAAUAGUAGCAUCGUUGAUCCUUUAAGUCAGCUCCGCUAUGGAGGCUGUUAAGUCCAUGACCGAACUUUUGAGGUAGGCCUAUUAUGAUCCGUCUUACUUGAUCUUGGAAAAUCAUGGUCCCACAAAUGCCCCUAACUAGACAUCAGAAGGGAAUUGUUCCCCUUAAAUUCAAAGACAAUGCACCUUCGAGUAAAUCAGAAUACGUACCGCUUUCUUCUUUUCAGAUGCAUGGCGUCUUAACUUCGUUUCUUGUGAACUUUUGUAGCAAUAGAAGCUGCACUAGGUCUACAACUAAACGAUCUUCAUAAUCUUCUUUUAAUUAGCUAGCAUCUCGUCCCCAUGUUCUUCUCAAUUAUCUUUGGCAAGUGCUGUCUUAAUUUAUAAAUACAGGAUUAGAGUAUCUGCACUAUGGUUUUAAGCCACCUAUAAUCCACAGGGAUGUGAAAUCAUCAAACAUCUUGCUUAAUGAAAGUUUCCAAGCCAAAAUAUCUGAAUUCUGCAUGUCCAGAAAUUUUCUUACGGAGGACAGUACUCAUAUAUCGACGCAUGUUGUUGGAACUCCUGGGCACCUUGCCCCCGAGUAAGUAAUUUUUGUUCUCAACGCUUGUUUGGGAGUCGCUUCUAAGUGUCUUGGCACGUAUUUAAAAUUUAUUUACACAAUUCCUAGACAUUAGAUCAUUGUGAACAGUUAAGAUUAAAAGCCUUGUAUUGUUUGUUAGACAGAAAAUCUGGUAGAGGAUCCAGAUAUAAAGAGAAUGAUAUAUAUAUAUAUAUAUAUAUAUAUAGCUUUUUGGAUUAAAGUACCUAAACCCCCCUUCAAAUCUUUUAGUGUCAUUCUAAAUUGGUCUCAACCUUUUUAAACAUUCCAAGAAAAUGCCUAACCUAUUAAAAAUGUUACAUCCGUCAAGCCCCAGUUAAUUUUUCAAAAAUAGAUCUUUUUCAACCACCACUUUGGAAUAUCAUGGACAAUAUUAAUAUUAGUUGGGGUAAAUAGCCAACAUGGUCCCUGAGAUUUAGCCAUAUUAGUUGCCUCAAAAUCUAAAUUUCAAACAUAGAUUAUAUAAUAUGGAACCCAAUGAUCAAACUUGUAUUGAAUUGAAUCGGAAAUGUACCCAAAUCGAAAUUACAUCAGGAGGGCAAUCUCUUAACAAAGAAGAGGGUUAAGAAUUCAGAUAGGGUUUCAAGGAGUUUAUUUAUACUCAUAUGAUUUAUUCUUUCACCGAUUCUCAGCUCGUAAAGCUUCUAGUUCUUCUUUAAGGCAAUGAAGGUGGUGGUGUUGCAUCAUGGCAGUCCAUGCCAUUUUAGCAACCUCCAUAACCUUAUUCUCGAAGUUGGCAAUUUGAGUGGUAGGGUGAAGUUAAUGGUUUUGCGAUGGGUUUAGAGGUGAUGGCAUGAUGAAGGUAGUGCUAACCAUUAGUUGGUGGAGGCUACGCUUCCAUGACAUUCUAUUGAUUUUCGAGACAAAGUAAGCCUAGUUAAUUUAAUAGAUUUUUAACUGGAACUUAACGGAUGUGACAUUUUCAAUGAGUUGGGUAAUUGUUUGGAACAUUUGAAAAGGUUGAGAUCAAUUUGGAAUGAUAUUAAAAGGUUAGGGGAUUUUAGUACUUAAGCCUAGUUUUUUUCACCUAGCAUUAUAUAUGGCUACGCAUAAUCAUUCAUAAGAUAAUGACUUGAGUUGCAUGGUCUAUAUUGCAAGUACUACUUAUCAAACAGGUUAAAUGAGAAAAGCAAUAUCUAUAGCUUUGGGGUUGUGUUGUUGGAGAUUAUCACUAGUAAACAUGUUUUUUUUUUUUUUUUAUCAAAAACGCAUGAUCACAUUAGUGAUUGGGUUACUUUCAUGCUUGAAAAGGGGGACAUUAAUGGGAUCUUUGAUUCGAGAUUCGACAAGAAUUUCAAUGUUAGCUCUGGUUGGAAAGCUUUGGAAAUAGCAAUGGCAUGUGUAUCUAUAAAUGCACUAGAAGGCCUACCAUGAGUGAAGUAGUGAUGGGACUAAAGGAGUGUUUGGCAACAAAACUAGCUCGAGCAAAGCAGAGUGGCAAUGAAACUGAAUAGGAAGUUCCAUUGAGAUGAUGUCUAAGAUGAAAUCAAUCUUUAUGGAAUUGGAAAGUCCCUCAAUUAGAUAGUACAAGUAGACCUAUAUUGAUAAAAGAGGAAAUUGUAGCAAUGGUCCUUCAACUUUAAUAUGAUUGGAGUAAUGAUCCCUUAACUAAAAAUUUGUAAUUAUUGGUCCAUUAACUCAUCAAAAUAUGUAACUAUGAUCAUUUUCAUUCACUCUGUUAGAACUUCCAUCAAAUUCUAACUAUUUAUAAUGACUUAGCCUAUGUGGCAUUCAUCAUUGACCUAUACCUAAUUAAUAAAAAUAUAUCAUUGAUUAAGUCCAAAAUAAAAAUAUGUCAUUGAUAUAUGGCUUAAUAGUAAAUUUUUUAUUGACUUCUGGCUAAAUUACCUUAAAAAUAAAUUAGGAUAAUCUACAUAAAUCUUAUUUUCAAAAAAAAAGAGGCUAAAAUCAUUAUUUAAUAAUCACGAGCUUGUUGCAGUCCUAUUAGAUUAGGAAUGUGAUUGUGUAAAUCCUAGUAUAUCUUGGAAUAUCUCUUAUAUUCCUAUUAGGAGUAGAUUACCUAUUAAAUAUUGUAAUCCUAAAGGGUAAGGAAUUAACCUUCCAUACUACUAUAAAUAAAGGUACAAUGGGGUGGAAUAAAACACACCCACAAUUACACAUCUCUCUAUUCUCUUUACUAUUGCCGCACAUUUCCCUCUGUAUGGCCUCCAUAAUUGUUCAGUAAAUUAUGUCUAUAACACGUUAUCAGCACGCUCUUGACGUUGCGCUAACAAGAGAGUUUGAUCUUCAAUCAGGGGAGUAUUAUGUUUUAAUCAUUCUUUUUAUGAUUAAUUUAUUAUUUAAUUGAAUUGAUCUACAUGCUAUUGUUUCAAUUUACUUUUUCUGUGUUAAACGUGAUACAACGCAUUAGAGAUGAAAUUCCGGCUUUCUGCGAAGGAUCUUCUACAAAUUCAAAGGUUUUUGUUGUUUUCUGCCAAUCAGGUACGCUUAAAAUAAAGGAAUAUAUUUGAAACGACCUUGAAGCAUGAAAACAUUCCCUAUAAUGUAUGAACCCCUCUAUGUUUAUAUUUUCCUUACAAUAUAUAUAUUGUAUAUGUUUAUAUAUUUGUUUCAUGCAUUACGAAAUUAAAUUGCUAUGCGGAAUAUGUGAGUCAAAGUAUAUUCAUAAAUUAGAAGCAAAUUUAGGGUUUGUAAAACCCUAACAAUUUCGGAAAAAAAAUAAAUAAAAGAUAGGAAUAUGGGAUUUUGCAACACCACUGUCGUGGCACCACCACAAGGACCACUGUGUUGGUCUUAAGCCCAGCCACUUUGGAGACCCCAUUGAGACGACGUCGUUCGACAUCUUGGACCCUUUGCCAAAGCCCUUGGGCUUCGCUGCAUCUGUGGAUAACUAGGUCGUGUGCCUGGUCCAGUUUCUUACCACGGGCCUGCAACCCGGACCCACAUCAACACCUGAUGGGCUGGUCCUCCCAUCUCAGCCCAUGCCAGCAGCUAUGCUGCUGGGCUUAGCCUUUCCACGGCCAGCGUUUCCAUAAGCCAGCCAAUGGGGCUGGGCUUAGUUUCUAUACCCGAAACUGAAACCCAGUUACGGCUGGGGUUUCACUCUCAACCUGCAAGCCUUUGGGCUUGUUCCCACACCUUUCCUUGGCCCAAAAUCAUGCCAGCCUUUUGGCUGGGCUCCCCGCGCCAAAACCAGCAGCUUGGGCUGCCUUUUUUGUUUCACACCCAAGCCCGUGGCCUGUAGCCCACUCCCGAGGCCUUUAGGGUCUUUGCCUACAUACGGCACUCAACCCAAAAUUUUUGGGCUAUGGUUUUUGACCCAGUGCUAUUAUUUAGCAUUCUUUUUUGACCCAAUGAUAUUUGUUUGGCAUUUUAAAUCAUUUUAACCCGAAUGUUGUAAUUAUUUUUGCUUUUAUGAUCAACCCCAUUUGGUCUCAAUCUAUUGAAUUAAUUAAAAGUGACAAGCACUCUAUUAAUCUGAUAAUAAAUCCAAAAUUAUUAACCUGAAGAUCACUUUUGGACAUUAACGAUUCAAUAAUUUAUUUUUAUAUUUUGAACCGUUGACAUACUUUCAUAGUAACAAAGCUCUCACACUUGAGUUCCCGAAGAAUCUUAAAUCCACUACACUUAGUUGUAUAUUGUAUUCAGUGUUCUUGCAGGAACCUCUCUUUUAUGAACUAAACGUUCAUAAACUAAAUUGAACCUGUAGUUUCAAAUUUAGUGCCUUUGAAACUCGAAGUUUUCAUAAAACAAUACACCCAUGAAAACCAUGUCUUAGAACUCGAAUGUUCUAACUUUGAUGCAUAUGGAUGUUUCAUUCCCAUAAGCACCAAUCACAAUUUUGUUCCCUCCAAUUCAAUGGAUUGUCGAACCGUCACAAGUUCGAUUUCCCUUAUUUGGACGUUUCUAAUAGAAACCAUUUUAUAUGUGGGUACAAGACGUGAAUCUUCACUUGACUAUCAAGAAGCUGAGAAACCAUUAUAGCCAACAAUGGCAUGGAAAAGCAAAAUAAGCCUCCACCAUGAUCUUUAUUCGAAGACUUAUGCCUGAAGCAUUACCAACGGAAGUACCUCAUGAACAGGAUUGAAUGGCUCUUUGGCUCGCUCCUAUGGACCGUCUAAUCAUGAAAGAUAUUGCCCGAAGCACACCAUGAUUACGUCCAUGAAUGAGUACAAUUCUGAAAUUUAUAAAUCCGAUCGAAUUUUGACUAGAGAAUACUUUUCUUGUCAUUCCUUGUUUCUAACUCGCUCAUGAAGCAACAAGUGUAUAGAAAGCGGAAGUUUACCAAAUUCUUGGAUCUGAGUACUACUACAAACAUAUGUUUGGUGUUUGUUUUACUUAUGGAUAAUCUUAUUGAUAUUGUCCUCGAAUAUGAGUUAAUUGAAUCAUGUUUCUUAAUAUAUGUGACCGAUUCAAUUAAACACGUGAUUAGGUAGGAAUGUGGGAAAGUUAGUUGUCUGGAUGAAUGCAUACUAUGCACACUAACUCUACACCUAAUUCACUUCUCUAACGACUUCAAGUCUAUCCAACCUGAUUAAGAGCAUUGGCAUGCUCCUCGUUGUAUGAAUGGUACUACAUUACCAUUUAACGAACCUUAAAUUCUCCCUAUCGUAAGUUUUUAAGGAUAUUCAAGAUGACAAUGAUCAUAAAUGAAACCACCGAAGAAAAUAAAGUGGAAUGUAUUUGCACCACGUCCAAAAAUGAGCCUGCAGCUUUGAUUUGGGGCUAAUGAGUUGUCUCCUAACUGGAAACACACCACAUGUGGCCGGCCUGGAGCCGGGUGAUUUAAGCAAUUUACUUGUUUUAGCACAACCUUUUUGGGACACUUAGGUUGAACAAUGAUGCUACCACGCAUCUCCUUACCCGAAGUAAGGAUCUUGUGCCUACAACCACACUUUGCCAAAACCCGCUCGUUUUCAGAAAUUUGAUUUCUAAAUCAUCCCUAGCAAAGAUACGAAACGACUCAUUUUUCACAGUGGAUUCAAGAGAAUAUAUGUGAACUAAUCCAACCAAAAUGCGGACCAUAAAUACUUAUGGUUUUGGUUGAUGAAUCGACAAACUGGUCACAUGUUUGUCCACACACAUUGCUGCUUAACCUCUUGGCCGAUUAAGGGUUCACCACCCUAUUUAUCCCAUAAAGUCUAGGAGACUGGAUAAUGCCGAAGAGUUCACAUCAACAGUUUUCGAUAAAGUAUUGCAUGUAUUUUUGGUUUAUAAUUGAACAUUGAAUUCCUAUGUUCACCCCAAAUAGCCUCGCCUAGCGAUCAUAAAGCGUAAUUUAAAUGAUCGCCUGGAUUUUGGUAAACAUACCAAGUUUUCGGUUUCUGCCUAGGGCUAUGCAAUCUUGUACGCAGUUAUGUUGGUCCGCCUUGAGGCCUAUUGCCACCCAACCUAUAUGACGUUACAGCUGGUUAUUGGGUAUGAACCUGAUGAUUUUCGUAUUUACGCAUUUGGGUGUGCAUUCCAUGUGCCAAGUUGCGUCACCGCAACAUACUAACAUGGGUCCUCAAAGAAAGAUGUGUAUAUUUUGUCAAUCAUGAUUCUCCUUCACACUAGCUCUUUUCGAGCCCUUGCAUGCUAUCUCUUUACUGCUCAUUUGCUGGUUGUCACUUUAAUGAGACAGUCUUCCCGCCGUUAAGGGGAGAUAAGAACGUCAAUGUUCCUGUAGAACAGCGCAAAUUUACGUGGACGUUGCCCACUAUGUCUCAUCUCUAUCCUCAUACCGCACAAGUAUGAUAAGCAAGUGUGAUGAAUUCUAGUUUUCAGAAUGUUGAUCCAGAUGCAUUUUCUGAUAUAGCUGAAAUGACAAGAUCAUAUACCAACUGCAAACAUGCCUGCAAUGAUAGACGUACUCAACGGAUGUCGAGUCAACAUCCAUGGAGGGUGUGCCGCCCCUGUUGGACUUCUUGGACACCCCUGUUGAAUGGUCUGGUACACUGGCGGAUAGCCAAUCAAUAUGUCUUGGCCUGGAGUACGACAUAUCAUUCGGUUCGUAGGAUUCACUUCCCUAGAAGAGGAAGACACGGCACAACAAUGAAUCUAAACUCGAUCGUUAUCUCAAAUCAUUUCCCUCUCAUAAGAUUAAUCUGGAUUACUCCCGAGACAUGAAGUUCUUGGUCUAGUAUACUAGUUUGGAUGAGCUAAAUGAAAUUGAAAUGAUAUUACCAUCGAUGAUGUGUUCACUUAUAUGGUAGCUACCGACAUAAAUGAAAAGUGACGAUAUCGAACCAUGUUCCGUUGAUUAAGUGACAACGUAGAACUGAUUGGACAACUGAAAUUACAAUCCAGGUCAAAUUCCUUACCAAAGUGUGUAUUGGACUUGUCGUUCCUACACUGCCCAAGGUAACCCUGUUAUGUUACAAGUGGGAAAGGAAAUGUUAUAAAAUGAAUGAAAUAAUGCGAUAUGAUGCACGCCUUACGGUGCAAGGUUUCUUUCAAACGCCAUGUGAUUGAUAGCAACAUUAUGAAAUGUGGUUAGUGUUUUCUCCAUGGGGAUAUAGAUACAUAGAUUUACAUGUAAGUUCUCGAAGAAUUACAUGGACCGGUUCAAAUAGUUCCAAACCACGAAACACCCUCUUAACUUGUUUGAGGCGUUCACUUACAAUCCGACGGAUGUGGCAUACCCGUCUAAGUGAUUAUUUGAUUAGUCAAGGAUAUGAAUUAUGCCUUUGCGUGUUAAACUAUAAAGUCUUAUUCCAAAUUGCUAGAGUUACAGUUUAUGUUGUUGACAUACAUCUCACUAAUACUCUAGAAGAACUUGAGAAACUGCCUCGCAUUUGAAGAUGGAAUUUGAGAUGAAGGAUCUUAGGAAAAAUCGUUUAUGCCUUGACCUCAAGUUCAAGCGUUGUUUUGACGAUACCUUGGUCUACCAGUCGAACUACACCCCGAAUGUGUUACCUUUGAGUAUACCUAUGAUCGUCUAUACAUUAUAUGUAAAUGAAACCCUUGAAAAGGUUAUGGAAUCCGAAAUUCCAUAUCUAAGUUCAACUUUGCACUUCAUUGUACUUAGCCCAUUGUAUUUAGACAGGACAUCUCAUUCGCUGUUAAUCUUGGUAAAGAUACAGCAUCGUGCCUACACACAUCUAUUGAAUUAGUAUUAAAGACAUACCCUAAAGGUACUACAAGGGCAAAUCCCAACGCAUCUAGAGCGGAACCAACCCCCCUAAUCCUCAGAAUGAUGCUUGCCUUGUUGUUAUGCUGACGUCGGUUACUUAUCAAACCCGCACAAAGCAAAAUCCCUAAAUGGUUAUGUCUUUACCGUUAAGGGAUAUCGCAAUAUCUUGGAAGUCCAUGAUAUGACCUUAGUUGCGAAAUCUUUGAAUCGUUCCAAGACUCACCUUACUUCACUACGCCACAAGUGAGACAUGGUUAAGUGUUCUUGUUGAGCAUAUUCGAAGUACUUGUUGUUUUUCAUCCAUCGUUGAGUCCCAAUGACGAUUCAUGAAAAUUAUGUCGCAUGUAUAAACCCGACCAAGCCAUGAUUCAUUAACGAAAUCAACGCCAAGACAUAUUGCGUCAACAUCUACAUUAGCAAAGCAUCUGGAUAUUGAAGUCAUGCAAGACGAUUCCAGACAACCUUGCCGAUCUCUACACCAUCACUGCCGAAGUCAACCUUCCAGAAGCUUAUAUGAGGAAUUAGUAUGACUAACUAUUCGUAUGCAAUGUUUGUAGUUCUCAUUUGAAAGUUAUGUCAAACUCAGGGGGAGUAUCCAUAAGUAUACUCACUUGAUCUUAAUGUACUCUUUUUCCCUACGAUUAGAAGCAUUUUUCCUAUUGGGCUUUUGCUACCUAACUAGGUAUUAACGAGGCACCCAUCUUGGGCUGAUCAUACCCUUGUGAGCUCUUCUACUUGAAUCCAAAAGACGUAUAGUUCUGACUUAAUGCAACUUCUCACUUUUCUCUUUAGCCUAUGGGGUUCUCUCUCACCUUGGGUUUUACCAUAGCGAGGUUUGUGAGUUUUACUUUUUAUGCAUUCUUCCGUUGAUCUGAGACUCGCAUUCACUCAUUGUGCCGACAACUUCAUCAACUUUACUUCAUCGCUAAAUACCUGAUGCGCCAUUUACUUGAGUUUUACACACUCAAGAGGGAGUGUUGCAGUCCUAUUAGAUUAGGAAUGUGAUUGUGUAAAUUCUAGUAUAUCUUGUUAUAUCUCUUAUAUUCCUAUUAGGAGUAGAUUACCUAUUAAAUAUUGUAAUCCUAAAGGGUAAGGAAUUAACUUUCCCUACUACUAUAAAUAAAGACACAAUGGGGUGGAAUAAAAAACACCCAUAAUUACACAUCUCUCUCUUCUCUUUACUAUUGCCGCACAUUUCCCUCUCUCUAUGACCUCCAUAAUUGUUCAAUAAAUUAUGCCUACAACAGAGCUAAAAUUUUAAGCCAUAAAAUUUUCUGGGUUCUGACUUAAAAUUUUAAACUUUACCCUCCCUUAGGGAUGGUCUAAAGCAAGGUAUAAAAUAUCGAUGAUAUCGGGAAUAUCGGUAGUCCAAAAACACGGAAAUAUCGAUGGAAAUAUCGAGAUAUUAUCGAUAUCGAUAAAAAUAAUAUGGAAACCACCGAAAUUGUAAGAAAAACUUGGAAAUUUUUAUUGAAACUUUGCAGGAUGUUUAUUUAGUCAAUUAUCUAUUAGUUUAUCACAAAAAAUUGGAAGGAAAUGUAUUGCAUGAUGGAUUUAACUGAUUUAAGUUGAUUAUAUAGUGAGCUGGCAAACAUUGUGAAUGUAGAAAAUAUGUAGUAAUUAAUGAAAGAAGUUUAAACACACCAUAAUCAUUUAUAUAAUGAAUUAGUACAAUAUUUUACACUUUAUACAUUGCAUGGUAAGAUACAUGAGUGACUUAGUACCACAUAGAGUUCCUAUGAGGUUCAAAAUUUUCACUAUCUUCAUCAUCUCUAUUUGUAGAGUAAGUGUAUUGUGAAGAGUAGUUAGCAACUAUGUUAAUGGUUUUCAAGAACCAAAACCCAAAAGUCAAUAGGAAACCAAAUACUUCGGCAUUUUCGGGAUUUCAGGAUUACCAAACAAAUGGGAUUUGGAAACCAAUCCCAUAUCGAAAAUUUCGGUAUUUUUCAGGAUGGGAUUCCCGAACUUUAGGAUGGUUUUGGUUUGGGAUUUUUCGGUUUGGGUUUGCGACUUUUUCGGUUUGGUUUGGGAUUUUCGGGAAUUUUUUCUAGCCCUACCAUGUAAGUGACCAAAUAAAAAAUAGAAAAAUUAAAAACCACAUGCCAUUGACUAAGUAAUUGAUUGACACAAUUUAAAAUAUAAUAUCACAAAAAUUUUGGAAUAUGUGCAAAUUUGUUUCUUGUAAAAAGAAUUCAAAACAAAACCAUAUAUAUAAAUAUUUUAGCAUAUUAUCACAACAAAGUAAGUGAUAUGGUGGUUAAGGUGUUAAGGAGUCAAAUGGGUGGGGUUCGAAUCCCUCUAUGCUCAAAAUUGAGACUUUUCAGAAAUUUUCAAGUAUUUUUGGAUUUCAUAUCGUGAUAUUUUGACGAAAACUCAUUGGAUACCCAUUAAAAUAUCGGUAACUCAAAAAAACGAAAAUAUUUUGCGGAUAUUUUGGUCCUUGGUCUAAAGAAUAAGUUGAUGUUAAAAUGAAUAGAUGUCAAGUUAUAGUUGGUAGAACUCUAGGUCAACAAAUCAACCCAUAACGUGUGGAAAAUUUUCUCCUCAUUAAGAGUGAUAUGCAUGCACCCCAUAGCAUUUACAACGACAUAACUCGCCACAUUUACAGGAAAUUUCCAACGUUGGACAUCCCUUGAUUCACGAAAUGAAGAUGGAGACCUCCACUGACUCUUCCUCCAUUUACAGGAAAUUGCCUCCUCAUUCACGUGGGUCCUUGAUUUCCAAAUGUGUUGGCAUUAAUAAACCUCUAAUUCAUUUAUUCCAGUUAUAGAGUUAGACUCUAAAAGGCAAUCUCCAUGACUGGUUCUAAAAAAAUUAGGAGCAUUUUUCUUCACUACCAUAAACUAUAGUCUCAUAUCUCAUAAUUUGUUACAUGUUUUUUUUUUCAUCUAAUUUUGGCUAGCAUUCAUAUUAAAUGUUUCUUUUUCAAUUUUUAAAAAAAUUAAUCAGAAUUAAAUGAAAAGACAUACAACGAAUGAUGAUGUGUAUGGUUAGCAUAUAGUGAGAAAAGUGAUGAUAUACUUUGGAACAUAAUAUGCGAUGCGAGACGACUUCCCAGAACUAUUCUUAGGGGUGGUUUGGGAGUGAGAUGCUUAAAAAAAAAGCACCCAUGAAAAAAAGCUGUGAGGGUUUUAGGUGUUUGGUAAAUUGAAAACAAAUGGCUUAUUUUGGAAGCUGCUGUGAAAAUAAGCUGAAAUCAAAGGAAAAAGCUGAAGCUGCUAUUUGUAGCUUUGGAAAACUGGUUUUUUUUCAAAGCACACGGAGCUACAAUGCUCCUUUAAUGAAAAUACCCACUAUCAUAUUGCUUUUUUUUUCAAAAGCACUUUUACAAAAAAAUUUACCAAACACUCUGCUGAUUUAUUUCACAGCCGCUUAUUCUCACAGCACAGCCGCUUUGAAAAAAAGCUGCUGUGAAAAUAAGCGGUUGUGCUAUGAGAAUAAGCGGCUGUGAAAUAAAUCAGCUGAGUGUUUGGUAAACUUUUUUAUAAAAGUGCUUUUGGAAAAAAAAGCAGUCAAAUAGUGGGUCUUUUCAUUAAAGAAGCACUGUAGCUCCGUGUGCUUUGAAAAAAAGCCAUUUUUCCAAAGCUGCAAAUAGCAGCUUCAGCUUUUUCCUUUGAUUUCAGCUUAUUCUCACAGCAGCUUCCAAAAUAAGCCAUUUUUUUCAGUUUACCAAACACCUAAAACCCUCACAGCUUUUUUUCAUGGGUGCUUUUUUUUUAAGCACCUCACUUCCAAACUAGGUCUUAUUCUCAUAGCAGUUUUUUUUCAAAGUACAGCAAUACCAAACCAGCCCUAGAAAGUCAACUUUCCAGAACAGUUUUGAUUGGACACAGAGCCUUAUCACAUUUUCUAAUCAACCACACAUUGAUUGGAUACAGAGCCUUAUCACAUUUUCUAAUCAACCACACAUCAUUUCAAACAUUUAGCGUAUCGAAAGGAGAAUGACGAUAUACUUUGGAACCAAUCCGUGAGUUGUGCAGCCUUGCUCUUAUAUAAAAUGAGAUGCUACAGAACCAAUAUUUGGUGUCUUGUGUCCCAAAGAUGUCACGGACAAUGAAGCAACUCUUCCUCUUCGCAGCGCCGCUUGGUGGUUUCGCUCUUAAUCUUUUGUUCCUAGUUCAUGCCCAAGAUCAAUCAGGUAUGAAUUCUAAAUACAGGAUUAUAAUAAAGUUAAGGUUUUUAUCGCAAAUGAUUCCUGAAAUUAACCUAUCCAUAGUUCUUGAGUCGAUCAAUAUAAUUCCUGAAAAUAGAUGUCACAUAUCAACAUGGUAUUUCCUGUAAAAAAAAAUUGUUAUGUGUUGAUAUGGUACAUAACUGGAUCCCAUAAAUCAAUUAAAUAUUGUCAUAUGAAUUAAAGAUAUUUAAAUAGUAAAACAGUUUUAAAAAAAAAAUUAAUGGGGGAAGAGGAAGAUGAACAGUACUGUAAGUAUUUGAAUUAUCAUAUACAGUGACCCCGUCCCUCUUAUCCACCAUUGAUCUGCUCUAACACAAACGUUCUCCGAAUAGAUUUGUAAGUAUUUGAAUUAUCAGAUGAAGCUCGCAGCACCUCCAUGACUAGAAAAGCACGCUUCUUUCUUCCUUCCUUUGUUCUGCAUGUGCGUCUGUACAUGCUUCAAUUUCGCAGUGAGCUCAAUUAUGCGGCUUCGUCGACCAUUUUUCCCAAGAUUGAAUCUUUUUGAGUUCUUGGUUUUAGUUUGUUUAUUGACCUCAGGUGGCCGUGAAACAAAAUCCAGGUCCCAUGCGCUCCCAUUGGCCAUGAAAAGCGUAGGACAAAGACCCAUCAGACCUACCCCUUAAUAAUACCCACAAAUAUCCGAAAAAUAGUUGAAAAAACAAAUUAUUGGUGGGGAAGAAGCAGAUGAACAGUACUGCUCGUGUGUGUAUCUAUAUAUAUAUAUAUAUAUAUAUAUAUAUUUAGUUUUUAAUUAUACAAAUAAAAAUUAUUUUUUAUUAUUUAAAUAUUUUCAAUUCACAUUGCAAUAUUUAAUGCGAGCAUUUUUGCUUACCACCUUAACACCAUUUCCAAUCGGAUAGAUUAUAGUCCUACAAAAAAUUACUUUUUAAUAAACAAUAAAAAGCCAUAUCUAUAUACAAUCUCCAACCGAAUAAGGUUAUUUUUUAACCCCCUCAAUAAUUUAUUAUUUUAAGUUUGUUCUUUAAUUUUCUCAGUUAAUUGAAUUAAACUUGUGUAUGCAAAUUUCUUCAUCAUUGUUCUUGGACAAAAUUGCAUCUACAAAACAAAUAACACCUUAGGUCAAGGCCAAAAGCCUCACACGUCCACGAUGAAUGUGGAAGGGGGGGCUUCGAUGCCAAAAUUAGAAUUUUGAGAGAAAAAUGUUUGGAGAAUUUGGAGAAUUUAGCAAGAGAAAUGGAAUUGAGUUUUGGAGAAAAUGAGAUAGUAUUUAUAAGCGUGUGGCCACCCCUUUUGAGAGGAUGGGAACCGGCCACUUAGAUGGUUUUUUGGGUGAGAUUCAUGAUUUGUUAGCUAAUUAAUAAAUUAAUUAGGUAAUAAAUCAAUUAAUUAGCUAAUUAAUAUAAUUAGAAAUGAAUGAUUUGGGGUUACCUUGUAGAGAAGGCUAGAAAUAGUGCACAUGCGUUGCUACGGGAUUACAAAAAGCGUGAGCAUAACAUAUAUAGAUAUUUAAAGAACGAUGAAGUUUAAUUAAUCAAUGGAAAAUGGCGAUUGUUAAGUAAAUUAGCAAAUGAGAAUAUCUGUACAUUCAAUGUAACAAAACUUCAAUUACAUGAAAUCAAUUGGUGGAAUUAAGAAUAUCUCACAUCACAUUGAAUGUGACGAUAUUGCAAUUAACAGGAACUCAGUUUCGAAACAAUCCGCAAAUCUAAAAUCAAAAGCAAUAAACAGAGCUAAAAACAGUAAAAACAGAGAAAAACAUGCAUGCUGGGAAAUCAAAAGAGAAGGGAAAAGGGAAAACCUUUAUGAUUAAUUUUCUUCUCAUGGCGUGGCUUAAGAGAGACCCAAAAAAAUUUACAAACUAUUAAGGACUGAUACAGUCAAUUUUGAAUCAAAACAAAUAAGCCUUAUUAAUACCUUGUGAAAUCGCAUUGUGAUUUUGACAGCGUAAAACCCAUAAAUGUCGAGCAAAUGAUGAACAUGCAAUUCAGAUCAAAUAUGCAAUCUUUUCUGCAAGAUAAAAAUGCAUAACUAUCCACUGUAGGGGCGAUUGGGAGAACAAAAAAAAAUCAAAAGGAAUUAUUAACUUUUGGAUCUAGAAGGAAACUCAAAUGAAUCGAUCGAAAUUAUAACCCUAGAAACUAAAAUCAAACAAACACAAAAACAAAUGUGAGAAUUUACACGGCAAGAGAUUGAUACUUACCCGAUGUUUGGGGGGGUUGACUGAGAUCGGCGCCCAUUUUUUAAAAAGUAGUGAAAACCCAAAAGCAACCAAGUCUGAUCAAUGCCAAAACAGAAAUGACAAUCAGCUAGCAGAAGCUAUCCAGCAACAGGGAUAUCCAAACAGAUACUAUUCAUGUUUCUCUAGAUGCUCAGUGCCAAAAUCCUCUUCACUCAAAAGCACUUCUAUAGUAAAUAAAAGUCACAGAGAUCAUACAAAAAAUCCAAAACACUAAAAUGGGCAAUCAAGAUUCAAGACCAACAUCCAAUAACCAAAAUUGGCACCAAAACACUAAACCCCAAAAUUGCAAACCAGCUUAAUUCAAAAGUAGCUUAAUCCAAAAGCAGCUUAAUCUGCAACAAUUGAACCAAGAAACAGAAUUUACCGUGAUAUAAUCGAUCCCAGAACCGAUCUUCUUAGCUUCAGGAUGAAACGGAGGCAGCCUUUGGAGAACAGUCUUCUGAUGCUGAGGGCUCAAUCUAUUUGGAUUAGAACACGGGAAAAUGAAAAUAUAAGUUAAUGCAAAAUUUUUAGCACAUCAACUUGCAAAAUAUUUUCAAUAUACUGAGAUCUAUCACAAACAAAACAUCAAAACCAAAACUACUAACUCCCCAAAAAAUCAAAACUACAUAUAAGAAAAAGGAAAUCAAGCUUAAAAAACUUAAAUUAGGGGAAAGAGUUGGAGAAGCAACAACUGACAUUAUUUUCCAAGGCUUUUCAUGGUUGGCAAUAUAAUGCAUGUGCUUCCCAGGAGCUUCAACAUGAAAGCUUGAUAAAUUGAUGAAAUGGAUUGGAGCAAAAGUAAUUUGAAUGCCUCCUUCGUUCUGACAACAAAAAAAAAUAUUUUAAGAUUAGAUAUUACAAACUGAUGUACACAUAAUAAUAGAAUCAGUGUCAAUUUCUCCAUGUUAUAGCAAUACCUCAUAACAAAUCGUCGGCAAACAAAAUCAAUUUUAAGUUUUUUGAAUUAAAAAAGCAAAAACACAUUUUCAGAGAGUAGCCAGACAAAAUCAUAAUAGCCAAUAGCAAACAAAUCCAGAAAAAGAUAGAAACAAAUAGAAUCAUUUAAAUUUUGUAUGCUGUUAGUUUCUCAAGUAACAUUUACAUAUUCAAAUUAUGCAUGUAUUGGGGCGCUUUAGGCACAAUGGUAGUGUAGUAUUCAAAAUUUAUUUUCAAAUGAUCACAAAUGAAUCUCCAACUAUUGUACUUAAAACACCAUUAUUCUACUCAAACUAAGUGAAAAUUGUGUUGUUUUUAUAAAAACAUUGAAAAACAUAUGAACUCAUGCCCAGCUUUGAUUAAUUCAUCAUUAAUAGCUGACGAUUUCAACACUAAGAGUUUAUAAGAGAACAUUGAAAACAUAUGAACAUGCCCACUUAUUAUCAUGUCCAACAUUGCAGUUGAUUAAUCUCACAUAAAUCCACAUCAAAAGAACCCAGAAAUUUAAUGAAGAAUUUUCCAAACUCACAAUUUAUUUACACUAAAACCCACAAAUUUAAACGAAAAACUCUAUAAAAUCAAGAAAAAAUUAAUAAAAUCCAAGUAUAUUAAUCACAAAUUCAAUCAUACAAAUCUUCAUAUCCAAUAAGUCUAGAAGGUACCUAGCUUCCUUGCAAAAUCGUAUCUCUACAGGCCAAGGCUCAAAUUUCCUUGCAGCUGCCUUGAUUCGAUAAGUCCUGAUUCAAGCAGUCACAUAUAUAUAUAUAUAUAUUUAAGUUGAUGCGUUCAAUGGACAUAUGCACUUAUCAGAAAUUAUGAUACCGAUUGAACACGUUAGAGUAAUAUCCGCAAUUAAAUAAUGAACAUUAAAAUGACUAACCGGGUAACAUAAACUGCUCAAAUUUGGGGGGCUGGAAUUUGAAGAACCCAGAUGGAAGUUACACACAAUCUGAAAAGAAUGAAAGCAACUGCAUUAUAGGAAGAGUUGUUACAAUCAAGAAAAUAUAAAAUAUUGCGUCGUUGCCCUAUAUGAUCUCAGGAUCCAAACAGAAAUAAGUAAACAGAAAGAGAACUAUUGGAAAGCAAUUACCUGAAAUUCUGAGUUCUCUUCUAGAGUGAGGAGAAAGAAGUUUUCUAAAACAAUCAAAACCUUGCUUUGUGCUAACUAAUGAAUGGUCUGAAUUGUGAAAAAAAUCGAAUUCAAAUCCUCCUUCAGCAACCUAAUAAUUAAGCCCAUAAAAAUUUAAAAACUCUAAUAUCGGCUAUUUUCUAAAUAUUAGGACACAAUACGUCAUCAAUACGUUAAUUAAAAAUAUACAUUGAUGCGUAUUCAUACAUAUAUAUAAAUAUAUUAAUAAUUGUAUAUAAAUAUAUACGGCAUGGAUGCUAAAAAAUAAGGAAAACUAACGAAAAGUCCAAAAAAAACUUCCCUUUUAAUGAAAAGUCAUUUUUAAAGGUAUAAUGAAUAGUACUAAAAAGGGUAUAAAUGUGGUUUUUCGUUAAAAGUGAACCGUACUAGAAGUGUUUUGUUAAAACUCCCUAAAAAUAUGCAUUAUUUUCUAAUAUAAAUAUAAAUAUAUAUGGCCUUAUUUUCUCAUAAAACAGAAGCCCUGGUUUGAAAAUAAAAUAUCACAUGACUUCAAAAAAACCCUAAGUACCUAGCACAAUAGAAUCUGCCGCCGUCGGCUUCUUUCCAAUUGUAGAUCUGGCCGUUUCGACACUCUUCUACACAGAGCUCUCUCACUCCCCCUCCCGCUCUCUCCCCCUCCUCUGGUUAGAUCAUUUCAUCGUCAAGCUGCUUUUGUUAGAAAUUUGUCAAGACCCACAACACAACCUAACUAAAAAACUCAAGGAUUAAAAGUUUCUCCCCAAAAAACCACAUCUCUGUCAUCAAACGAAAACUUCGAAAGCAACAACCCAUUCUAACAUCUAAAAUUGAACAGAACACAAUCCACACAGUUGCAUAAAAAAAUUGUAGAUGCAAGAUUAGAAGAAUUCACAACAAAACUAUCCACUUUGAGACCAACAGAUGCGAAGAGAGAAGAGAGAGCAGACAGCUACAAAACACCCAAAGAAAUCGAAAGCGAAGAAGAUCAACGCCCAAGCAGCGACAUCAACGGGAAAGAGAGGAAAUUUUUACAUACCGACUGAUCGGCGCGAGGGGAGAGAAAUGAGAUCAAAAAGGGAAAAAAAUUAAGGUUAGAACAGCGACAACAGCAAAGAAAAAAGGAAAGAGCACCGAAGCACCUAGGGUUGGGUUCGGUUUGAAACGGUUCGGUUUUUUGCCAAAACCGAAACCGAACCGAAUUUUCGGUUCAGUUCGGUUCGGUUCAAAAAAAUUUCGGUUUUUUUCGGUUCGGUUUUUUUCGGUUUUGAUUUUUUUUGGCUCGGUUUCGGUUUAUUUUCGGUUUUUUUCCAUGAUUUUUUUUUAAUCCGGAAGAAAUCUGCAACGAUUAAGCAAUGGAGAUGCAGAAACUUCUGCAUCAAAUGAAUACGAACUGGGACGAUCGGCCAUGGAUCUGACAUUAUUGGGUGUCGAUGCGUAUUUCUUGUUGUGGAUCUGAGAGCUCUCGCAGAGAAAAUGCAUGCAUGUGUUAAAUCUUUUGAUUUUUCCAUGAAAAUAAACCCAAUAGAACUAAAUAGCAACCAUGAGAGUUUUUUACCUUGGGGGUUUAUUUUUAGUCCCAAAGCUCUCGCCAGCCAUGGAAUACUUAUGCAUCUGCUGCCAAAUUGGAAGAUUAAAAGAAAAACUUAUGCAUCUGCUGCCAACAUGCAAAACCCCAACAAAAUAAUUAAAAGAAAAAACCCCAAAAAACACGUAGAAACAACAAAAAAAUAAUUAAAAGGAAAUCUGCAACAACAAUCAUGGUUUGGAAGAAGGAAUCCGCGAGGAGGACAGGAGAAUAUUGGAGAGAGUGAUUUGAAGGAAGAGAUGAAGGGGAGAGAGAGAUAGAGAGAGAGAGAUUGAGGAAGCAAAGGCAGAGACUCAGGGAGGAAGUAGCGGAGGGAGAGAGAGUUUGAGAAAACGUGAAAAACUGAAAUGGGAAUGUGAAUGACGGCUAGGGUUUGUAAGUUAAGAAAUUUUAUAAAGCGUUAACUAUUAGAAACCUAUAAAUGAAUUACCGGUACAAUUAUAACAAAACAAAGCUGACAGUCAAGUUGGCUUGAAACGACUACCAACCUGAGGUCAGGGGUUCAAACCCUGAUAUUUUUUUAUUAUUUAUAUAUGAUUUUUUUUUUCGGUUUGGUUCUGUCCGGUUCGAUUUCCGAACCUCAAAAACCGAAACCGAACUGGCCAUAUUUGGUUCGGUUCGGUUUUGGCAAUUUCGGUUCGGUUUUUUUUGGCUUCAGUUUGGUGCGGUUUUCAGUUUUUUUUGGUUUUCGGUUUUUUGAACCCACCCCUAGAAGCACCCAAAGAAAUCGAAAUAGGAGAGGAUGAACACGUGGCCUCGGAGGGCAAGGAAGUCAUUUAACUGUAGAAAAAUGGCAAAAAAGUGGCUUAACAAAUGAAUUGAGGGGCAUUUUGGUCCGCACAUUGCCCGUGAACAGUGCACCCGAGUUUGGGCUUUAGUGUAUGUAUAAUUUGAUAAGGAUAGAUGAAAUAUGUUUUUAAUAAAUACCUAUUUUGGGCACUUUUGACUUGAUUGAGGAAUGAUUGUUCACUGCUCGCGCGUAGGAGUUCCGUUGUUCCUCGAGGGUAAUUUUGUCAUUUUCAUCCUAAAAUCCACGUGUUACCUUCAUAUUCUUCUUGAUUAUUUUUGGCUUCCCAAAACUACCAUAUUAAAAUAAAAUUUCUGAACAUAUUUUGAGGGCCACUUGUCGCUAAAUGUUGUUUUAAGUUUCAUGUUAUUAAAUAUUUUAACUUUACUUGCUUGUUAACAACUUAGACAUUAAAAUGAGAUAAGAUAGCAUGAAAUGGUGAAAAUCAUGUGAGAAAUGGUGCAAAAUGAUUUAAGUAUUUAUAGGAAAAAAUUAGAAUUUUUUUUUUUAAAUUUCAUCUUAGGAAAAAAAAAAAGACUACAUGACGUCAGUUAGCAGCACAACUAGGCCUAACUUUCAGGGUUGACUGGCCAUUUGGCUAUAUUUUGGCAUGUGGGUCCCAAAUUUUUUUGGCCCAACCCUCCAUUGGAGAUGGGUUUUAUAUCAAAACGGAUUAUGUUUAUGCCUGUAACCCUUUGAUCGGCUCGGUUGAAGAUGACCUAAACUCUAGAACAUGCUCACCACCCCCUCUAAAGAUUGACUAUUAACAAUUAACAAUGAUUAACUAUUAACAAUUAAUAGUAAAAAAAUUAAGGAAUUAAGUCAUCCCCCCUUCUUCCCCAAAAUCACAAGCCACUGCUUCAUGCUUGAAAACUUAACAGAAAAUAUUGUGACCACAUUGAUUUUUGACACCUAUUUUCAAAGACUACAUUAGUCGAUUUUCAAUUUCAAGAACCAUCUUAAUCAAUUUCAGGGACCACUUGUGAUAAAAACCCUAAAGUUAAAAAACAAUUAAGAACUCUUUUCUUACAUUUAUAAUAUAUAUGUGCCAGGCUUCAUUAGCAUAGAUUGUGGCCUAAGGGAAGACUUCAGGUAUAAUUCAACAUGGUCAGGCAUUACCUAUAUUUCAGACGAAAACUUCGUGGCCACUGGUGAACGGAAGUUGGUGUUGCCUGAACACAAAAACACGUAUUCCCCGUUAUACAACUCUCUUAGAAGCUUCCCUAAAGGUAUCCGAAACUGCUAAAAUAAAUGUUACAAGUAAAACCAAGUAUUUGAUCAGAGCAGGUUUCUUUUAUGGGAAUUAUGAUGGACAAAAUGAAGUACCCCAAUUUGAGAUACAUCUUGGACCUAACUUGUGGGAUACAGUGAAGUCGGAAGCAACAAAAAUCGAGCUCAUACAUGUCCCUCUGCAAAACUAUGUACAUGUUUGUCUGGUGAAGAAAGGCUCCGGGGUUCCAUUUAUAUCAGUCAUAGAACUCAGGCCAUUAACCGAUGCCUCGUACAAAACAGUGAAAGGGUCCUUAUCACUUCUCUUGCGGAGUGACACUGGUCUAACAGCUGACCGUGAAUACAGGUGAGUGAUUUACAUGUUUACUAUUGUCUCCAAUUUAACCAUAUAUAGUCUGGCAUUCAUCAACAUUGUAUGCAUGUAUUGAUGCAAAACCUUUAUUUGUAUAGGUAUCCAUUUGAUACUCAUGAUCGAAUCUGGGAAUACUUUGACGACCACAGCUCUUGGACAAAAUUAAAUACCUCAUCCACCAUCAAUUCAGAAUUCGAGUAUCAACUACCAUCCGUCGUGAUGGGCACAGCUGCAACGCCGACAAGUUCAAAUGAUUCGUUGAAUAUUUUAUGGGACCCGUAUGAUGACACUGAAGUACAUCAUGUUUACUUGCACUUUGCAGAAGUUGAAAAGCUCCAACCCAAUCAGUCUAGACAGUUCAACAUUACUACAAACGGAGAGCUGUGUUAUGGGACACUUGCUCCUGAUUAUUUGUCCACAACGACAAUAUUGUGCACCGCUAAAUCCCUGAGUGGACCAGGAGUAAACAGUAAUUUUUCAAUUGUUAAGACUGGAAACUCUACCCUUCCACCCAUCCUCAAUGCCUACGAGAUUUAUGGAGUGAAGGAAUUCUUAACAUCAGAUACCAACCAAGACGAUGGUGAGUCAUAUUGAUUCCUUACACAAGCUUAAAUUCCUUGCUAUAUGUGAGCUUUUAUAACAUCUUCUGUUUGCUUGUGAAAAUAUUAGUUGAGGCUAUCACAAACAUUAAGUCAACGUAUAAUAUUGAAAAUAACUGGCAAGGAGAUCCUUGUAACCCUCAUGUUUACUCAUGGGAUGGUCUAAACUGUAGCUAUCAAGGAAAUGAUCCCCCAAGAAUUAUAUCCUUGUAAGUAUAAAUAUCUUCACACCAAAUUGCAGAUUAAUUUUCAGUACUUACAAUUUUAUUGAUGUUAUGGACUUUGCAAUCAGGAACUUGUCUUCCAGUGGAUUAGAAGGGGAGAUUUCUCCUUCUCUGUCAAAUCUAACAAUGAUACAGACAUUGUAAGUGUAUCUAAAUAAUUUGUAAUUUUGUGUGAAAACAUAAACAUAUCUCAGUAAUAAUACGGCAAAUGAUCAAUUAUACCUAAAAAGAAAUGACACGAAUCAUUCUGGAAGAAUUUCAGACAUCAUAAUCAAUAGUGUUAAAUGAGUUGAGCUGCUCAUUGCAGGGAUUUAUCAAACAACAACUUAAGAGGAUCAAUUCCAGAAAUUUUGUCACAACUGCAGAUGUUAAAUGUGUUGUAAGUUAUUUUGUUAUAUAUGUGUAUGUGUGUGUGUAUUUUGUUAGUCUUAUAGCUUAUUUACGCAUUUGAAACUCAAUACGAGUCUUGCACCACAUAACUUAAAUUGUGUCACUUAACUUCCUAAUACUCAACUUGUUUUUCACUUUUACCAUAUGCCAUCAAAGUCUGUUAGAUAAUCCGUUAAAAUUGGUGACAUGACACAAAUGACCCAGUUUUUUGCACAAAUAGAUGCUACUAGCAAGGGUGCCCGCGCAUUGCUGCGGGAUUGAAAACUGUAUAACGCCUUGCUGCAGGAUUGAAAAUUGCAUAACUCAUGUAGAAGUUCUAAAAAAAAUUAUGUAUGUGUGUAAUACAGUAGACAAUACUAUUUACAUACAUGUGCAAAUUUAUUUACAACAAUAAGGAACAAAAUAAGUGUCCAUGGGCGAAAUGAAGUUUAUGGUUAUAAAUUGUCAAAUUCCAUACGUGUCAAACUUCAUUUAGGAAACUAAAACCAUAAAGAAUAAAGUGAUAAACACAGAAAGAUAGUUCACAAUAUGAAACCGUUGCUUCACUAAAUAAGCAGUACUAACAAAAUCAUGCUUGUUUUGCUGCAAAAGAACAAAGUAGAAAAAGGGAAACAAAAUAUUUAUUUCUUAUUUUAUAUUCUGUGGAACAAACUUGGAAGAAGAAGCAAUAGUGAAAAAAUCAUAUUUAUUUCAAUUCUUUAGGUAGAGAAAAAUAGUACAGAAACCAACAAUGGAGGCACAUUUUGAGAAAGUAUUGAUGAAAACACACAGUACACAUACCUGCUUAAACCUUUCCUCCUUUUGCUCAGCCUGUAUUUGGAGUAGAUUAGACUUGGGCAUAAAUUCAGAAAUCAGUUAAGAAUGAAACCCAAAAGUAAUUGCAGUUUCUUAUUAUCGUUUCUCUUAGAAAAGACUAAAAAAAUUGUUUCUUAAGAUAACAAUAUGUAUAUAAGCAGGAUUGUGCUUAAUUUUCUCUAAUUAAAGCAAUGGUUUGCGCAAUUUAGAACCUGAUAUAACAAAAGCAUAACAAACAAAAAAUUCCAGAACCUGAAGUGCCUUUUGAAAGCUCGGUCCUACUUCGAAAAUCUACAAAGGGAAAAAUUGUAAACCCAAAUUAAAGCUUCUUCUCUCACUCAAAAGAACAAUGGAAACUUUAUAUGGAAAAAAAUUGAAAUUCUGCGUAAUCAAAAGUGGAUCAAAACUCUUAAUAGAUUAUCUUUACGCGUAGGAGAUCGUUGUUAGAAUUUGAAAACAAUUGAAACAAUUGAAACUUCAUUUUAAACACAGACUUAAUCAAUUGAUUUAUAUUUAAAUGGAAAGAAAGUAGUGGUCAGUUUUACCUAUCUUUUGUUUAGUAUCGCUCCAUUUCUAAUUUCAAUUAAAAGCUUGAAUUUUUACUUUCCUUCCAUUCCCCUGUGCAUAAGAGUACAUUAGCUCUUGUUUACCUACUACAAAUUGAAAACAAUUUGGGGAAAAUAACUAAACCUUUGGUUAUUAGAUUCUUGGUAGGCAAAGCAAGAAAUUUACACACAACAAAACUAUUAAAACUUUAAAAUUCACUUCCCAAAUUAGGUUCUCUGACUGGCUAAUGAUCAUAUUGGAUAUAAAUUAUCAUCCCGAACACUGCAAUGCUUGAUUUAUUUAUUUAUUUAUUUGUGUUGACAUUCUAGUUAAUCAUUAUUUAACCGAAGAAUACAAUUCAUAGAACAAUAAUUAGUAGUAGCUAAACGAAAGGGAACAAAUAGCAAAAUUUGCAGUUAACAACAUAGAGGUAAGUGAAUUAUACACAAUUAGGAUAGGAAUGCAACCAAAAUGUGACUCUUACCUGGUUUUGGUUAUGCGUCUAUCAAGUGCUGCCCUUAACUAACGAAAUAAGCACUCUCUUCAUGUAGCACAUUUAGUCAUCAAUCCCUUACACACUAAGAUAUUAUGUAUUACAUUCAAAUUUUUCUGUACUUACAUUUUCAUUCUAUUUCUUUCAGUGUGUAAACUUAUACUAAAUCUCCAUAAUUUUCAGUCAAUUCCAUUGUAAUUAAAAUAAAUAUUGAGUAUAUACAUACUUAUAGACACACAAAAUUCAGUUUUCCAUAUGAAAGCACAUACGUCAAGUCAAUGUUCCUAUUGUAUUCAUUUAAUCAAAGGAUGCAUCAAAUAUAAAAAUUAAAUUAUACCUAUAAUUUAUAACCUUUUGAUUUCGCUUCGUCUGCAGCUAAACCAAAAUUUAGACAGUCCCCAAUAUAAUUCUGUCAAAUACCAGAUACCAACGCCAUGUAAAAGUCAUAUUGGGUGUCCACACCCACACUUGGGCUUAAAAAAUACUUGCAUAUAAAUUAGAAAGAAGAUGAAUAAAUUAAAGAAAAAUCAUAUCUACUAGCAAUUCAGACUCACCCAAAGUUGCUAUCGAGCUCUGCCGAAGACAACCCUGCACUGUUGACAAAGUCUAGAACAACCUAGAAAUUUAAAAAGAAAUAAGCAAUCAUUUACUAAAAAUCUUCACAAAAAAAAAAAGUGCUAGUUUCACAAAUAAAUGAAACCUAGAUUAAAUAUCUUGAUAAAAACUAAGAACUUCAAAGCUUAAGAAAAACCCAUGAAUCCAACCAUGAAAAAGAUGCAAACUUUUGCACCGGCAAACCAUUCAUAAACCAAAAAUGAUAUUUUAAACAAAACACAUGAAUCCAACUCAAAAAAGCUCAAAUUUAAAUCAACCAACACAAACAAAAUAUCAAACAUGGUUCAUUGUCUCUCUUCGCAUUUAAAUCACAUAGUGUUGCCCAAUAUAUUAUCGUCUUAACAUUUCAAAUACUCAUGCAUUAGAUAAAAAAUGAUAUCUAUGUUAAAAUUACAUGGACUGCUUUAUCGUGGUUUAAAAAAGCAACCACAAAUCAUAGAAUCUAAAUGUUCCUCAAAUCAUCUAAAACACUAAAACAAAACCCUCACUUCCUACUACACGUUUAAGAUAGGUGAACCCAUACAAACCUCUUCACCAUUCACCAAUAUCCUUGGUGCUAUAAAUCCAAACAAAAAAAAAAACAUCCAUAAAUAAAAUGGCUACUAACCAAAGCAUCCUCUGAACAAAUUAAGAAAUUCAAUUAAAUUAAACUCCCAGAAAAAAAAAUUUAAAACACAAAAAAGAUAUGCUUGAAUUGUCAAGGAAAUCAAGAUACUAAUAAAUAUAAAGAUGUGUUUGAAUUGUUAAUCAAAUAAAUAAAUAAGACAAAGCAUUUCCAAACGUUGAUUAUGUCUGAUGAGUUAAUGCUACGUGAUUGCCCUGGAUUAGUUUUUCCAACCUUUUCAAGCCAUGAGAUGAUUGCUUCUGGUGUAUGACCAAGGAUAUGGAGGCUGUGUAGAUAGUGGCCAAUCGAUUUCUAAGACAUGUUUUUGAAGCGGUCUACAGGAUUGAUGUGCCCAAACCCAAAUCCUAUGAAAUCGACAACCGAAGAAACAGAGAUUCUCCUAUCACUAAAUAAAGAUUCAAACCCAAAACUGAGUAAUUUAUCAAAAAAUUCACUGAAUCGAUUCGAGAAAAUGCGAAAAUUAUCAAACCUAAUCUUCCGCAAUCGUCCAAGUAGAGAAAAUUUAGACUUUUUGUGGCGAAUUUCUGGAGAAAUUUUUUAUGGAUGAAGGCUGAUGGCGAUUUAUUUGGCUCGAGAAAGUUGGGUCAUGGCAUACUAGAGAUUUUAAGUGGAAUUGAUAAUGAAAGUUUGGACGAAAACGACAAACGGAGAACAAAGGGUCCGUGGGAGAAAGAUUUGUAGUCUCGCGGUUUCUGGAAGAUUGGAGAACGAAUCGUCAUUUCAUCCCCUCCCCACUCCAAGAUGGCUGACACGUGCACAGGUGAAGAGUGUUGUCGAAGACGAAGGUGUAGCGAUGAUGUCUCGUGGGUUAGGAGGGCAAAACGGCCUUUUUGGUGUGUGAAAAAUGGGAAAAAUAGCUGAUAACAAAGAAUUGGAGUGUGUGUACGUCAGUCCGAUUACUUUUAAUGAACAGUAAUUUUGUGUUGAGUUUUAAUAUAUGUAUAACGUGGAUGCCAUUUGAAAUAAAAAGUAUAAAUAUAAGAAUUGAUUUAAAACACAAGUUAGAUUUAUUCAUUUAAAAAAAUAAGGAAAACUAAUGAAAAAGACUUGAAAACUUUGAGUUUUAAUGAUAAUGACAAAAUAAAGGGUAAAGUGAAUAGUACCAGGAUUGACUUUUUAGUGUAAAAAUAUGAUUUUUUGUUAAAAUAAACAGUACUAGAUACUUUUCGUUAAAAUUCCAUUUAAAAUAAGAAUAAAUCCCCUAAACCCAUCUCUCCCUCCGUCAGAACCCUCAAUGCCGCCCCCUUCCUUAUUCCCUCUUCUUCUAUAUAUUUUCCUCUCUCUCUCUAUUCUCUUCUUUAAUUUCCCAGACAACCCCACCAACCUUCACUCUCUCGCCGUAGUUUCACUAGUACUUAUGUGGCAGUGCCAUGCAUAAGUAAAAAGUGGGUCCUAUUUGUGCGCUAAUUUUAAUGGAUUUUCUAAUGAAAUUUGACCGCGUAGGGCAACGUAGUUGAGUUUUAGGGAACUAAGUGGCAUAUUUUGAGUUAUAUGAGGCAAAAUAAGAUUCAUAUUGAGUUUUAUGAAGUAUAUGUGUAAAUAAAUUUUACAAUUAAGUACCUAAAACCUUCUAACAUUUUAGUGUCAUUCUAAAUUCGUAUUAACCAUUUUUAACUUUUCAAACAAAUACCCAACUUAUUGAAAAUGUUACAUCUGUUAAGUCUUAAUUAACUUUUCUAUUAAAUGUACAUGUGGCAACACUGGGUUUAACUUAUUGAAAAUGUUACAUCCAUUUAGUCGAUAUUAAUUUUUCCGUUAAUUCUAUAUAUUGUUAUAUAUAUGUCCUCAUCUAGAAAGCAUAGUAACUAUAUAUGCACUGCUUAAUCUACCUUUGCAGAAAUUUGGAGAAUAACAACCUCACAGGCUCAAUGCCGGUGGUACUCAUUGACAGAUGGAAGGAUGGUUUACUAUCAUUAAGGUGUGCCACCCUUUUUUUUAUAGCAGGAGGAGGAGAUUUGCUGAAGAAAAUAGAAAAAACUAUAUAGUAAAAUAGAAAAAAUAAAUACCCGGACAACAGUAAGUUUUAUAUAAAAGCACCUUUUUUUUUGACAAAAGUACUUUGAUAGCUUAAUUGGAGAGAAAAAAAAUAUAACCAUGUGGGUGUAUGAUUUUGAGCUCAGACCGAAAUAUAAUCCACCAGUCUUUCAUUUAUUUAUUUUUUUUCAUAUUUCAUUCUUCCUAGAAAUUUAAAAUGAUAUGGCAUUCCGCAGAAACUUGAUUUUUAGAUAUAAGAACAUGCGUUACAAUUUUUAUUUGGGAAUUAUAUUAUCUUUUACCAUAAUUGAUUAAACAAUACAAUAUUAUUUUCGUAUGACAGUUCGUGCGAAAAUCCAAACCUAUCCGGAAAUGUUUCUUGCAACAAGAAGAAGAACAGGAAGUAUAAUUUUUUUGUUCCGAUAAUAAGUGUUUUGGUUGUUGCACUGUCAGUCCUCUUACUCAGUGCAGCAGCUAUCUGGUGUCGGAUUACUUAUAGGAGGAAAAGGCAACUUGGUAAGAUUCCAUAUUUGUUAAUGUCAUCUUCUUCCGCAAUAAAUAAUCACAAACAGAAGGUUUUGAUUUGUAUAAGAUGCUUAUGAAAAAUGUUAUGAUUGUAGGAAAUAGCACAGAUGCAAAUGUAGUCAUUCAGCAUGGGUCAUUUGAGCGAAAAGGGAGACAGUUUACGUACUCUGAGAUAGUACAGAUUACAAGGGGGUUCAAGAUGGUUCUUGGAAAAGGCGGCUUUGGAACAGUUUAUCACGGCCACAUAGACGACACUCAGGUAGCUGUCAAGAUGCUUUCACGGUCAUCAGUGCAAGGGUUUCAGCAAUUUCUCACAGAGGCAUGUUUGUCAUAUUAAAUAAACUAAUCCCACUGUUUUUCGGAUUAAUAUUAAUUUUAUUAAAUUACAUGUAACGUUUCUGACCUACUAAAUUACAGGUUGAUCUUCUUAUGAGAGUUCAUCAUAGAAAUUUGACAAGUCUUGUUGGAUAUUGCAAUGAUGAAACCAAUAUAGGGCUGAUCUACGAGUACAUGGCCAAUGGAAACCUACGAGAACAUCUUUCAGGUUGAUGCAAAUGAAAUUACUCAGUACUAAAUUUGCCAUUCAUUUCUUAAUUAAUUAGUACUUUUAAAUUCUUUGGUAGUCCUUAUUUUGAUAAUUCUAUUUUCCUGGAUCACCCGACUCUAUAAAAUAAGAUAGUUAUAUUUUUUUUUAUGGACGCAGGUAGCAGAUCAAAUAUCUUGAGUUGGGGAGAUAGACUUCAAAUAGCAAUAGAAGCUGCACAAGGUCUGUGUAACUAACCAAUCAUAUUAUUUAGGCACACAAAAAUGAUACACCUAGUAUAGGUGCGUCCCACGUACAGUGGUACGUAGGGCUGAACUUUAUGAGAGAGUAUGUUAGCAACUCUUUGAGACUUUGAGUUUUAGGAGCUUAAAUACCAAUCAUUAUUGAUAACGAAAUGGUAUCUACUUUUUGAGAAGUUGUGUCUGGAUUUUAAAAACAGGACUGGAGUAUUUGCACUAUGGAUGCAGUCCGCCUAUAAUCCACAGGGAUGUGAAAUCAACAAACAUCUUGCUGAAUGAAAAAUUCGAAGCCAAACUAUCUGAUUUUGGCAUAUCCAGAAGUUUCCCUACAGAGGAUGGAACGCAUAUAACAACAAAUAUCGCUGGCACUCCCGGGUACCUUGACCCUGAGUAAGAGUUCUUUUCAUUUACUUGAGGCAUCGUCUUUGUGUCCUUAUUAUGUAUGCAAACAAACUUAAAUUAUAUAAUCAACAAGGAGUAUGAAGGAAGAAACUAUAAAUCAUUUUGGAAAACAUUUUACAUUGGGUGAUAUGAUUUGAGAUAUAUGGUUUGGCUUGCAGGUAUUACGCAUCAUACAGAUUGAAUAAAGAAAGUGAUGUUUAUAGCUUUGGCAUUGUACUGUUGGAGAUUAUCACAAGUCGACCUGUUUUUUCUAGAACGCAUGAGCGGAGUUACAUUAGUGAAUGGUUCAGUUUCAUGCUUCAAAAAGGAGACAUUUACAGUCUUGUUGAUCCGAGGUUAGAAGGAAAUUUCUGUACGAACUCAGUCUGGAAAGCUGUGGAAAUAGCAAAUGCAUGCGUAUCUCCAACUGCCAUCAAAAGGCUAAGCAUGAGUCAGGUAGUGGUGGAUCUAAAGGAGUGCUUGGCAACAGAACUCGCUCAAACAAACCAGAGGGAUGAAACUGAACUAAGAAAUUCCAUUGCUAUGCUACACCCCUCAGUUAGGUAGUAGUACUAAAUAUCUAACCAAACAAAGAGAAAGUUUGGGAUGCAUUAUUUUCUUCUUUGUGAUAGAUACAAUAGUUUUUGUAUGGAUUGCAAUUUGCAACUAUUUCCAAUCUCAUCAGGUUCAUCUUUUCGUGCGAAAGGAGAUAAUGAAGAUAUGAUCUAAACAACUAUUAUGUUGUUUGCCAUUGAAGGUCCUAGCAAUUAAGGAUUAAGUUGAAGUCAACUUCAAAGUAGAUAAUAACUGGUAUAUCCGUAUAUAAAGAGUUUAUCUGGAAGUUCAUUUUUCUAAUUUAACAACAAUAUUAAAUCCACUUUAUCAUUACCAUUAGAAAAGGUAAUGUUGUGAAUAUAUUGAAACAAAAGUUAAAGGUUCAAUAACUUAGGGAGACAAGAAGCCUUAUCCUAACACAAUGUCAAUAAGUUCACACGAGUUAGGCAAUCAUUAUUAAGUAGCUAGCUACUAGAGUUACUUAUAAAUAUCGGAUCCAUAUACAGCCCGAAGGUUGUUAAGAUCUUUGACCAAUGAUUUGAAAUUCGAACAUGGAGUACAUAGAAGUUUAUGAAAGUUAAUACUAGGAACGUAAUAAGACUUCUUCAACGUAUGAGAAGGAGAAACGAUAAAGAGACUGUCUCAAACUAAGAUUCUCAUGUACUUUUCACUAUCUCAUGUUUUUUAUAUAAUAUUUUAUAAAAUAAAUCGAAUUAAUGGUCUCAAUGGUGAUAGGUUAUUCAGAAGAUAUUAUGUGGUAAAAAAAAAAAGAUAAAUUACAUUUUACCCCUUGAGGUUUAAGGUCGAUUGCAAUCUCAUAUAAUAUUUUUAAUACAUUCAUACAUUUACUUACCAUUUUAUUUUAAUUUUAACAUUCAUUAGUAAAAUCUUUAAGUUGACAGUUAAAUUAUGAUGUGGCAACUACGAGUCCCAUAUUUUUUUACUGAUGUGACAAUCAAUUUUGGAAUGUAGAUAAAAAAACAUGAAUUAUACAUAAAAUUUUAAUUAUUUAAUAAAACCAAAAUAAAUACACAAACCUAAAAGAAAAAAAUCCACAAACCCACAUUUCCCCUCCAAAUCACCAUCUUUUCCCGUGCUGCUGUCUGGUUUUCCAGCAACUCUCCCAACCCCUCAAGGCCCAUAAAUUCUCCUCUAUAUAUGUUUCUAUUUUUGUCCCUUAUUCCAACGGAUCUCUCUCGCAACUUCAUGGGUAAGAAAAUGCAAGAAAUCUUAGAGCCUGUUUGGUAACCUAUUUGAAAAUUUUUAUUAUUUCUCAAAACAUUUCUUAAGAACAUUUCUUAAAAACAAUUUUUUUUAGGACUCAAAAACUUGAUUGGUUUGCGAUUUAAAAUUUUUAAAUCUUAGACUUAAACUAGACAAAGAAAUCUAAAAAGAGGGGGUCAUAGGAGAGGGAGAAAGAGGAGAGAGGAGGAAAGAAAGUAAGAGAUGAUUGAAGGAAAGAGAAAGAAGAGAGAGGAUUGGACGAGAUAGAGAGGAAGAGGAGUGAGAGAAAGAACCGAGAAAAUGAAAAAAACGGAUUAGAGGAGAGAGGCGAAAAAAGGUAUAAAAAAAUGAGAGAGAAAGAAGAAAAAAUAGAGAGAUUUGGAGUGAGAGGGAAGGAGGGAGAAAAAAAAGAAAUGAGAGAGUUUAAAUUUAAAAACUCUAAAAACUCACUUUUUAUGUUUUUAGAGAAUAUACUAUAUUUUUGAGUUAGUCUUGAGUUCAGUUUUUGAAAAUAGUCAUACCAAACAAGUUUUUAAGGCCUAAAACUUGAAAAUUGUUUUUGAGUUUAAAAAGUUGGAUUCAAGUAGAGUACCAAACAGGCCCUUAGAUCCGCAAGCCAAAUUGGAAAAAACGAACGACAAUACCUCAAAACCUACAAAUCUAACCUUUAGUUUUUACUUCGAUUUUUUACUUAAACAGCAGAGAUUGCUCCGAUCAGAGUCCCCCUACCGCUUCUCCUACUCGGUCCUUCGCCAGGCGACUGACUCGUUCUCUCUGAUGCGCCUUCUGGGCCAAGGCGCUCUAGGUGCGUGUCCUUCGGCACAAUCCCACACACUCGCCAGAGAUCUUUUUAGCCUCCAAGCCCGAUUCUCCGCUUGUUGUCUCGAUGCUCAGAUUCUCCUCCGACCCAAAACAGCGCCAAAGUAGGAACUGGAGAGCAAGCCCAUCAGGUGGAGAAGAAGAUGUGGGAGCAAGAGAGAUGAACGGAGAAAGAAGAAGAAUAGGCAGGGCUGCAAGGUGUUAUGAAUUGUACAAAGGUUGUUAGAUCAAAGGGUUAAGAUUGUGCAGGGUGGUUAGAUUGAAAGGAUAAGAUUGUGUAAGGGAGUUGGGCCAAAAUUGUAUAAGGGUUUUGUAAUUGGGUUCAAUUGAGAAUUUGGGGUUUUGAGAGAGUCCAUUUGAUUAGUUUGUUAAUUGUCUAGUCGGCAUACAGGUAGGUGUAUUGUUGUGAGGAUAUAUAGGAGGCUAAUGAGUUGUAACGAAUUCAGUUGGAAAAUAAAUAGUAUCUUUCUUUGGUUUCUCUCCUCUUCCUCUCGCUCUCUGUUCGUUAGAGUCGGCAUAGCCAUUGCAGGUUGAGACCUUGUUGGUCUGGGUUGUAUCACAAGGAGGUUGACACGAUUUUGUGUGGAUUAGGUUGUGAGUUUUUCUUGGGUUAUGGCUUUUAGAUGAGGGAAGGAGAAGAAAUUGGGUGGUGGAAUUUGGGGUGAAUGUGGCUGGGGAUGGGGAAGAGAUGGAUUUUAGGUUUUUUUUUUUUUUAACUUUUCUUUAAUUAAUUAUUUUAGUAUUUAAUAUUCUGAUUAAAUUAUUAUUUUUAAGAGUGUUGAUAGACCCACCCUAUUGUCUUAUUUUCCCACCCACGUUAUAAUCUCACCUACUAUACAAAUUUAAAAUUUUGAAAUCCUAUUUGUCCACUCACUAUGAUUCCUAAAAUAACCUUCACCACAGUUCCAUUGUUCCGUUUUCACCACCAAGAGGAGAAAAUAGAUGAUCGAUGGAACUUAACCUAAUAAAACAAAAUUUCUGUAAAAAAUUUCUACUAUCCAAAUUCCCAAAAUUUUUGAAAAAUUAUGAAUGCACUACAAUGAGAUGCCUUGAAAAUUGGAUGGAACCUAAUCUAAUAAAGCAAACCCAAAAUUUGCAAUCACCAUGAUCGUAAUCCAAUAUUAGACGAUAUCAUAUGCAUAGAAUAAUAUGCAGAGUAAUCAAACCCUAAUCAGGUAAAUUCAAGCUUAUUUGAAUUGAUUUUGGAGAAAAAUGGCCACCAUAGUCAAGAUUUCAAAUUCAAAGAAUCAACGAAUAAAGGAAUUUCAAUUCAGAGAGAGUGUGCAAAUUUUCAUUUCCUCUACAUUUUAGUUCCUUUGCAGAAGAUAGCAAGAAUUUAUGAGGGCAUGUGUGAAUGAACUCCAAAGAAAAAUUCCAGAUUCGAAAAGAGUGAAAUGGGUGGAACACUAGGUUCGAAGAGGGAGAGAUUCCUGAUGUUGGUCAAAUGCCAUAAAAAUAAUUCUAUGACGCCUAAAAAGUGCCAUCAUGUGCAUGGCGUUUAAUAGGGACGAAGAGAGAGAACUUAUGUACUAAAAUGAUAAACAGGGGACGAGAGAGAGACAGUGGUGGUCGGUGGAGAAUCCAUAGCAGUCGAUGUAGAAGGCAAGAAGAGAUAAACCAAAGAGAGAAGCAAGAGGGGGAGAGAAACGGGAUAGGAGUUGAAAAGUCUUUUUAUAGAAAAUUAAACAUGUUAUUAUUAUUGUAUUAAAAGGAGAGUGAAAAAAAAUAGGACAAUGGGGUGGGGUUAGUAGCACCCUUUUUUAAAUGCAUAGAUUUUUUUUUUGUCACGUGACACAAAUUCGGCAGCCACAUCCUCACAAAUGUAGAUUUAAUAUUUGCCACAUCAUUACUUAACGGUUUACUUAACAAAUUUUCUGACGGAUAUAUGAAAUUUGGCAUUAGAGAGCCCCUGAGGCCAUGAAGCUUCUUACAUUUAUUAGUUUGCAAUAGAAAUCCAAACACUAGGAGCCAAAUACUUUCUUCAAAAUUUCCCGGGUGCAGUUAAAAAAUUUCACUUUCAUCACUUGACCAAUCACCUAUGGCAUGUGUAUCUGUUGAGGUCACCGAAAGGCCUACCAUGAGUGAAGUAGUGGUGGGACUAAAGGAGUGUUUGGCAACAGAGCUAGCUCAAGCAAAGCAGAGUGGCAAUGAAACUGAAUAGGAAGUUCCAUUGAGAUGAUGUCUAAGAAGAAUUCAUGGAAUUGGAAAGUCCCUCAGCUACAUAGUACAAGUAGACCUAUCUUGAUGAAAGAGGAAAUUGAUGUAAUGGUCAUUCAACUUUAAUCCAAUUAGAGUAAUGGUUCAUUCACUAAAAUUUAUGAUUACCGGUCUCUUAACUCAUCAAAACGUGCAACUAUGGUCAUUUUCGUUCACUCUGUCAGAAUUUCUAUCAAAAUGAGUCACAUGUCACACACGUGAGGUUGAAUCAGAGGUGCAAAUAUAGAAAACCAAAUGAGAAAAUUGUAGUGAUUAUCCCUAAACUUUAACCCAAUUGCAGAAAUGGUCCCUCAACUUUAACCCAAUUGGAACAAUGGUACCUCAACUUUAAUCCAUAUAGCAAUGGUCCUUCCAUCAUGACUCAUUUUGACGGAAGUUCUGACAGAGUUGACAAAAUGACUAUAGCUACAUAUUUUGAUAAGUUAAGAGACCAAUUGUCACGAAAUUUUAAUGGAAAUACCAUUAUUUAGAUAUUCUCCACUUUAUUGCCCGAGCUAGCCUGCUUUUGUGUCACAAGCCUGACCCUAUGUCCAAGUCCAAUAGAGACUAGCAUGUUAUGAGCCCGGGAAGGCUAGCUUGGCCAAUUUGUGACCAUUUAGUGCAAUAAUUUUUGUCUAAAUGUUGGCCAAUUUGUAAACACAUUGAUCUGUGACAUCUAUUUUUCAAGGAUCAUCUUGAUCGAUUUUCAAUUUCAUGAACCAUCUUUAUCAAUUUCAUGACAAUUAAGAACUCUUCUCUUAUAUUUGUAAUAUAUCUGUGCCAGGCUUCAUUAGCAUAGAUUGUGGCCUGGGGGAAUAUUUCAGGGAUAAUGAAAGUCCGACAGGCAUUACCUAUAUUUCAGACGAAAACUUCGUAACCACUGGUGAACGGAAGUUGGUGUUGCCUGAAUACAAAAACAAGUAUUACCCGUCAUACAACUCUCUUAGAAGCUUCCCUGAAGGAAUCCGAAAGUGCUACAAAAUAAAUGUUACAAGUAAAACCAAGUAUUUGAUCAGAGCAGGUUUCUUUUAUGGGAAUUAUGAUGGACAAAAUGAAGUACCCCAAUUUGAGAUACAUCUUGGACCUAACUUGUGGGAUGCAUUGAACUGGUUGGGGAAUUCGUCGGAAGCAAAAUAUACCGAGCUCAUACAUGUCCCUCUGCCAAACUAUGUACAUGUUUGUCUGGUGAAGACAGGCUCCCGGGUUCCAUUUAUAUCUUCUAUAGAUGUCAGGCCUUUAACCGAUGCCUCGUACAAAACAGUAAAAGGGUCCUUAUCACUUCUCUGGCGUUAUGACACUGGUCUAACAAAUGACCAUUGGGAUUACAGGUGAGUGAUUUACAUGUUACUAUUGUCCCCAAUUUAACCACAUAUACAGUCUGGCGGGAUCUUUUUUUUUUUUUUUCACGAAAUGACUGUUAAAUAGUUAUAGAAUCAUUUAUAAGUAGCAAUUUAUAUUCUGUCUAGUUUUCGAGGUAGGCAAUAUAACAUUCAUCAACAUUGUUUGCAUGUAUUAAUGCAAUACCUUUAUUUCUAUAGGUAUCCAGAUGAUAUUCAUGAUCGAAUCUGGAGUUACCUUGACGACCAGGGCUCUUGGACAAAAUUAAAUACCUCAUCGACCAUCAAAUUCAGAAUUCGAGUAUCUACCACCAUCCGUCGUGAUGGGCACAGCUGCAACGCCGAAAAGUUCAAAUGAUUCGUUGAAUAUUUUCUGGGAGCCUUAUGAUGAGACUGAAGUACAUCAUGUUCACUUGCACUUUGCAGAAGUUGAAAAGCUCCAACCCAAUCAGUCUAGACAGUUCAACAUAACUACUAACGGAGAGCUGUGUUAUGGGACACUUGCUCCUGAUUAUUUGUCCACAACGACAAUAUUCUGUACUGCUGAAUCCCUGAGUGGACCAGGAGUAGAAAAUAAUUUUUCAAUUAUUAAGACUGGAAACUCUACCCUUCCACCCAUCCUCAAUGCCUACGAGAUUUAUGAAGUGAAAGAAUUCUUAAUAUCAGAUACCAACCAAGACGAUGGUGAGUCAUAUUGAUUCCUUACACAAGCUUAAAGUCCUUGCUAUUGGUUUAGUGCCUCACCUAAUAUGUGAGUUUUAUUAAGAUGCUCCGUUUGCUUGUGAAAAUAUUAGUUGAGGCAAUCACAAACAUCAAGUGAACCUAUAAUAUUGAAAAGAACAGGCAAGGAGAUCCUUGCAACCCUCAAGUUUACUCAUGGGAUGGUCUAAACUGUAGCUAUCAUGGAACUGAUCCCCCAAGAAUUAUAUCCUUGUAAGUAUAAAUAUCUUCACACCAAAUUGCAGAUUAAUUUUCAGUACUUAUAAUUUUAUUCAUGUUUUGGGCUUUGCAAUCAGGAACUUGUCUUCCAGUGGAUUAGAAGGGUAGAUUUCUCCUUCUCUAUCAAAUCUAACAAUGAUACAGACAUUGUAAGUGUAUCUAAAUAUCUGUAAUUUUGUGUGAAAACAUAUCUCAGCAAUAAUACGGCAAAUGAGUUGAGCGGCUCAUUGCAGGGAUUUAUCAAACAACAACUUAAGAGGAUCAAUUCCAGAAAUUUUGUCACAACUGCCGACAUUAAAUGUCUUGUAAGUUAUUUUGUUAUAUAUGUGUAUGUGUGUGUGUAUUUUGUUAUUGUCUUAUAGCUUAUUUACGCAUAUGAAAUUCAAUACGAGUCUUGCACCAUGUAACUUAAAUUGUGUCACUUUAACUUCCUAAAACUCUACUUGUUUUUCACUUUACCAUAUGCCGUCAAAGUCUGUUAGAAAAUUCGUUAAUAUUGGUGACAUGUCACAAAUAGGACCGGACCCAAUUUUUGCACAAAUAGAUGCUACUAGAAAGUUCUACCCGCGCGUUGCUGCGGGAUUAAAAAUUGUGUAAAAAAAUUAUGUUUCCAAGGUAUCAACCUAUCAACUUGUAUCACAUUUAAUUAAACUACAACAGCAUAUUGACACACUUAAUAUGAAAAUUCAUAAACUAUUUGAUAGUAUGAAAUCAAGCAAUAAUUGAAAAUCAGAAAUGCAGCUUAGAAAGUAAAAAAUCCUACCUUAUUACAUUAAAACAAUUAACAAAUUCUUAGGGAAUGAUCACAAAAAAAGUAUAAAAAAGUAAUUCAAUUUCUUAAAUUUAAAAACGGUAAAGAUGAUAAAAUAAAAAAAAUAAAAAAAAGGUUCUCAGUUCUCACCGUAAUGAAAAUUAUAACAUUGUUUUAACAUGAACUUAGGUUCAUUUCAGUCACCAGCAUUAAUAAAACCAGUGACUUCAACCUGUGCAAGGAAACAACUUAAUUAGACGCAAGCCAACCAACUUCGAAUCUAACCAAAUAAAAAGAGCAAUCACAAUCGAACUAACCUCUUCUUCCAGUGAAGUAGAAGAUAUCCCCUGUUUUGCCUUUGUGAACAGUGUACUCUACCUCUCAACACACAAAAAGAACACACUCAAAAUGCUGAGCAAUAUUAUAAAAACUACACAUAUACAUCAUUGUAUAUAUAUUUGGACAUAAAGUAUGAGGAUCUGCUGACAGUAUCAAGCUUAAAUUUAACAAAAGAAGUAAUUACGAAUUGAAAUCAAACGAUAUUAUAAUUGUUAAAAAAAAUUUCUAACUAAAUUUUACAAAUAGUCCCUUCUUGUGUAUAGCUCAUCCUCAGAAUUUGCAGCUGAAAACGAAAUGUAAGUUCAAAGUAUGAUGAAAAAGAAGAAAUGAAAGAGUUGUGUCAAUGAAAAAAAAAUGAGUGAGCAGGUAUCAGAACAAUCUACAAAGAAUAAGAAAUUGAGAUGAAUAAGUGGAUAAAGUGCCGACAGGAAGAGCUGAUUUCGAAUCAAUGAUCCAUUUCUCACCCUAAUAAUAGUUAACAAUUGCAAUUAGUAGAAUUUUCUUAAUAAGAGGAAAUCUAGGAGCAUAAGUAAUAAGCAUUAGAAAUAGAAAAGCCUUAAACAGUGAUUAAGGCCCUUUGAAUUAACUUGUGAAGCUUGAAAAGUCAUUCUCUUCACUUGGUCAAUUUGGAAGUUAUCCAAUGUUUGUAAAAACAUGAAUCAGAAGAAAAUUGACGAAAUCGAAGGGAAAAAAUGUUACUUAAUAAUUGUAUAUGUUAUGAAAGCAUCGAAUAAAGUCCUGAUAAAAUAUAUGCACCUUUUUAUUAACCACUUUACAUAUAAAUUAUAAAUGAUUAUCAAACAGCCUUAAACAAAUUUCAUUUAGGGAAGACUGAUGAGGGGAUAUACGACUCACAAACAAUUGAGACCGUCCUCUUUUUUUUUUUUUUUUUUCAUAUCAACAAACACACAAAUUCUUAUAUUUCCGAAAGCACCUGCAUCCCAAUAUAAAAACUUAAAUAAUACAUGAAUCAUCUAUGUUUUGCUUUGCAAACAGCCAAGGGGAUAGGAACUAAAAUAAAUUUCGUGACCAAGAACCUCUUAAAAACCAAGCUUGUAAGCAUAAAAACAAAGCUUUCAAUCUUUCUGUGCAAAUAAAGAUCACAAUCAAUUCAACCCCAUUUCCGCAAUCCAAAGCAUCAAACUUCAUACAAAAAUAAAAUAAUUUUUAGAAUUUCACCCAAACAUAAAGAGAAUAAUAUUGUUAGGUGUAGAGAAGAAAAAUCCAGGGAAAAAUGGAAGAUGGGUUUUACUUGAGGACUCUAGAUGGGUUCGUGGUUUCUCAAGAAGAUCCCGUGGUUUCUGACAGAGAAUUGACUAAAUAAAAACUCUGAAUGAAAUAUAUAUCGAGAACAAUGAAUUAUUUUUUUUAUUAUAAGAAAAAAUUGAACUAAGAAAGGGUGAAAGCGAACGUUCCCAAUUGCAAUCCGAUGAUUUUAGCCUGGAAAAACAUUUCAUAGCAACAAAAAAAGUGAAAUCAAAAGCUCAAUUGAAUCAAAUGAAGAAUUUUCUAGAGUGCAAACAAUUAGUGUUAUCAGCAAGAAGUUUCAGACCUUAAAAUGCAAAAGCAUGUGCCCAAAAUGCAAUCCUACAAAACAUGAAACAGCAGCCACAAGAGAAUUGGAAAUUUUCUAAUAAAAUGAACCGAAGACCAACUUUGAAUAAUUGGUAACGAUGACGCUUUGACAUUGACAGAGUGUAUGUAUGUGAGAGAGAGAGAGAGAGAUGGAAAUAGAGUUAGAAUUAGACCAAUGCAGAAAUCAACCUUAAGAUUCCCUCUGGGUCAUAUGGUUGCACCAUUGAUGAGAAACUGUUGCUAGAGGUUGAUAGUAGGAGAGCUAACAUUGCAUUCCGGAAACACAAAUCAUCAGUGAAUGCACUAAUACAGGACUUAAAUUCUGAAAUAUUCAAUAAUCUAGUUACCAGAGAAUGACUUUUAUUCUUCUAAAGAGGCAGUUGAUAAAGGUGACUCUGGCCCAGUAUACUUGACUGAUAAAGUGGAAACUGUGAGCUUCAAAGCUAAAAGUUGAAGCUUCCACUUUUCAACUGGAGAAGAAAUAAGAGUGAAAACGCACAAAAUAAAGGGUUGUGCUAUUCAUACAUCUCAUUUUACUUAUUAUACAACUCUGAUAAUUUAUAUUCAUUCAUCUUCUUCAAUUCAUCCGAUCCGACAGUUUAAAAUUAAAAAUGUGUGAGAAUAAAAUGGGAUUAAAAAUGUGUGAGAAUAAAAUGGGAUGUACGGAUAUCACUCUCCCAAAAUAAAAAACCUAAUUUCCAAAUCAUUUCAAGAGAAAUUAAAAUAUUUAAUUUGGGUAAGGGAUUUGAACAGAAUACUCUUUUGUUAACCUUCCAUUCGCCCUUCCUCAAGAUUCAUCCUUAUUUUCUCCUUUUUUUUCCACCCACUCCUCUGGACGACAAUUCUCUACUCUUCCUUUAUUUGAAUCAAAACAUGGAAUUACAUUUUCUCAGCUACCAAACAAAAACUUACGAACUAAAAUCACAGAAACACCAAAACUAAAACAUGAGAUCACAUUUUCUCAGUCAACAAACAAAAAUUACAAAUCCAAAACUAAAAAGAAUCAGAAACAAACUAAAACAUGGGAUUGGUGAAGGCCAUAACUUGGAAAGCAUAGACGCAGACAGCUCUUCGAGAGCGAUCCCAACUCCGGGGUCGGAGAUGGAAACAGAGGCCAAUAUCCUUAAGAUUUUGUGUUGACGAUUUUGAGAUCGGGAUAAACCGGUUGAAACCAAAUUUGCACGUUUUGAAAAAACGUUAAGGAAUCGGUAUUUUGUGAGAGAAAAGCGCUAGAUUCGAGAGCGAGUUCAACAGCGACAGAAGCGCAGAUUUGUGAGAGAGAAGAAACCGAAGGAAAAAUGGAGAAGAUGCAAGAGAGGCUUGGACAAUGAUCGACACAUGGCAAGCAUGGACAAAUAGGUAAUCUUACGUGUAAAGAGAAGAAAGAACGGAGCAGGAGAGCUGUUCGACAGGGUAAUAUCGCCAAUUUAAUGUUGGGCAUUCGGAUCGUAUUUUUCGUGUUCGUGUCGUUUUCGUGUCAUAUUCGAUAUCUUAAUAGGUCGUGUCGUAUAACACUUGUUAAAAUAAACAGGUAAAAUGACCCGACCUGAAAUCGACUCGAUAAUAUUAACAGGUAAUAUGAUCUGAUCUGUUACCCGUUAAGGAAAAUAUAGUUCAAAUCAAUAAAUAAUCAAAUGAAAAACAUAAUAUUAAAUAAGUAUAUACAUACUAUAUUAUCACAUUCAAAAAUAUAAAAACGCAUUUGUCUUUCAAGUAUUACAUAUUUACAUACCCAAAAUAAGAGCAUAAUAAAAAAAAACAUUAGAACAUUACAAAAUAUCAAAUGUUCAAAAGAUUUGCAAAAUUAAGGGAGUUAUGUUUCAAGGUUUGGAACCUUGCACAUUUUCUUACAAUCAAACUCUUCAAUUUUCAUCAAUCACCAUGGGAAACAGUAUUGGAACUUUGGCUUGAUAUAUUGUCUUCAAGAGUUAUAUUGAUGAUUGUGGAGCCAAAAAUAUUCACUAGGCGCCACGUGGUUUUUUGGAUAAAAGAGGACAAAAAUACCCUUAAAGCAUACUGGGAUUCCUACGCGCGAGCAGUGGGCAAUCAUCUUUCAACCAAAUCAAAAGUGCCCAAAAUAGGUAACAAUUUGAAGCCUAUUUCAUCAAAUCAUUUCUAUAAGGUAAUUCCCAAAACCUAAUUUAUUUAAUAUGUUUUAUAUUCCAUUAUUUAGCUAAUCAAUUAGCUAAAUAAUAUAUUCCUUUCAAAUUUCCUAAAAAUUGACUAAUUAAGGGAUUAAUUACCUAAUCAAUCCCUUAAUUACCAAAUUGAAACACCCAUUCAAACCUAAAAGUCACUAGAGGGCCGGCUAUCCCCAUUUCAAAACCUAAUCCAUCACUUUUUUUCUAACUUUUUCACCAUUUCUUCCUUUUUAUUAGCCAAUAAAUUCCAUAACCACCAAAACAUUUCCAUUUAUGUUUAAUGAGCCAAUUAAUUGCCUAAUUAAACCAAAACAAAACCUAAAAACCCUACUAAGUGGCCGGCCACAUUCCUCUCUAAAGUGAACCAACCUAGCCCUAUAAAUAGGCUUCUAUAUUCACCAAAUAUUCAUUCCAAUUCUCUUACAAAAAAUCCCAAAUACUCUAAACACUAUUUCUCUCUAAAAUUCUAACUUUGGCAUCAGAGGUUCUUUGGCCAAAGCCCCCCCCAUUCAUCGUGGGCACGUGAGGCUUUUGGCCUUAACCUAAGGUGCUAGUUGUUUUGUAGGUGCAAAAUCGUCCAAGAUCAAGGAGGAGAAAAUUUGCAUCCACAAAUUGGUGCUUUCAUUGAGAGUUGAAAUCCAUACUCGUAGAAGACUCUCACACAAAAAGGUAUUUUCUCUAUUUUUUCUAGUCCAUUUGAAUAUUUUUCAUACAUUCUUAUUAUUAGAAUUUUUUACUUGCAAAGGUUCUUUGAUAAAACGUAUAAGAAAAAUAUAAUGGCUAGAAAUUUAGAAAAUACCACAAGUGAAAAUUCGAAUACUCAAGAAAUGGGAUUGCCGAGAUCCACGAUGCAAAAUACGGUCGUAAACAGAGUGGCACCACUACCACGAGGUUCCACCAUGGCCCAAGCCUUGCCAUCCAAGUUUGCAUGGACCCAAGCCCAAGCCUCGCAUUCAUAUGCACCACGCACUGAGCAGCCUGCUCCCGUGAUCCAGCCUGCUCCCGUAGCCCAGCCUACUCCCGUGAUCCAGCCUGCUCUCAUGGCUUCCCAAGUUGCCCAAGUCGGCCCGAGACAAUCUCAACCAUUCGAACCAAUCAUCGAGGCUGGGGCGUUUUCACCUCAUUUCUCUGCAGAUUUGAUAUUCCCCAACUCAAAUCUCGCACUUGGAGUCAACCACCCUUCUAUUGUUCAAGGAGGUGCAUUCCAUCCAAGUUCUUCCAAUCGGAAUGGCGAACAAAACUUGUCCUGACAAGUCAUAAAAUUGACGAGCGCCCUUGCACAAUAAACAACCUUGGUGAAUCAACUUUUGCAACGCACUGAGAUCCAACGCGCCCAAGAUGAAGUAUCCCGAAGUAGAAAAAGGGCAGACGAGGAACCUCUUAAGCAGCGUCCUGGAAAGCAGCCACAAGUCAAGCAUUCAGGCAGUGCACACUCUCAAUUGGGCCCCGAGAUAGCGUAUAUUCCCAUCUUAGUGUGCGGAGGAGUGUGCACUCUCGAUUAGGCCUACGGGCAAGUAUAAAUUCACGGUUGGGGCCACACUUUGAUAAUCAAUGUGGGCAGCCUUCCAGGCAAAACAUUCAUUCGCGGUUAGGCCCGCAAUGAGUAUCCUUCACAUCACAUCGGAGCAGGCAGCCUGACAAACGGAAGGAAACAAUCGUUCAAUACGGCUCUAGUUCAACCGGUAACCUGCAAAGAAAUCCCUUGCCUGCUAGGAAUCUAUCUCAUACAUUGCAGCCACGACAUAGAUGAACCGAGCAUGAAGAAUAGUAGCCUAUACCGGCAGGUAAAGACCAGGGGCAACCGAAGGCUCCGCUACCCCAACAAAGGCAAAUCCAAAAAGAGGUAAAAAGGCUUUUCAAUGAAGGGAUGCGUGAUUUUCAACGCAACGAAAUGGUUGAUGAAGCACUAAGGCGAGAUAUGACUAACAUAAGUAGGUCACCUUUCACGGAUGAGAUCGAGCAGGCAGAGCCUCCACACAAGUUUAGCAUGCCGCACUUCACAUCUUUCAAAGGAGACGAGGAUCCCGAAAGACACUUAAAGCAUUACCGAAGUGCGAUGGUCCUUUAUUGGAAUAAUGAUGCCCUUAUGUGCAAAAUAUUUACCACUACUUUACAAGACAAAGCACAAGAUUGGUUUCAUACCUUGCCGGCACGAUCCAUCCAGAAUUUUGAUGAUCUUUCCUUGGUUUUCACUAAAGAAUACUCAUCUUAUCGUUCGAUCAAGAAAAAGUCCGAUCACUUGUUCAACGUAAAGAAAAACCCAAAAUAGUCACUUCGCGAUUAUGUGAAGAGAUUUAAAGCAGAGAAGGCGAAGAUCAUCGGAUGCGAUAACUCGAUAGCAAGUGCAGUUUUCCAAAAAGGACUCCCAGGACACCACCCACUGUUUGGAGAAAUGAUCAUGAAAGAAGACCUAACUCUAGCAGAUUCCUUUACUCUAGCAGAAAAGCAUGCACUUUGGGACAAGGCUCGACAAGCAGAAAAGACGCCCGAACAGCCUCGAAAAGAGUCGGCAGCUACUCAAAGGAAUGAGGAUGGAAAACAGCUCAACAAGGGCAGGCAGGAGGUUAAGCGCAAAGACCGACCCAUAACCAAAGAAGGCCCGAUAACCAAUAGCUAUUCUAAAUUCUUAAUUCCGAUUCAUCAAAUCCUUCGUGACAUCAAGAACGAACCAUGGUUCAAGUUGCCGAAACAGUCAAAAUGAGAUACUUCCAAGUUGGACCACACCAAGUAUUGCGCAUUCCAUCGAGGUUCUGGUCACACAACCGACGACUGCUACACUUGGAAGAACUACCUAGAGAAGCUCGUGAAAGAAGGCAAAGUCGAUAGAUACUUGGACAAGCCAGCUACGCAGCCUAAAAGGAAUGUAGACGGAGAUGAGGAGCCACCAACCAAGAUGAUUCGAAUCAAUGGCAUUUUCGCUGAAUCUGAGCACUUGGGGGCCACUAAUAACUCCAAAAAGAGGAAGAUCCAGCAGGCUUUACUAAUCUCACAAGUUCAAGCAGUCGAUACCCAACCUGGACCUAUUAUUGGCUUCACUGAGCAGGAUGCGGAAGGAGUCGACUUCCCACACGAUGAUGCACUGGUAGUAUCUGUCCAACUAGCCUAUGUUAUACUCGAUAGGAUGAUGGUUGACAAUGGAAGUGCAGUCAACCUACUUUAACUUUCAGUCAUUCAGAAGAUGGGCUUGGAAAGUACAAUCAUACGUCGGGCAGAGGUACUUACUGGAUUCAACGGACACACCUCAAUUGCCAUCGGCCAUAUCACACUUGACGUGAAAACACCGCCAGUUGUGUCAAAGUAAACGUUCAUGAUCGUAAGCGAUCCAUCUCCCUACAAUGGGAUUCUUUGGAGACCUUGGUUGAUCAAGCUGGAUGCCGUCACUUCCGUCAAGUAUCAAAAAAUCUGAUUCCGUAUCCCCGGAGGGGGAGUUGGAGAAAUCAAGUCUGACCAGGUUUCAUCUCGACGGUGCACUGUGCAAAUGUUGAAAGAAUCAAAGAAGAAAACCUUUACCCCCGUAGAGGUUACUGAAGUCCAAAAGGAUAAAGAGACUACUAAAUAGAAAUUACAGCAGGAGGAUCGAGAAUAUGGCUCCCAAGCAGACGAGAUAGGAUAGAAACCCGAAGAGGACGCCGAAGACAUCAUUUUGAUCCCCAGCAGCCAGAAAAGACGGCCAAAAUUGGCUCACGACUAAGCCCAGCCGAAAAUGAGGAACUCACUAUUUUCCUUAGAGAAAACCGAGAUGUCUUCGCAUGGUCACCAUCCGACAUGCCCAGUAUUGACCCCAAGGUGGCUUGCCACAAGCUGCACGUUGAUCUUACUGCUAAACCGGUAAUCCAAAAAAGAAGAAAUUUCGCACCCGAACGGGUAGCGAUCAUUGAGGCGGAAAUUGACAAGCUAUUGGAGGCCGGAUUCAUAGAAGAGGUAGCACACUCAGCAUGGCUUGCUAAUGUCGUACUAGUCAUGAAGAAAGAGAAGGGCAAAUGAAGGGUUUGCGUAGACUACAUUGACCUCAACAAAGCAUGCCCAAAAGACCCUUAUCCUGUCCCCCGGAUCGAUCUAUUAGUAGAUUCAACUUCUGGGAACCAGCUGCUAAGCUUCUUAGAAGCAUACUCCGGUUACAAUCACAUAGCCAUGUAUGAGCUCGACAAGGAGAAGAUCGCGUUUGUGAUAGAGCAGGGCACCUACUGCUACAAAGUCAUGCCCUUUGGCCUACAAAACAAGGGAGCCACUUACCAAAAGCUAGUAAAUAUAAUGUUCAAAAAACAAAUUAGGGUAACCAUGGAGGUCUAUGUUGACGAUAUCAUGGUAAAGGGCAAGUAGCGAUAAGAUCAUAUUCGCAAUUUGGCAGAAACUUUCAAUAUCCUUAGAAAGUACAAGAUGAAGCUCAACCCUACCAAAUGCACGUUUGGAGUAUCUUCAGGUCCAUUCCUAAGGUACUUAGUAACCCAACGAGGAAUUGAAGCACAUCCCAAGAAAAUAAGAGCAAUCCUAGAGAUGAAGUCUCCAACUACCUUGAAAUAGAUCCAAAGCUUGACCGGACGAACAGCUACCCUCAACCGCUUUCUUUCACGAUCCACCGAUCGAUGCAAGCCUUUCUUCAAAGCUAUCAAGAGGGCACAAAGAGACAAAUGGGAUGAAGAAUGCGAAAAAGCUUUCCAAGACUUGAAGAAUUAUCUCACAUCACCUUCCUUACUAUCCAAUCCGGAAGCAGCGGAGGAUUUAUACAUUUAUUUGGCAGUUUCCGAAGUAGCAGUGAACUCUGCCCUCAUACGAGAAGAGAUGGGGGCCCAACUGUCGGUAUUCUACACUUCUAAAGCUCUUCUCGAUGCGGAAACAAGAUAUCCAAAGAUCGAAAAUUUAAUUUUGGCAUUAGUUGUUGCGGCUCGAAAGCUCAGACCAUACUUUCAAGCUCAUACAGUCAUUGUCAUGACUCAGUAUCCCUUACGAUCAAUAUUAAAUGGUCCAGACGCUUCUCAACGAGUGAUGAAAUGGGCAUUGAAACUUGGCCAAUAUGGUUUAGUUUUUUGACCUCGCACAGUGAUAAAGGCCCAAGCCUUGGCAGACUUCGUAGCAGAAUUCAUGCCUAGCCUAUGCAACGCAACAGAGCAGACCAACGACGCCCUAGAAGUAGCCGAAAGUACCUUAGUCACGCUUGCUCCAUCUAAUAAAGACUUCUGGAAUUUGCAUGUCGACGGAGCAUCCAACUAUAAAGGCUCGGGAGCAGGUGUAGUCCUUGUUACCCAAGACGGCUCAAUGCUCGAGCAGGCGAUCACUCUAGGCUUCAAAGCAUCCAAUAACGAAGCUAAGUACGAGGCUCUACCAGCAGGCCUCCGAAUGGCAAAAGACUUAGCGAUGAAGAAAAUCGCAAUUCAUUCUGAUUCCUAGCUAAUCACCAGCCAGGCUACUGGGGAAUACACGGCAAAACAUCCUAGGAUGGCACAAUACCUAGAGAAAGUACGCCAGCAUCUUGAGGCAUUUCAGACUUACACUCUCAUUCAAGUUCCGCGGGCAAACAAUGCCCAUGCAGAUGCACUAGCUGGUUUAGGCUCCGCCCUUGACCACCAAUUUAAACGCUCCAUUCCGGUGGAAUAUCUAGACAAGCCAAGCAUAGAGAUGGAGCCGAUAGCCGAAGUGUCACAGGUUAGUGUAAUUCCCACCUGGCAAAGUUCAAUUAUAGACUACUUGGUCAACGGCACACUACCCACCGAAAGAUUGAAGUCAAGGAAGCUCCAAAUCAAGUCGGCGCACUACUAUAUGUGGAAUGGCAUUCUCGUCCGACUGUCUUACACCGGACCACAUCUCCGCUGCCUAGCACAUCCCGAUGACUUGAAGGUUCUAAGCUCAAUUCAUGAAGGCGUUUGUGGGAAUCACUCUAAAGGCCGAUCCUUAGCCCAGAAGGCUCUUAACGUAGGCUACUACUGGCCUACCAUGCACCAAGAUGGUAAGGAGUUAGUAUAAAAAUGCGACCGUUGCCAACACUACAAACCAGUACCAGCACUACCCGCCAGUAAGCUAGCCCCACAGACGAGUCAUCAGCCAUUCAUGCAAUGGGCAAUCGACCUGGUAGGGCCUAUGCCACCUGCUACGGGAGGAAGAUGCAUGAUGAUCGUAGCAACCGACUACUUCACCAAAUGGGUAGAAGCAGAACCCAUGACAACCACGACUCAGACGGACAUAGAGCGCUUCAUAUGGAAGAACAUCAUUUGCCGAUUUGGCAUCCCUCAGUCCAUCGUCACUGAUAACGGCCCGUAAUUUGUGGGAAAAGAUUUGGCGAAGUUCUUCCAAAAAUAUGGUAUCAAACAACACAUGUCCACGUCAAGAUAUCCUCAAGGCAAUGGGCAGGCCGAAGCAUCCAACAAGACGAUCAUCGACUGCCUCAAGAAAUCCCUUACUGACAAAAAGGGAAAAUGGCCAGAUGAGCUCCCAGGAUGUUUAUGGGCAUAUCGCACCACCAAAAGACGAGCAACCGGUGAAACUCUUUUCUCUUUGGCAUUUGGUUCGGAAGCAAUCAUUCCUCCCAACGUCGUUAUGCCAAGUAUCAAUACUCUAUUGCCAAACAUUGAGCAGAACAGUAAAGAGAUGGCCACAGAUUUAGAUCUGGCAGAAGAAAGGCGCGAACAGACCAUUACUCGCAUUAUAGCCUACCAGCAGCAACUCAUUUCCAGCUAUAAUAAAAGGGCCAAGAUCUGGCAGUUCCAACCCAGAGAUCUAGUCCUAAGAAAGGCCUUCAUCACUACCUGCAGAGAAGGCUCGAAAAAAAUGGAUCCCAUCUGGGAAGGUCCUUACAAGAUCAGCAGAGUAGGCAGCAAGGGUAGCUACACUCUUGCUACCAUGAAUAAUAAAGAGAUCGAGAAGCAAUGGAACGCCUACAAUUUGAGGAAAUACUAUGUGUGACUUCCCACUAUAUCAAGACCCGAAGACUCAAGAAGCUCAAUGGGCACCACUUCGUAAACCGAGGAUUAUCCAAUCAUCAUGCAGUUUUUUGCAACCAAGUUUUUCGUUCAUUUUAUUCAUUUUUCAAUAAAGAAUUCAGAAGUAAUUUGUAACUUGGCUCGAUUAUAUGUCUACAACAACUUAUCUUUUUUCUGCACUUCAAAAGAAUAUUGCACCCCCAUUUGGGACUUACUGUAGGAAAUUGCACCCCCCCCAAGGGACCAACUGUGCUCUCCAAGGUGGGAAACUCAACAUUCCGAAUAUCCAGACGUGGAUGAGCCUGGCUGCCCUAGUAUAACUAGGUGCAUAAUGGCUUGCACCGGGAUUCCUAGAAAUAGCCACAAUGGUCUUUUUCAAGGCUUAGCUAGCUGAAGGAUUAUGGGUCUAUCGGCCUAAUCCGCAGGGAACCGGGCCCUAGAGACGGAGGGGCACAUUACGCAACACACCCAAUGGGCGGCUGCCCUAGAAACCUAAAGUUGCUACCGAGUGCACUAAGGUAGCCUACGAAUUUCCAGAAUACUGCCUACGGCUUGCCCUUCAAGCAGUAGAACCACGCUAGACUUAUGCAACCGCACAUUCUUGUGAAAGGUUAAACAAGCUAGCAUUAAUACGCGAAGAUUUUAUCCACUGCCGACAUGCUACAUAGUCGAUAAGCUUCACCACUGCCAAACGCAGAACAACCUACACCAAGUCCUAAAGUGUUAUGAUACUUACUACACAACCUACGGAAUUGGAAAGAGCCAAGGUUAAAUAGCCUAGUGGUUACGCGGAUUCAUCUGCUUCUGUAAGUAAGGCCACGGUCCAAGUCUUCAAGUACAAAUGUUUUUACUUGUCAACCUAACUCUCCCCUUUUGUUUCAGUACUCCCCUAAACCUACGGUCUCAAUUCUUCAUGUACAAAUGUUUCUACUUGUCAACCUAACUCUUCCCCUGAAUGUAAACAAGGGUAUGACCAUUAUGAUGUAGGUGCCUCAUUAAAACCUCAUCAGGUUAGCAAAAACUACUAAAAAUUACUAUUUGCCCUACAAAGUUUUGGUGGGAAAAAAUUGGUCAACAUUUAGGUUUUGUCAGAGACUUUGCGUGACAAAGUGACUCAGUCGGGCAAGAGAGCUUUCGUUGGGCAAACAUUUGGCGCCAAGGAAAAAAUGGUGCGCAGUGUGUGAAAUCUUCCCCGAUGAAUCAUAAAAGGAUCCAUCACGCAAAGGUUUAAUUAGGUUUUGGGAUUUAGGAUUUUGUUUCAUCUCGUAAGUGGUAUACCCAUCGAGCAAAUUGUUUGAUAGGGUUGGCAUAUUAAAUUCCUUCGAUGAUUAAUGCAUUCUACGAAACUAGUUUGCACACUCCAAUCGACAAGUUUGUUUGUGUAUACUUCAAAAUUUGAUAACCUGUAAAGGAACACACAACCAUGAGUAAGCCCAAGACCGGGGCUGUGUCAAUUCAAGGCUUUCCAAUGGUCAAGUUAGUAAGAAAUAUUAAGACUUAAGAAAUAAGCAAGAUAAUAAGUGAGUAGUGAUUGUGUUACCAGAGAGGAAGCCUAGAAGCGUGUAUUUGUAACAGUCAAGGAGAUGACCUUUUAGGAUAGUAGGAUUUGUAUUAAAUCAGCAGAAUCCAUGAUGAUAUCUAGGAAGUAGAUAUUGCAUCCUCUUAAGUUCCCAAAUCUUGUGGAACAAGAAUGGUUUAUCUCAGCGAAGUCAAUGGACCUCAACCAUUGAUUCCGAAGCAGAACGAUAGUAGCAUCAUUGAUCUUUUUAGUCAGCUUCACUAUAGAGGCUGUUGAGUCCAUGACCGACUUCUGAGGAAGGUGUACUAUGAUCCCACAAAUGCCCCUAACUAGACAUCGGAAAGGAAUUGUUCCCCUUAAAUACAAAGACCAUGCACUUCGAAGUAAAUCAGAAUACGUACCACUUUCUUCUUUUUAGAUGCGUGGCAUCUUAACUUCGUUUUUUGCAAUAGAAGUUGCACAAGGUCUACAACUAAACAAUCUUCAUAAUCUUCUUUUGAUUAGCUAGCAUCUUGUCUCUAUGUUCUUCUCAAUUAUCUUUGGCAAGUGAUGUCUUAAUUUAUAAAUGCAGGAUUUGAGUAUCUGCGCUAUGGUUUUAAGCCACCUAUAAUCCACAGGGAUGUGAAAUCAUUAAACAUCUUGCUCAAUGAAAGUUUCCAAGCCAAAAUAUCUUAUUUCUGCAUGUCCAGAAAUUUUCUUACAGAUGACGGUACUCAUAUAUCAACACGUGUUGCUGGAACUCCUAGGCACCUUACCCUGUAAGAAUCAUGUAGGGACUCAACUUGUUGUGAUAAGGACUAAGAUAUAUGCUGAUAAAUAAAUUUAAAUUCAUCAAUGAGUUGUAUACGUGGAAUACUAGCUUCCUAUAUUUGUGGAAACACAUUCAAAAUGCUUUGAAUACAAAUUGUUCCUCCACUACUCAAUAACUUCCGGGUUGUGAUGAUAUGGGACAAUAACCAACUCACCUAUGAUAGAUGGAAGUUGGCUGCCAGUCAUCAAUAAAUAAAAGGGAUUCCCUGUUGGAGAACAAUUCAGAAAUAAAAAAAUAACAGAAAUUCUACUAUUUUAUUAACCAAAAUAUACUUGCUGUGCAAAAUGAAAAUUAUACAAUGAAUACAAAAAUUAAUGUUACUAACUUGAUUACAGAAGGUAGAGGUUAGUGUAAAAGCUAUGUCCUUCGAACAGUAUUUUCGUCCCACUCCUGUGCUUGUGGUUCUACGACGUCUGCUCGACCAAGAUUCAACUACCUAAUUCUACAAUCCGCACUGGAUUCUAGAACUCUAGCGAAUUUGCUUUUUGUGUGUUUACUCUCUAGAAAUUCGUACAGAAGAAAGGAACAAGAAAUGAUGAUCCAUUUGGAAACUGUGAUUGCAGAUAUAUAGGCUGUUUCACACCAUUUCAAAUACACGUUCAAUGUAUUUGAAGGUACACAACUCUUUCUAAGAGCUGUGUCUUUUAAUCAAAACAUUUUUAAUUAAUAAAUUAAUUAAAAACUUAAUCCGAAAAUUAAAAUUAAUGAAUCAGAUUAAUUUUAAAUUCCAAGGCCCCAAAGGCCCAAGCCCUUGUCUUGAUUAAUUAAUAUUAAUUGUAUUUAGGCUAUAUUAUACAAGCCUAAUCCACACAACCAUAAGGCCCAAGCCUUCAAUCCAUUUUCAAAUGUCCCAUGUUGUAAUUACUAGACUAAAGCAUUAAAUCUAUAUAAAGGCCCUUGAGAAUCUUGUUUUCCCCAAUGUGGGACAAGAGUCUCAAAACUUCCAACAUUCCCUACUCAUAAAGCAUUGGUUCUAAGUCUAGGGUUCUAUCACCAUAAGAGCCUAAAGGGCCUGAGUGAGUAGAAGAGUUCUUUUGACAACCACGUUGGCUUCAACAGGUACGUCUUCCUAUUCUAUAUAUCACAUUGUGGUUUAGGGUUAAAUGAUUCUUAGGUAGUCCCAACAUUUGGUAUCAAAGCCAAAUUAACAGACCCUAAGUCCAGUGCAUAAUUAUGUUGCACAAAUGCAUCGACAUAUGGUACUGAAAUGUUUUAACUAUCGCUUGAAUUCUUAUAUGUUGAUGAACCUGUCAUUUAAGGCAUUAUCUUUUUCUGUUGCUAUUCAACAGUUUGGUUUACAGGAAGGUGAAAAGUAUAUUUAUUAGUUACAAUAUGUUUUACAUCAAAGAUUUUAAACGAAUGGAAUACUAAUCUUUAACUCAUAUUGUGGUUCAAAACUCAUGAGAUGUUCACAUUCUUUCUCAAAGAAAAUGGUGUAUAAAUUGCUAGGAGUUUUGAUCAGUGUAUGGCAUCAUGUUGAUUAGGCUAUAUUCUUGUCCAAAGACUUGAAAUAAUUGCAUGAUAAGAUCGUUGUAGGAUGGCUAUGCAAUAAGGAUUAAAGGCAGUUUAUAUCUCUUGCUCAAAAGUGUGAUAUAAACAUGCAUAGUUGAGUGAACACUCUGUCGCCUCCAUUGAACCAUUGAUGGAGGAAAUUACAAAAAUCAGAGACAAAACAUUGAGAUCAUACUGAGAUUGUAGCAUCUUGAUUUGGCACUCAAAGAGGCUGAGUUCAUUGUGAUGACAGAGGAAAGCUUGACUAAAGAGAGAGUGAAGUAUGAGAAGCAACAUUUUCUUUGGCUUUACCCCAAUUCACUACUAGAAAUUUUGACUUUACCGAUAAAAUGAAUUUGUCGGCAAAAGUCAAAAUUUGUCGGUAAAGACUCUUUCACAACGAAAAAAUUUGUCAACCAUUUUGUCAUGCAAAGCAUGUCGUGCAAGACUCUAGCCGACAAAAUUCAACAUUUCGUCGGCUAUGAAGUGGUUCUUUCCCGACAGAACAUAUUUUGCCAGCAUUCUUAAACCCCAACAAAAAAUUCUAUCGAAAAAGGAUUUUUAAGCCUACAAAAUGCACCAUUUUGCCAACAAGAUGUGUUCGUCGGAAAAGAUAUUUUGUCGGCACUGCCUUACUCUACCGACAAAAUUAGCUUUGUCGGGAAAGAAUUUUAAUUCAUUAAAAAAAAAAGCUUGAAAACACACAAAAUAAUUUCUAAUAAUGCUGCUUUGAUUAGUAAUAUGUAUAUGUACAAUGGUUAUACAAAGUAUUAUAUUAUACAAUAAUCCUAUUCUACUCCCAUUCCUCAGUAUCGGUUUAGCAGUAGCUUCGCAAUAAUAUCCUGCAAAAAUAAUACAAAAUGGUAAUUAUUAUGUAUGACAACAUAAGAAAGAGCAUCCUUAAAACCGAAACAAUCAAAUUGUAGCUAGGAAUCUUUCUAUAAGUAAUAACAUUAUGGAGCUGCACUGAUUCACACAACAUCAUGAAAAAGAUACAUUCAAUUGAAGAUACUUUAACAUAACAAUCUGUUAGAAAAUGGGGAUGGGCUGCAAUUAACACCAUAGUUACACUAAACAAUGAAAACUUAACCAAUUUGUCAACAAGAAAGCAUGUAAUCCCGUAAUCAAGUUGAAUUUCACUUGCAUCUUGGAUGAUAAAGCAUGUACUCAUGUAAUCAAGCAUAUAGUAAAAGAUAUUUCAAACCUUGCAAUCAACAUCUCAGACCACCUGCCAUUUGAGAGGUACUCUUUAAUCCCUUAAUAAGAUGCAAAUAAAAAUGAGUGAAAGAAGGUACAAUAAGUUACGCAAUAAUAAUUAAAAGAUAUUCAACUCUGAGAUUAAUUAGUAGCCCUCAAGAAUACAAAGAAAAUCCUCAAACAUAAAAAAUUUCUCACAACUUGAUCAAAUUGUAUUAAUGACGACAAUUGUAACUUAUUGGGGAAUCAAAAUUGCUUACACAAUGCUCCUUGCUCAUGUCUAGGAUAGACAUAAUCAAACUAUUCGUCCAUGUACUUGGAAUAAACACAAGGCAGAGAAAGCAAAACAUACAAUAUAUUCCUAGCACAAUCAAACUUACCUGUACAAAGCUCCUUGCUCAGUGUGUUGUGCACAAUAGAGGGACAAAAUAUACAAUAUAUUCUUGUCAUCAGCUGAAUGGGAGAGUAACACAAGUUAGGAACCCAUGAGAAAACAUAACAGAGGGAUAAUUUAUACAAUAUACUUGAGAUAAAAUUCACCAUCACCAACCUCAUAAGCAAGUGCAACUACAUUAACUUCAAUCAGGUGCACCUGGAAUAAAAAUAACAAGACUAAUUUAAUAGUAUUAUUAUUAAUUUCGAUGAAGAGAAGACUAAGUUAAUAUAGACUUGCACAUGUUACCACAUCUACAUAUGAGUUGUGUAACAACUACAUAUGUUGGAUUAUUCAAAAGAUUUGCAAACAACAUGGAGUUUAGAAUGGUUUAGAGAGAUCCUGGCAAAUAGCUAACAUUGUACAUGUUACCUGUCAAUUUGAAGAAGGCAUCACUUGCAUAAACUAAAGGCAUGUCUGGUAAGUGCAGAUCAGUUCUGCAAGGCAACACAACCAUAUCAAAGCAAACAAAAAGUACAAUCAUCAGUAAGAUUGUAAGAGAGAUAAAUUAAGGCUGAACUGAGAAGGCCUACCCCUGAUAAGCUGGAUCUCUUCCCACAAACUAAUAUGGCCAUUAACUCCGAACAAGAUGUUAUUAACUGCAGUUGCAGCUCUCGUCUUCUCUACAUCACUUGCCUUGCACCAUUCUUCAAUGUCGGAUCCUGCGUGUUACAUAGUAAACUAAGACUCAACCACAACAAAAUUUUGGUCACAAUCAAAACCAGAAACCACGAUCAACAUAGCUAGAACACCAAAAAGAAUGUAAUUUAACAUUAACAUCACAACCAAUCAUAGAUAACAGGAAGCCACAAUUGAAAAAGUUAUAUAUUACAACAUUACUUGGAACAAAAGAAUUAAGAUGUGGCAUUACACGAAUCUUUACUAUCAGCAUCAUCUAGUGCAGAUUCCAAAACCUUCGCCCUGUUCCUCAAUCCCUUCCACAAAACAUUCGCCCCUCUGUGUUCGGUCGAGUCACAAAUAACAUGUGGGGAUUAGGAAGUGGAUCAGCAAUCAAGAUUAAUAAUCCAAAUUGUCAUAUACACCAAGCCCUGCAACUUAAAAGGUUAAAUUAAAUUUUCCAACUUAAAACCCUAUAUUAAAUUCUACAAAUUGAACUGGCAGACAUAGAAUUAGAGAGGAGAAGGAAGAUAAUCACUUAAAGAGAUCACUGACCUUCGAGUUCUUGGCAGCUUUGAUGGUUUUUUUUUUAUCCACCCUAAUAAACAUAACACACAAUAGGCUCGCAACCUAAUACAAAUUCAAGCCCACAAAUUCCGUUUCAAUUUUGACAAAACAAAUCGAAAAAGAAAAUUGAAAACCUUAAGAGAAUUACAGAGACAACUGAUGGGUUUAUGCACCAGAACUAGAAUUGAAGAUGACAAUUAGAAGGGAAAGAAAAAAAAACCCUUUUUGAGGGCUUUGAAUUUGACGCCGGUUUCGAUCUCCAGCGGAAGGAGGCAGUCGGUCGGUCUGUGUAUUUGCAGCGACGAGGGAGAGGGAGAGGGAGAAGGAGUGGGACGGAGAGACAACAGCUUCGUGUUUGACUAAAGUGCUUAAUUCUUUUCUUUCUUUUUUUCUAACUUCGCGCUUUUAUUUUGAAACUGCGCUUCCAAUUUGAAACCACGCUUUUAUUCCGCGCCUCAUUUUUGGUUAAUAGUUUUACCCUCAGUCGAGGAAAUAUUUUUUGUUGCCCCGAAAUCGUCGUCUAGUAUUCUAAGAUAGCAGGGAAGGACAGUUUACCCGUCAAAAUUAAACUAGUCGGGACAUUGCAUUUAUGCCGACAAAAUGAUGGUCGGUUAACAUUCGAAUUUUCUCGGCUAAAAUUAAUGCUAUAAAUUGGUUUUGGCUUGAAUAUUUAGCCGACAAAUUAAAAUUUUAGUCGGUAGAGGACUCUUGUGCCGAUAAAAUUUUACUCUGUCGGCUUAGAAUUUGUCGGCAAAAUAAGAUUUUCUAGUAGUGAUUUUACAUUUACAAUCAAGAAUCCUACGUAAGUCAGAAGUAUGUAUCAAAUUUUAUCUUUGUGCAUAUAAGUUGAUAUACUCCCAUUAUAUCUAUUAGUUCAAUUCGUGGUUGAUGUAAACUGAACAACUACAUAAUAGGUUGUGCUUAUAACAUUUUGACCAUUAUUGAUGUUGUUGAUUUCAUUGUAAUUAUUGUAGUAUGAUCUGGACCACUUAAACUUUAAGGUAAUUGUGAAUUAAAAUGGCAAUGUUGUUUUAGAAGGAGUCAUGCUACUUAAUAACAUAUGGAAUUGGUCAUUUCUACAUGUUUACAUGGUUAUUGGAAAUCGCUGAGUUAAAGAUUGCCUAAUUUUUCUUUUUGGCCAAAUAAUUAUUUUGUGAAUGAUAGGGUUUAUAAUUUACCUUACUGAUGUUUCUGAGUUCUUUUUCCUAAUGUUACUUGGGUUCAACAGAUGGUUGCAAUCAUAGCAAUAAACUCUCUUAUGAUAAUAUUAAUUGCACUAACCUUUACUUGUUCAGGAAAAACAUCUGAGCGUGAUUUUAUAGUGUAGACUUUACAUAUCUUUUCUUUUUACCAAAGUGAAAAGACUUAAGAAAAAGGAUUAUGUAAAUUAGAUUUUAAAAACUCAUAACAUGUCAAUAUUCUUUUCCAAAUAGAGGAAUGUAUGAAUGGUUUGAGAUGUUUCCAGGGCAUAACAUUUUACGAGAAUUAAGUUGACUGUUUUCUUGUCCAAAGACUUGAAUUCUUGGUUGUUUUCUUAAUCUUUUACAUGAUUGUUAUUUAAUAAGGUUACAUGAUCUAUUAUCGAAUGAUGACUGUUUAUGUUUCUUGCCCAAAAGUGUGACAUAAUAAUGUAUUGAUAUGAUUUAACAUAUGAAAAAAUGGCGAAAAGGUAAUAGAAUGCCAUUGAGGAUUAUGAAGAGGAUCAUGACUGAAACCUUUAGAGGAGGGGUGUCCACUUGUGACUAAGCCAAGGUUUUUCUUGAAGAUGUUGGUGUGAAGUUUUAAAAGUCGAAAAGGCUGGUAUGUUUGAGUAUUAUUGAUAUGUAUAAAGAGACAUAUUUUCCCCAAUAUUGCCUAUGAGUUUGAAAUGAUCAUAUAUACAUAUACAGGCCCUUUAAGGGAAGGGAUCCCCAUUUUUCAAAAAAAAUUGGAACACCCUCUUAACCAUUAGAUUUGGCCGUAAUGAAAUUAUGUGGUUGAGAUUAAAUCACAGGUCACAAAAUCUCAACCAUAAGAUUUCAUUAAAGCCAAAUCUAACGGUGAAGAGGAUAUACCUUUUUUUUUUUGAAAAAUGGGAAUCCCUUCCCUUAAAGGCUUCCUAUAUAUAUACACUAUUGAGGUGUCAACGAAUUAUCAAAACACACUUAUGUUAUAACACUUGUUUCUCCUUUAAUUGGGCUUAGUUGCUUUUGUCAUAAAAUUAAUUAUGCGUAUUGUGGCAUUAUAUAAUACAUAUGUGUGUGUGUGUGUGUGUGUGAAAUCCACAUAUGAGCAUUUGUUCAGUAUGGCUAUAACUAUAUCUUGAGACUGAUUUUCCAACAUGAAAUAAGUAAAACCCCAUGUUGAGACAUGGUUAAGAGGGGUUAGGCUUGAUCAUACUUAUAGCAAUAUGAAAGGCAGGUGAAAUACAUGCAUGAUCAAUCAAUUAGGCUUUCAUUUCGAUGAGCUGGUGCAUGUAUAAUUCUCUUCUUUAACAUGUUGUUUAGCAUCAGACAUGAAUCAUAGCUUAUAUAGGGAGUAAAGUUUAUAGCACGUACACGGUAAGAUGAUCCUAUACAGAUACUGCUGUCCAUCCCUAUGUGUCGACGAGUAUUGGUCAUGUGAUCAUAUAUAUGUUAACGUCCAGUCAAGAAAUGAUGAUUAUAUAUUGAAAGACAUGAAUAUGGAAUUUUAAGUAUGUGCAGCAUUCACACAUUCAAAUUUUAAGCAUGCGAUUUAAUUGAUAAGGCAUUCAAAAUUGUAUUUUGGUUUGUUAGUUUUCCUGCACCUAGAGAACUGAAACCAUAUUUGUUAGUCGAUUUUUAUAUGCGAACAAUCUAAGAAUGACAUACUAAUAACUUGAUAAUUAAUAUCUACUUUAUCCUUCACGUCUAACCUUGAGUCCGUUGGUUGGAAUUGUGUUGAAGGCAAUUCAACGUUACAUUGUUAAGUAUAGUGAAUACAAGGUAAGUGAUAUCAUAAAGUCAUAUUUGGAAGAGCACAUUAUUAAGUGCUUUGCCCAAGGGGAGAAUUGGUGAAAGAAAAAUUUGGGCUUCUCACUCAUUGACUUCUUUUAAUAGGAUAUUGAAUUUUGAAAACAUGGUGGGAGUAUCCUAAAUCAUAUUGAUUUUGAGCGGAAGAGAUUUAUGCAUUGAGUUAACUUCCUCUAUUAUUUCAUUAUUCUAUAUUACAUAAAUAUGUUGUUUGGUUACAAGACAUUUCACACAUACUAAUAUGCUUUAAUGGUUUAUGAAAUUUGAAUUGAAUCAUGACUCAAAGGACAACAACAUAACUAUGUGCCCUUGUUAAUCUUUCCUAUUGCUUGUUGUCAUUAUCAGACGCCUUAGAUUAGUUACUUGUUAAUUCUACAAAGGAUUUUGAGGUCAACAAGAACCUAGCAUUAAUUCAAGUUUAUUGACUCAUACUAAUUUUAUUGUUAAAUUGUAUGAUUUUGUGUGUUAAUGAGAGCUAAAAUUUUUCUUGCUUUCCAAUGUUACUGGGGAAUAGUAAAAACGAAAUUAAAGGGACUAAAUUUCACACAAUAGCCAACCUUAAAAUGAAGUAUGGACUGAAGGAGAAACCCCAAUAACAUCCGUACAUGUGGUUUUGGUGAACAAAUUUGUGUUGCUUUUAAUACUAUGGAAAGGUAGAAAACAAAUUUGUGAUGAUAUACAGUAUGUGUUAUGUAAUUGCUUGAGUAAGGUUGAUCCCGAAGUAUGUUUAAAGCCUUGUUUGAAGUAUUCUGUAAUUAAGUUAUGGUAACUUAGUGGGAGUGUUGUCUACACUAUAUUAUUUUCUGUUUAAGACCAUUGAGUUAUCAACUGAAUUCACAUUUGUCUAUCAUGGUUAUUCAUUGAAUAACUAGUUUAUCUGCAAGGGAAAAACUGAGGCUUCAUUGGAAGUAUUUAGGCAAACUCCAAACCUGAGUUGGCCUUAAGGGUAGUCGGAGUAGGCCCCCGCUUAGGGCUCCCAUUUCAAAAGGGCCCCCAAUUUUUAGGCAGAGUUAGACGGAACUGGACGAUGAUGGACGGGAGCUAUGCGGGCUUAUAUGUAAAAGCUGGAAUUUGGAAAUUUUUUGUUGCAGAGUCGGCCUCGCACGAGAAAGAAGACAACCAUAUUCCCAACAUUAUUUUAAUUGCACGAUUUUACUUAAGAUGGUCCCACCAUCUUUUUUUAUUUAUAUAUAUGCACGUCUUCUUCCCUUUAAAUAGUCCCCACCAUCUUAUUUUUACUUUUUUGCUUCUCUCGUAAAUAUCACAUUUAUGUUUAUUUUUAUGGGGUUUUAUUACCCUAUUUUAAGAUCACACCAUAUAUCAUUAUUAUGUACCUAAAGGGCUAAAACUCUCACCUUUUAGAAAAAUGACAUUAUUAAAUGUUCAAAUUAAUUAGUUUAUAUAAUAUAUAAUAAAUUAUUCAAAUCCAUUUUGUCCGCCUAGGCGCGUAUACGAAAAUUACUAUCCUCUUCACUCUAGUAUUUUUCCUAGUUGUAAAAUGUUGUCUCUGUAAUCCAACCAUUCAUUCAUUUAUUGAAUGUAAUAAGUAACAUUGUAACAAUAGAAAAAUGAUUGGAAUUUGGCGUAAUGGGUAGGGACUUCUCUUUCGGUUUGAAUUGGUUGAAAAAUUAGAUUAUGUAAACUUAAUAAGUGCAUUUGCAUCUAAAAAUGCGAGACGGGUAAUAUACUAAUAUUUGAGUAAUGUUUGUAUAUCUUUAUUCUUUUGAUAUUAAUUUUUAAUGAUAUUUGAUGUAGAAAUAGACUUUUCAUGUAUUUAGUGAAUUUUUUUUACACAUGUCAAUGUACAAAGGGUCGAGAGUCAAAGAACUCUAGGACCCCAUUUCGAAGGCUCACUUAGGGCCCCCAAAUUCUCAGGGCCGGCCCUACUCCAAAUUGAGGCUUCAUUACAAGACACAUUCAUAUUUUGAUGGUGUUUUCAUGUGAGGAAAUGAGAAGUGCCUGACAAAUGCUGAUGCUAGCUAACCCAUUAAGAAAGCCACUAGCUAUGGGAGCUUUCAAGAGUCAUGUUGCAAAUAUGGGAAUUCAUGAUGAAUUUGAGUCGGCUGAAGUGCGGGAGUAAAUGACUAUUGCUUUUAAUAAAUGUUGAAUUUAGCCAUUUCAAGUUUUUUUAUGAUAAUGUGAUAUGUAUGUCAUGUGAUUAAUCCAUAAUGUUGUGAUUGAUCCUUGUUCCAAAGAACAUGUUGAUUGAUAUCUGAAAAUGCACGAGUUUGAAAGAAACAAUUCAAGGGUAAAUAACCAAAAUGGUCCCUGAGAUUUGCAUAACUCAUCACUUUGGUUCCUAACAUUUCAAAUCAAUAAAAGUGGUCCCUAAGAUUGUCCACCAUCCAUCAUUUUGCUCAUUCCGUUAAAAACUCCGUUUAGUGUCGCGGAACUCUUGGUCGGAAGUUUGAGCAAUUUUCAAAACUUCGUAACUCAAUCGUUUCUUAACCAAACUCGACCCAUAAUAUAUCAAAAGGAAGAUAGGAAAGUGUAUAAUAAGAUUAUACCUAUUUAGAAGCCCAAUGGUUGCUGGAGAUAGCCGGAAAAUAGCCUCAAAGUUGACUGGUCCGAGAGAAAACUGGAAAACUCGCCGGAAACUGGGUAAACUUUAAACGUUCAUAACUUCUUCAAUAUUAAACGAUAUCAAGUGAUUCAAAAACUAAAAUCAUACCUUUUGAUGAGACUAAGAGAAUGGUACCUUUUUAGACGGCUAAAUCGCUGUGGUUUGGCUGGAAAACGGCACGAAAGUGGCUGUCCUCUAGCAACCAUUGGGCUUCUAAAUAGGUAUAAUCUUAUUCUACACUUUCCUAUCUUCAUUUUGAUAUAUUAUGGGUCGAAUUUGGUAAAAAAAUGAUUGAGUUACGAAGCUUUGAAAAUUGCCCAAACUUCCAGAAGAGCUCCGAGACACUCAACAGAGCUUUUAACGGAAUGACCAAAAUGAUGGAUGGUAGACAAUCUCAGGGACCACUUUGAUUGAUUUGAAAUGUUAGAGACCAAAGUGAUGAGUUAUGUAAAUCUCAGGGACCAUUUUGGUUAUUUAGCCAAAAUUCAAUGAUUGAAAAUGGAAAAUUUGGGUUCGAUCAAUAAAGGUGAAAUGGGUGAAUUGACGAGAGGAAUGGAGUGAUAUAUAUUUAUACAAGAUAUAUAUAUAUAUAUAUAUAUAUAUGUGUGUGUGUGUGUGUGUGUGUGUGUGUGUGUGUGUGUGUGUACCGGGUAAAAUUUGUGGAUGUGUAUAAAUGUAUGUUUCAUCUGCAUUAUACAACAUGAAUUUGAAAAUUGUCGUUUCAGGGUGGAUACAGUAUGAUACAUGUAUUAUUUCCUGAAGUCCAAUCUUCUAAAUGCAUGCUGGUCAAUGUGUAUAAGAAGUUAGCGGCGUAGACUCAAUGUGAUCACUUAAGGGAUGAAUUUUAUUUUGGUCAUAUAUCUUAUAGAACACAACUAGUUACGUCCAUGUGGAAGAAUGUAAGAAUCUUAUGUGGACUCAACUUGUUGUGAUAAGGACUAAGAUAUAUGCUGAUAAAAAUAAAUUUAAAUUCAUCAAUGGGUUGUAUACGUGGAAUACUAGCUUCCUAUAAUCGUGGAAACACAUUCAAAAUGCUUUGAAUACAAACCGUUCCUCCGCCACUCAAUAACUUCCACGUUGUGAUGAUAUGGGACAAUAACCAACUCACCCAUGAUAGAUGAAAGUUGGCUGCCAGUCAUCAAUAAAUAAAAAGGAUUCGCUACUCACAAAGCAUUGGUUCUAAGUCUAGGGUUCUAUCACCAUAAGAGCAUAAAGGGUUUGAGUGAGUAGAAGAGUUCUUUUGACAACCACGUUGGCUUCGACAGGUACGGCUUCUUGUUCUAUAUAUCACAUUGUGAUUUAAGGUUAAAUGUUAAUUAUUAGGUAGUCCCAACAUGCCCCCUAGUAAGUAAUUAUUGUUCUCAACGCUUGUUUGGGAGUCGCUUCUAAGUGUUUGGCAAAUAUUUAAAAUUUCUUUAAACAAUUCCUAGACAUUAGAUCAUUGUGAACGGUUAAGAUUAAAAGCAUUGUAUUUUCUGCUGGACAGAAAAUCUGGUAGAGGAUCCAGAUAUAGACAGAAGGAUAUCUAUAUCUAUAUAUAGCUUUUUGGAUUAAGUCCCCCCCCCCCUCCCUCCCCUCCCCUCCUCCAAACCUUUUAGUGUCAUUCCAAAUUGGUCUCAAUCUUUUUAAACAUUCCAAGCAAAUAUUUAACCUAUUAAAAAUGUUACAACCAUCAAGCCCUAGUUCAUUUUUCAAAAAUAGAUUCUAUACAACCACCACUUUGGUAUAUCAUGGACAAUAUUAAUAUUAGUUGCCUCAAAAUCUAAAUUUCAAACAUAGAUUAUAUAAUAUGGAACCCAAUGAUCAAACAGGUAUUGAGUUGAAUCGAAAAUGGACCCAAAUCGAAAUACAUCAGGAGGACAAUCUCUUAACAAAGAAGAGGAUUAAGAAUUCACAUAGGGUUUCAAGGAGUUUGUUUAUACUCAUAUGAUUUCCUCUUUUUCUGAUUCUCGGCUCGUAAAGCUUUUAGUUCUUCUUUGUGGGCGGUGAAGAUGGUGGUGUUGCAUCAUGGCAGUCCAUGCCAUUUCAGCAACCUCCAUAACCUUCUUCUCGAAGUUGGUGACUUGAGUAGUAGGGUGAAGUUGAUGGUUUUGCAAUGGGUUUAGAGGUGAUGGCAUGACGAGGGUAGUGGUAACCAUGAGUUUGUGGAGGCUAUGCUUCCAUGACCUUCUAUUGAUUUUGGAGAUGAAGUAAGCCUAGUUAAUUUAAAAGAUUUUUAACUGGAACUUAAUGGAUGUGACAUUUUCAAUAAGUUGGGUACUUGUUUAGAACGUUUAAAAAGGUUGAGACCAAUUUGGAAUGAUACUAAAAGGUUGGGGGAUUUUAGUACUUAAUCCUAGUUUUUUCACCUUUCAUUAUAUAUGGCUACGCAUAAACAUUCAUAAGAUAAUGACUUGAGUUGCAUAGUCUAUAUUGCAGGUACUACUUAUCAAACAGGUUAAAUGAGAAAAGCAAUAUCUAUAGCUUUGGGGUUGUGUUGUUGGAGAUUAUCACUAGUAAACAUGUUUUUAUCAAAAAACGCAUGAUCACAUUAGUGAUUGGGUUGCUUUCUUGCUUGAAAAGGAGGACAUUAACGGGAUCUUUGAUUCGAGAUUAACAAGAACUUCAAUGGUAACUCUGGCUGGAAAGCUUUGGAAAUAGCAAUGGCAUGUGUAUCUACAGAUGCCACCAAAAAGCCUAACAUGAGUGUAGUGGUGGUGGGACUAAAGGAGUGUUUGGCAACAGAACUAGCUUGAGCAAAGCAGAGUGGCAAUCAAACUGAAUAGGAAGUUCCAUUGAGAUGAUGUCUAAGAUGAAAUCAAUCUCUAUGGAAUUGGAAAGUCCCUCAAUUAGAUAGUAUAAGUAAACCUAUUUUGAUAAAAGAGGAAAUUGUAGCAAUGAUCUUUCAACUUUAGUCUGAUUGGAGUAAUGAUCCCUUAACUAAAAAUUCGUGAUUAUUGGUCCCUUAAUUCAUCAAAACGUGCAACUAUGGUCAUUUUUGUUCACUCUAACAGAACUUCUAUCAAAAUGAGUCACAUGCCACACACGUGAGGCUAAAUUAAAGGGGCAAAUAUAGAAAACCAAAUGAAAAAGUAGCAAUGGUCCCUCAACUUUAAUCCAAUUGGAGAAAUAGUCCCUUAACUUUAACCUAAUUUGAGCAGUGGUCCCUUAGCUUUAACCCAUGUAGCAAUGGUCCUUCCACUGUGACUCAUUUUGACAAAAGUUCUAACGGAGUUGACGAAAGAACCAUAAUUGCACAUUUUAAUAAGUUAAGGGACCAAUGAUCACAGAUUUAAAGACCAUUCCUUUAGACAUUCUCCAUUUUAUUGCCCGAGCUAGCCCACUUUUGUGUCACGAGCCUGACCCUAUGUCUAAGUCCAAUAGAGACUAGCAUGUUCUGAGCCUAGAGGCCAGCUCGGCCAAUUUGUGACCAUCGAAAUUAUCUUUUUCUUCUUUUAGUUUUAGUGCAAUGUUUUUGGUCUAAAUGUUGGAUUUAUCCAAUAGGCUUAAAUGUCAAAAUAGUCUUUGUGUUAUAGUCAUUUGGUCAAUUUAGUUCUCAUGUUUCUAGUUUGACCAAUUUAGUCCUUUUGUUUAUCCAUUAACCAAUUAAGAACAUUCCGCCCAAUCUUUGUUAAAAAUUUAACAAUAUUGUAACCUAUUAUAGAAAAAUAUUCUCAACUAAAAUAGAAAAAUAUUUAAUUUCAAAAUGAAAAAAAAUAAAAUAAACAAACUUACCAUGACAGCCACCCUGUCCUUGAUCCAAACCCCAACCCUGGCCACACAUGCAGGCAACUCGAUGAACACGUCUCUAGAUCCAUCGUGACCCUACUUGUCACCGUGCGAGUUCCAUCUUCGUAGUCACAAGAAAAUUAACCCCAACUACCUUGCCUCUAACUGUGUAAUCGAGAAACAUACCGCAAUUUAAAUAUACAAAAAAUGCAAAUCAACAAGAAAUGACACACAAAAGAGAUAAAACUUCUAAUCUAAAAAAUCCGUAGGGUUGUGACAUAGAAAAAGUGGGGGUGCAAGAAAAUUGGAAGAGUAGAGAACGUUAGGGAGGAGGUCGGAAUUUUUUAAUAGAGAUUAGAUUGAAAUUCCUUAAUUGGCUAACGAAGAUAAACAUGAGGACCAAAUUGUCCAAUUUGAAAACACGGGGACUAAAUUGACCCCAUGACUAUAACGCAGGGAUCAUUUUGACAUGUCAACCUAUCUAAUAUAAAUCAACAAUUAAGUGGUCUACUACAUGUAUUAGGAAUGUAAUAUUAGAGAAUAAUGUAGAUUCUGAUUUGAUCUCUUAAGGUAUCAAUCUUAUAUUAAGUGUCUUAUAAUAUAAGUAGGAUUGAUGGAGUCCUUAAUUACUUGUGAUUAUGAUACCUUUCUUGGUAGCUAAGAAAGUGGGAUUAGGUUUCCUUUAUGGACGGAAACCCUAGUUCUUAGCUUGUACAAAUACUAAGGUCCCUGCAGAUCUUAGAUACACAUAACAUAAUACUUCUCAUAAAGUAGCUGUAUCCGGCUAGGUAUUUGUAGAAGACCUUGGUUACUGCUUCAUGAUAUGAUCAGGCAAUCCAGCUUUUUCAUUUGUGUUUUAUUGUAUAACCAUAUAACUCUAACAGUUGGUAUUAGAGUCAUUGAUUAUAUAUACGAUCAAAACGUUUAACGCUGGAUUACAUACAUGAACUGCAUGUUUAAUCCAAGUUGUGAUUGCAUAUGCUUGGCAACACCACCAUGCUGUUUAUAAUUAUAUCAGUGCAAAUUGUUGAUUAUGAUCAGGUUGUAUAAUUAUUAUGUUUUAGAAAAGAUUAUCUCUUAAUGAUCUUAUGGCACGAAUUUGGAGAAGCAUAUAUACAUAGAAUUCAAGUAUGAAAUUUAAAUAAUGGUAAUGAUUGCUUCGAAUUCCAACAGUUUUCCAAAUUCCAAAUUAUACGUUGAGUAAACUGCCGAUUUCUCCCCUAAACUUUCACUUAACUUUCGAUUUCCCUCCUGAACAUUUUAGUUGGAAAAUUAAGAACUUAAACUUUUUUUUUUGGCCAAUUUCCCCCUGCUGUUAGUUUUUCAUUCAUUUCAUCCAAAUUUAUGUUAAAUGAAAGCAUGUGCACAACAUGUAAGGUAGUCUGGUCGCUUCGUUCUUUAGAAUAAUUAAAAACCCUAAAUUUGUAAAAUGUCGACCUAUGCAAAUAUGAGUGAUUCUAUAGUUUUUGUAUCUGAAAGUUUAGCAAAGUGACGCUUUUAUUCUCAAAUGAGAGUCACACGGUGUGCACAUGAUAAGAGUUAACAUUAAUUUGGAUAUCAUUUUUAUGCUGAUAGUUUAGGCUUAUACCUAUUAUAAUUACUAAUAAUAUAGGGAACUUUAACGAAAAGCACCCGGUACUGUUCACGUUAACGAAAAACCACAUUUUUACACUAAAAAGUUAAUCCUGGUACUAUUCACUUUACCCUUUAUUUUGUCCUUAUCAUUAAAACUCAAAGUUUUCAAGCCUUUUUCAUUAGUUUUCCUAAUGGUAUUUUAUGCAGGCCUUUUUUAUUGCCACUACUACAUUUCUUCUCAAUAAAGAUAUAAGUCUGAGUCUCAUUUAAUUUCCAGAAACAUCAAACAAGCACAGAACGCGUCACAAUGUUGAAGCUGGCAAAGCUUUAUGGCAACAAUAUCCACUCUGAUUUGUUGCAGAUCUUGACCGUGGAUUGUGGUAAAUGUGGCACCUCACUUCAAAUGCCAGGUCCUAAAUCAUCAAUAAUUAUAAAGAACGGUUCCAACCAAUUAUUUCUAAAACAUUAAGAGACCUCAUCCAUUUGUGACUCACAAUGUCUGAAGGGCUCGAUGCAUGUUUUAGUGUAGUUUGAUCGUCCUUGGGUUAGGUUUAAGAUUAAUUCAAGGUUAGUUAAUCAAAAUUAAUUAUACGUAUGUUUUAUCAGAACAAAGCAAUUAUAAUUGCGGAUAUGAAUUUAACCAAGUUAGUUAGAACAGUAUGAAUUUAAUGUAAACUUCAAAAUAAGCUAAUCGCGCUCAUUUCAUUUCCAAUUCUACCGCCCAGGUCUAUUAGAGUGAUGCCAUGCUCAUGAGCCCAUUUAAGUGCAAAGUUUUAUUUCAAUUUCUGACAAUUGAAUCCGACCAGUUAUCCUAAUUAACACGCAUUAAUUUUUUUUCCUAUAUGAUAUUCUAAACAAUAUAUCUUUAAUACGGAAAAGUGAUAUGAACUUGAACGACACUAUGCCUUAACCAAUUAACCUAAUGCAUUUGCAACAUGUUAAUUUUAUUAGUUUUAGUUGGCUAAGUAAAGCCACAUGCCUUAUUUGUCCAACCAGUUGUGCUAGGCCAGAAGAUUUUUCAGAACCACCAAAAUAACUCCAUCACAUGCAGCUUUGACAUGCCUUUUAACUCAUAAUGCCUCCACCUGCUAUCCUCUCAACCACCCUAUGCAACCGCAUAUUUAAUACCCCCCCCCCCCCCCCAAAAAAAAAAAAAAAUUUGUCCUCAAAUUAUCACAAGAAAUUAAAGUAAAGCAAGACCAAAAGGGUCAGUAAUUUAUUAUGUUCAGGCAUUUGAUUGAAUAAAUCAACGAUAUAACGGACAGAAUGUGUGUGAUUGUCAUUUCCUAAUUUUUAGUGUGGGUAAUUAAAUCCAUAAAACCAGUUGAUCUAUCAUUCAAUGCCUACCAGAGACUCCACCUUCCCUCUGCAAGAGGAAACUUCAAAAGGGCCAUUUUCAAAAGCAUUUUAUAAGUUCCAAUUUCACAACACAAAGCACUUCUGUUUUUCACAACAUGGAAAGCCAUUUCUUGAGAGCAGUAGCUUUUGGUUUGGUUUUGGCUUUUGCGUUUGUGAUUGGAGGAAAUUAUGCACAAGAGUCAACCACACUUGUUCCGGCAAUCAUGACGUUUGGAGACUCUGCAGUUGAUGUGGGCAACAAUGACUACCUCCCUACCAUUUUCAAGGCUAAUUACCCACCUUAUGGAAGGGGCUUUGUGAGCCAUCAGCCUACUGGGAGGUUUUGCAAUGGCUGUUGGAGAACAAUUUAGAAAUAAACAAUAUAACAGAAAUAAACAGAACUUGAAAUUCACAAUUUUAUUUCAGAAAAAGUACUUGCUAUACAGAAUGAAAAGUAUACAAUAAAUACAGAAAUUAAUAUAAGAAUAUCAACAGUACUAACUUGAUUACAGAAGGUAGAGGCUAGCGUAAAAGCUAUGUCCUUCGAACAGUAAUUCCGUCCCACUCUUGUGUUUGUGGUUCUAUAACGUCUGCUCGACCAGGAUACAACUACCUAAUCCUACAACCCGCACUGGAUUAUAGAAUUCUAACGAAUUGCUUUGUGUGUUUACUCUUUCUGAAAAGUUUGUACGGAAGAAAAGGAAAAAGAAAAGAUGAAAGAUGAUGAACUGAGGACUCCAGUUAUAUAGGCUCUUUCAUACCUCUUCAAAUACCUUUUGGAUGUAUUUGAAGCUUUACAACUCUCUACAAAAGGUUGUAUCUUUAAUCAAAAUGUUUUUAAUUAAUUUAAUUAAAAACUUAAUUUGAAAUUAAAACUAAUUGAUCAGAUUAAUUUUAAUUCUUAGGCCCCAAGGCCCAAGGCCCUUGUCUUGAUUAAUUAAUAUUAAUUUAUAUUAAUAUUAUGGUAUAAUCAUCAAGCCCAAUCCACAGAAAUGAUGGCCCAAGCCUCAAUUCUCAUUCCAAGUGGUCCAACACAUAACUAAUAUUGUAGAAGACAAAACAUAUAUAAAGGUACUUUGGAAUCUUGUUUUCACCAAUGUGGGACAAGAGUCUCAAAACUUCCAACAAUGGCAAACUGGCAACUGUCAUCACUGGUAAGUUGAAAAUUUAGCUUCCAACAAAAGUGCUUUUGUUAUUAACAAUAUUGAACAGUAAUUAAUUGCUUCUUAAUUAGCAUAAUGGGCAACUUAAUGAUGAUCUGCAUAAGAUUUUUAGUUAACAGAACUGCAAGUUUAAAUUGUUAGUGAAAUUAAUGACUGUUUGACUGUUUUGCUGCUUUUUUUUCUUUUGCAGCUCAGAAUUUAAGUGCUUUAGAUUAAUAAUAUGGUCACUUUAGCUGCAUUUGCGAUUAAUUUCUAUUAGAGCGAGCAUGUUAACUGAUGAUAUGAUAUGGUAGUUGAUGUAUUAAUUAACAGUUGUCGGUAGUAAUUGAUACAUGAUUUGAUGUAAUAAGUGCGCAUCAACUGCCUCGUAGUUCUCCAAUGUGGUUAGAGAAUAUGAUUUUUCUUGCAUUAUUCUUCGUGAUCAGUAGUUAAUUAGAAUAUCCAAGGAAAUUUAAUUGACUGGUAAAAAUCUAAUCUUAUGUCUUUAUAUAUGCAGCCGACACUUUGGGGUUCACUACUUAUCCGCCGGCGUAUCUUAGCCCACAAGCAUCAGGGAAAAAACCUUCUGAUCGGAGCGGGAUCCCUCUUAUACCACAUUAUUCUCAUGGUUUUCCCUUUCAGCUCAGUGUAGUUCAGACAAGCCAUAGCCUUGGAUGCUGACCAAAACAGACCGAAAGCUUGUCAAGAAAUCAAACGUUCUACGAUAAUCAUAAUAUAAUAGAAAUAACACUAAAGGAUAGGUCGAUUACUUGCACCCCAAGUAACUUCGGACUUCUUGUUUAUCAAAGACUGUCGUGGAUGGGUUAAGUCCACAUAAGGUUCUUUUUUUAUGCCUUGAGACCAAGAACUUUUAAAUGAUCAAUCUUACAUGCCCGAGGGCUUAGAACUUAGAUCUGAUUCAAUCUGUGAAGAGAUAUUUAAAUCAGAUUCAAGAACUGAGGAGUCUUUUUAAUCAUCAACUUGCCAGAAAUAACUUGGAUACAACUGGAAGUAUACAACAUAUUGCUAGACUACUGAAUAAAAAGAUAAAAACAAAGAGGGUCGGGCAAGGUUUCAUAUUGUCGGGCAAGGCUGAUCGUCUUGCAACUUCCUAUCUUUGUGGUUUAUCAAGGGGUUUGAGCUUAGAAAGAGGGGUAAGGAGAUGGGUUUACAAAAGGAAAUCGAUACUACAGCAAGUUCUAGACAAGGUAGCAGAACUAUUACAAAGGCUUUGGUGAAGGUUGAUCUCGAAAGGGAUGAAGAAUUGGGCUGACUACAGCUUUGUUGAAGGAAAAUCUGGUUUGAGCUAAGUUUGUGCUUGUAUUUGUUUGUUUGAUUGAGUGUCCUUAUCUCUGAUUUCUCUUUCUUCUAUUAUAGACACUUCAGCUUGGCCUCCUGUAGCAGUAAUCUUGCCCGAAUGCAACUUGAAGGGCAAUGACUCAUCAGCUUUUUACUUGUACUGCCACUGUAAAGUGCUUUUGGGCUGAUUAGCUGGCUGGUCUAUACCACUUGACCUCUAAGUAGGUGAGCAAGUGGUUCAAAUGGUCUGCACCUAGUCAGAAAAGGGUCUCUCCUGCUUUCUGGGCUUUGGCUGGGCUUCGGACUUUUCUCCUUCUAGACCUUUUUCUUUUGGGCCAACUCCUUCUUGAGCCCAAAGUUCAAGUUUUAACCCAAACAGUAAUAAUACAACAAAUGAUCAAUUAUACCGAAAAAGAAAUGAUACGAAUUAUGCUGGAAGACUUUCAGUCAUCAUAAUCAGUAGUGUUAAAUGAGUUGAGCUGCUCAUUGCAAGGAUUUAUCAAACAACAACUUAAGAGGAUCAAUUCUAGAAACUUUGUCACAACUGCCGACGUUAAAUGUCUUGUAAGUUAUUUUGUUAUAUAUGUGUGUGUGUAUUUUGUUAUUGUCUUAUCGCUUAUUUACGCAUUUGAAACUCAAUACGAGUCUUGCACCAUGUAAUUGAAAUUGUGUCACUUAACUUCCUAAAACUCAACUUCUUUUUCACUUUCCCACAUGCUGUCAAAGUCUGUUAGAAACCCCAUUAAAAUUGGUGACAUGAAACAAAUAGGACCCAAAUUCGUAUCAACCUUUUUUAACAUUCCGAAUAACUACCCAACCGAUUGAAAAUGUCACAUAUGUUAAGUCCCAGAUAAUUUUUCCAUUAAAUAUACAUGUGGCCAUAUUGGGUCCAACCUAUUGAAAAUGUUACAUCUGUCAGGCCCCAAUUAAUUUUUCCAUUAAUCCUAAUCUUGUUAUAUAUGUGUCCUCAUUUAGAAAGCAUGCUAACUAUAUAUGUACUGCUUAAUCUUGCAGAAAUUUGGAGAAUAACAACCUCACAGGCUCAAUUCCGAUGGUACUCAUUGACAGAUGGAAGGAUGGUUUACUAUCAUUAAGGUGCGCCACUUUUUGUUUUUUUAUAGCAGAACGAGGAGUUCGUUGAAGGAAAAUAGAAAAAACUACAUAUUAAAAUAGAAAAAAUAAAAUGAAAACUAAUGAAAAGGGUUUGAAAACUUUGAGUUUUAAUGAUAAGAACAAAAUAAAGGGUAAAGUGAAUAGUAUCAGGAUUGACUUUUUAGUGUAAAAAUGUGAUUUUUCGUUAAAAUGAACAGUACCGGAUGUUUUUCGUUAAAAUUCCCAAAAAUAAAUACCCGGACAGCAGUAUGUUUUAUACAAAAGUACUGUUUUUUGUUUGAACAAAAGUACUUUGAUGGCUUAAUUGGAGAGAGAGAGGGAGUGAGAAAAAAUAUAAAAAAUAUAAACAUGUGCGUGGAUGAUUUUGAGCUCAGACCGACUAAAACGUAAUCCACCAGUCUUUCUUGGUUUUUUUUUUUUAACUUCUUUCUUCCUAGAAAUUUUAAAUGAUGUGGCAUUCCGCAGAAACUUGAUUUUUAGAUAUAAGAACAUGUGUUACAAUUUUUAUUUGGGAAUUAUAUUAUCUUUGACCAUAAUUGAUUAAACAAUAGAAUAUCAUUUUCGUAUGUCAGUUUGUGCGAAAUCCAUGUCAAAAAUCCAAACCUAUCCGGAAAUGUUUCUUGCAACAAGAAGAAGAACAGGAAGUAUAAUUUUUUUGUUCCGAUGAUAAUUGUUUCGGUUGAUGCACUAGUGUCAGUCCUCUUACUCAGUGCAGCAGCUAUCUGGUGUCGGGCUGCUUCUAAAAGGAAAAGGCAACUUGGUAAGAUUCCAUAUUUGUUAGUGUCAUCUUCUUCUGCAAUAAAUAAUCACAGACAGAAGGUUUUGAUUGUAUAAGAUGCUUAUGAAAAAUGUUAUGAUUGUAGGAAAUAGCACAGAUGCAAAUGUAACCAUUCAGCAUGGGUCAUUUGAGCCUAAAGGGAGACAGUUUACGUACUCUGAUAUAGCACAGAUUACAAAGGGGUUCAAGAGGGUUCUUGGAAAAGGCGGCUUUGGAACAGUUUAUCACGGCCACAUUGACGACACUCAGGUGGCUGUCAAGAUGCUUUCACCGCCAUCAGUUCAAGGGUUUCAGCAAUUUCUCACAGAGGCAUGUCUGUCAUAUUAAAUAAACUGAUCCCACUGUUUUUCAGAUCAAUAUUAAUCUUAUCAAAUUGCAUGUAGCGUUUCUGACCUACUAAAUUACAGGUUAAUCUUCUUAUGAGAGUUCAUCAUAGAAAUUUGACAAGUCUUGUUGGAUAUUGCAAUGAUGAAACCAACAUAGGGCUGAUCUACGAGUAAAUGGCCAAUGGAAACCUACGAGAACAUCUUUCAGGUUUGGCUGCAAAUGAAAUUACUCAGUACUAAAUUUGCCAUUCAUUUCUUAAUUAACUAGUACUUUUAAAUUCUUUGGUAGUCCUUAAUUUGAUAAUUCUAUUUUCCUGGACCACCUGACUUUAUAAAAUAAGAUAGUUAUAUCUUUUUAUGUACGCAGGUAGCAGAUCAAAUAUCUUGAGUUGGAGAGAUAGACUUCAAAUAGCAAUAGAAGUUGCACAAGGUCUGUAUAACAAACCAAUCAUAUUAUAUAGACACAAAAAUGAUACGCUUAAUAUAGGUGCGUCCAACAUACUGUGGUACGUAGGGCUGACCUUUAUUAGAGAGUAUGUCAGCAACUUUUUGAGACUUUGAGUUUUAGGAGCUUAAAUAGUAAAUACCAAUCGUUAUUGAUAACGAAAUGGUAUCUACUUUUGAAGUUGUGUCUGAAUAAAAACAGGACUGGAGUAUCUGCACUAUGGCUGCAGUCCGCCUAUAAUCCACAGGGAUGUGAAAUCAACAAACAUCUUGCUGAAUGAAAAAUUCGAAGCCAAACUCUCUGAUUUUGGCAUAUCCAGAAGUUUCCCUACAGAGGAUGGAACGCAUAUAACAAAAAAUGUCGCUGGCACUCCCGGGUACCUUGACCCUGAGUAAGAGUUCUUUUCAUUUAUUUGAGGCAUCGUCUGUGUCCUUAUUAUAGAUGCAAACAAUUAUAAAUAUAUAAUUAACAAGGAGAAUGAAGAAAGAAACUAUAAAUCAUUUUGGAAAACAUUUUACAUUGGAUGAUAUGAUUUGAGAAAUAUGGUUUGGCUUGCAGGUAUUACGCAUCAAAGAGAUUGAAUAAAGAAAGUGAUGUUUAUAGCUUUGGGAUUGUACUGUUGGAGAUUAUCACAAGUCGACCUGUUUUUUCUAGAACUCAUGAGCGGAGUUGCAUUAGUGAAUGGUUCAGUUUCAUGCUUCAAAAAUGAGACAUUUACAGUAUUGUUGAUCCGAGGUUAGAAGGAAAAUUCAAUACUAACUCAGUCUGGAAAGCUGUGGAAAUAGCAAAUGCAUGCGUAUCUCCAAUUGCCAUCAAAAGGCUAAGCAUGAGUCAGGUAGUGGUGGAUCUAAAGGAGUGCUUGGCAACAGAACUCGCUCGAACAAACCUGAGGCAUGAAACUGAAUUAAGAAAUUCCAUUGCUAUGCUACAACCCUCAGUUAGGUAGUAAUACUAAAUAUCUCAACCAAAUAAAGAGAUAGUUUGGGAUGCAUUAUUUUCCUCUUUGUAAUAGAUACCAUAGUAUUUCUUAAGGACUGCAACUAUUUUAUAAUCACGUGAAGUGCAUCUUUUCGUGAGAAAGGCGAUAAUGAAGAUGUGAUCUAAACAACUAUUAUGUUGUUUGCCAUUGAAGGUCCUAGCCAUUAAGGAUUAAGUUUAAAUCAACUUCAAGUAGUUAAUGAUUGGUAUCUAGAGAGUUUAUCUAGAUGUUCAUUUUUCUAAUUAAACAAUAAUGUCAAAUCCACUUUAGCAUUGCUAUCAUGAAAAGAUAAUGUUGUGAAUAUAUUGAUACAAAAAUUAUAGGUACAAUAACUUAGGGGUACAGCCUUAUCCUAACACAAUAUCAAUAAGUUCACAGGAGUUUGGUAAUUAUUACUAAGUAGCUCCUAUAAAUACUUAUAAAUAUCGGAUCCACAGCCCGACGGUUGUUAAGAUCUUUAUCCAAUGAUUUGAAAUUCGAACGUGGGGUACAUAGAAGUUCAUGAAACUAUUAAACUUCUCCAGCAUAUGAAAAAAUACAACAGGUUACUAAUUUUGCAUUGAAGCUUCUUAUGUUAGUUUGCAAGAGAAAUCCAAACACAGAACCUAAUACUUUCUUCAAAACUUUCCACUUAAACAGUUAAAUUCUUUCACUUUCGUGACUUUGACAAUUUGAAUGUGAUUUAAAGAUUUCCGAGAGCUCAAGUGCCAGUCCGUGAGUUUGUGGCACAUGCAACUUUGUCAACCUAACUCUUGCCCUUUGUUUCGAUACUGCCCUAAACCUACGGUCCAAGUCUUCAACUACAAAUGUUUUUACUUGUCAACCUAACUCUCCCCCUUUGUUUCAGUACUCCCCUAAACCCACGGUCUCCAAUUCUUCACGUUCAAAUGUUUCUACAUGUCAACCUAACUCUUCCCCUGAAUGCAAACAAGGGUAUGACCACUCCGAUGUAGGUGCCUCAUUAAAAUCUCAUCAAGUUAGCAAAAAUUACCAAAAAUUACUAUUUGCCCUACAAACCAAAAUUCGUCAAGUAAAUGAAUUUUACCCAACAAAAUUUUGGUUGGCAAAAACUGGUCAACAUUUAGGUUUUGUCAGAGACUUUGCGUGACUGAGUGAGUCGGUCGGGCAAGAAAGCUUUUGUCGGGCAAACAUUUUCCGCGAAGGGAAAAAAAUGGCGCGUGGUGUGUGAAAUCUUCCCCGAUGAAUCAUAAAAGGAUCCAUUGCACAAAGGUUUAAUUAGGUUUUGGAGUUUAGGAUUUUGUUUCAUCUCGUAAGUGGUAUACCCGUCGAGCAAAUUGAGUGAUAGGGUUGGUAUUUUAAAUUCCUUCAAUGAUUAACGCAUUCUACGAAACUAGUUUGCACGAUCCAAUUGACAAGUUUGUUUGUAUAUACUUCGAGAUCUGAUAACCUAUAAAGGAACACACAACCAUGGGUAAGCCCAGGACCGGGGGUGUGCCAGUUCAAGGCUCUACAACGAUCAAGUUAGUAAGAAAUAUUAAGACGCAAGCAAUAGGCAAGAUAAUAAGUGAGUAGUGAUUGUGUUACCAGAGAGGAAGCCUAGAAGGGUGCACUUGUAACAGUCAAGGAGAGAACCUUUUAGGAUAAUAGAAUCCAUAUUAAACCGGGAGAACCUAUGAUGAUAUCAAAGUCAAUGGACCUCACCCACUGAUUCCGAAGUAGGACGAUAGUAACAUCGUUGAUCCUUUUAGUCAACUCCGCUGUGGAGGCUAUUGAGUCCAUGACCGGACUUCUGAGGCAGGCGAAUUACUAUCCGUCUUACUCCGAUCUUGGAAAAUCAUGGUCCCACAAAUGCCCCUAACUAGACAUCAGAAAGGAAUUGUUCCCCUUAAUUACAAAGAUCAUGCACUUCGGAAUAAAUCAGAAUACAUACUGCUUUCUUCUUUUCAGCUGUGUGGCGUCUUAACUUCGUUUCUUGUGAACUUUUGUAGCAAUAGAAGCUGCACAAGGUCUACAACUAAACGAUCUUCAUAAUCUUUUUUUAAUUAGCUAGCAUCUCGUCUCUAUGUUCUUCUCAAUCAUCUUUGGCAAGUGAUGUCUUAAUUUAUAAAUGCAGGAUUGGAGUAUCUGCACUAUGGUUUUAAGCCACCUAUAAUCCACAAGGAUGUGAAAUCAUCAAACAUCUUGCUCAAUGAAAGUUUCCAAGCCAAAAUAUCUUAUUUCUACAUGUCCAGAAAUUUUCUUACGGAGGGCGGUACUCAUAUAUCGACUCGUGUUGUUGGAACUCCAGGGCACCUUGCCCCCGAGUAAGUAAUUUUUGUUCUCAGUGCUUGUUUGGGAGUCGCUUCUAAGUGUUUGGCAAAUAUUUAAAAUUUCUUUAAACAAUUCCUAGACAUUAGAUCAUUGUGAACGGUUAAGAUUAAAAGCCUUGUAUUGUCUGCUAAAUAGAAAAUAUGGUAGAGGAUCCAGAUAUAGAGAGAAUGAUAUCUAUAUCUAUAUAUACCUUAUUGGAUUAAGUACCUAAACCCUCCUCCAAACCUUUUAGUGUCAUUCCAAAUUGGAAUUAAUUUUUUUAAACAUUCCAAGCAAAUACCUAACCUAUUAAAAAUGUCACAUCCGUCAAGCCCCAAUUAAUUUCUCAAAAAUAGAUUCUAUUCAACCACCACUUUGGUAUAUCAUGAACAAUAUUAAUAUUAGUUGCCUCAAAAUCUAAAUUUCAAACAUAGAUUAUAUAAUAUGGAACCCAAUGAUCAAAUAGGUAUUGAAUUGAAUUGGAAAUGGACCCAAAUCGAAAUUACAUCAGGAGGACAAUCUCUUAACAAAGAAGAGGGUAAGAAUUCAAAUAGGGUUUCAAGGAGUUUGUUUAUACUCACAUGAUUUCCUCUUUUGCCGAUUCUCGGCUCGUAAAGCUUCUAGUUCUUCUUUGUGGGUGGUAAAAAUCGUGGUGUUGCAUCAUUGCCAUGAUGCAACCUCCAUAACCUUCUUCUCGAGGUUGGCGGCUUGAGUAGCAGGGUGAAGUUGAUGGUUUUGCGAUGGGUGUAGAGGUGAUGGCAUAAUGAGGGUGGUGGUAACCAUUAGUUGGUGGAGGCUAUGCUUCCAUGACCUUCUAUUGAUUUUGGAGACAAAGUAAACCUUGUUAAUUUAACAGAGUUUUAACUGGAACUUAACGGAUGUGACAUUUUCAAUAAGUUGGGUACUUGUUUGGAACGUUUAAAAAGAUUGAGACCAAUUUGGAAUGAUACUAAAAGGUUGGGGGAUUUUAGUACUUAAUCCUAGUUUUUUUCACCUAUCAUUAUAUAUGGCUAUUCAUAAAACAUUCAUAAGAUAAUGACUUGGGUUGCAUGGUCUAUAUUGCAGGUACUACUUAUCAAACAGGUUAAAUGAGAAAAGCAAUAUCUAUAGCUUUGGGGUUGUGCUGUUGGAGAUUAUCACUAGUAAACAUAUUUUUUUAUCAAAAACGCAUUAUCACGUUAGUGAUGAUGUCUAAGGUGAAAUCAAUCUCUAUGGAAUUGGAAAGUCCCUCAGUUAGAUAGUACAAGUAGACCUAUCUUGAUAAAAGAGAAAAUUGUAACAAUGGUCCUUCAACUUUAAUCUGAUUGGAGUAAUGAUCUCUUAACUAAAAUUCGUGAUUAUUUGUCCCUUAACUUGUCAAAAUGUACAACUAUGGUCAUUUUCGUUCACUUUAUCAAAACUUUCAUCAAAAUGAGUCAUAUGUCACACACGUGAGGCUGAAUUAAAGGGGAAAAUAUAGAAAACCAAAUUAGAAAGUACUAAUGGUCCCUCAACUUUAAUCCAAUUGGAGAAAUUGUCUCUCAAGGUUAACCUAAUUGGAGCAAUGGUUCCUUAAUUUUAACUCAUGUAGCAACGGUCCUUCCACCAUGACUCAUUUUGACUAAAGUUUUAACGGAGUUGACGAAAGGACCAUAACUGCACAUUUUGAUAAGUUAAGAGACCAAUAAUCACGGAUUUUUAGUUGAAAGACCAUUACUUUACAUUCUCCAUUUUAUUGCCCGAGUUAGCCCGCCUUUGUGUCACGGGCCUGACCCUAUGUCUAAGUCCAAUAGCGACUAACAUGUUCUGAGCCCAGAGGCCAGCUCGGCCAAUUUGUGACCAUCGAAAUUAUCUUUUUCUUCUUUUAGCUUUAGUGCAAUGUUUUUGGUAUAAAUGUUGCAUUUAUCUAAUAGACUUAAAUGUCAAAAUGGUUCAUGUGUUAUAGUCAUUUGGCUAAUUUAGUCCCCAUGUUUCUAGUUUGGCCAAUUUAGUUCUCGUGUUUAUCUCUGUUAACCCAUUAAGAACAUUCUGCCCAAUCUUUGUUAAAAAUUUAACAAUAUUGUAACCUAUUAUAUAAAAAUAUUCUCAAUUAAAAUAGAAAAAUAUAUAAUUUCAAAAUGAGAAAAAAAAAUUAAACAAACUUACCAUGACAUCCAACUUGUCCUUGACCCGACCCCAACCCUAGCCACACACAUGCGGGCAACUCAAUGAACACGUCUCUAGAUCCACCGUGACUCUACUUGUCACCGCGCAAGUUCCAUCUUCGUAGUCACAAGAAAAUUAACCCCGACUACCUUGCCUCUGACUGUGUAAUCGAGAAAAAUACCGCAAUUUUCCCUUUCUCUUUAUUUAAAUUUAAAUAUAAAGAAAAUGCAAAUCAACGAGAAAUGACACACAUAAGAGAUAAGACUUGUAAUCUAAAAAAUCCUUAGGGUUGUGACAUAGAAAAGAGUGGGGGUGCAAGAAAAUUGGGAGAGUAGAGAACGUUAGGAAGGAGGUCGGAAUUUUUUAAUAGAGAUUGCAUGGAAACUCCUUAAUUGGCUAACGAAGACCAAAUUAUCCAAAUUGAAAACACAGGGACUAAAUUGACCUCAUGACUAUAACGCAUGGACCAUUUUGACAUGUAAACCUAUCCAAUAUAAAUAAAUCAACCUUUAAGUGGUCUACUACAUGUAAGAGGAAUGUAAUAUUGGAGAAUAAUGUAGAUUGUGAUUUGAACUCUUAAGGUAUCAAUCUUAUAUUAAGUGUCUUAUAAUAUAAGUAGGAUUGAUGGAGUCCUUAAUUACUUGUGAUUAUGAUACCUUUCUUGGUAGCUAAGAAAGUGAGAUUAGGUUUCCUUUUUGGACGGAAACCCUAGUUCUUAGCUUGUACAAAUACUAAGGUCCCUGCAAAUCUUAGAUACACAUAACAUAAUACUUCUCAUAAAGUAGUUGUAUCCGGCUAGGUGUUUGUAAGACCUUGGUUACCGCGGCCUCCACCCUCUCCGUUUAGCCUUCAAUGGCUACCGCUUCAUGAUCAGGCAAACCAACUCUUUCAUUUGUGUUUUAUUGUGUAACCAUAUAACUCUAACAGUUGGUUCAGAGCCAUUGAUUAUAUAUAUGAUUAAAACCUAUUAGGUUUAACGUUGGAUUAUAUACAUGAACUGCAUGUUUAAUCCAAGUUGUGAUUGCAUAUGCUUGGCAACACCACCAUAUGCUGUUUAUAUCAGUGGAAAUUGUUGAUUAUGAUCAGGUUGUAUAAUUAUUCUGUUUUAAACAAGAUUAUUUCUUAAUGGUCUUAUGGCACGAAUUUGGACAUAUUAAUAAAAAAAAUAGCUAUAAAUCGUGUAUCAAUCCUAGAAUCAUACAGGAAUUUGGAGAAGCAUAUAUACAUGUGUGUAUCGUGCUAUUAUGUAAGGUUUUACUGUAUUUUGCUGUGGGAUCUAAACAUGGAGUUGAAGUACUAUAGAAUUUAUAUAUAAUAUUUUUCAUAGAAUUCAAGUAUGAAAUUUAAAUAAUGGUGAUGAUUCCUUCGAAAUCCAACAGUUUUCCAAAUUCCAAAUUAUACAUAGAGUAAAUUGCUGAUUUCUCCUCUGAAUUUUCACUUAACUUUUGAUUUUUCCCCUAAACUUUUUAGUUGGAAAAUUAAGAACUUAAUCUUUUUUUUUGGCCAAUUUCCCCUGCUGUUAGUUUUUCAUUCAUUCCAUCCAAAUUUAUGUUAAAUGGAAGCAUGUGCACAACAUGUAAGGUAGUCCGGUCACUUCGUUCUUUAGAAUAAUUAAAAACCCUAGAUUUGUAAAAUGUCGACCUAUGCAAAUAUUUGUGAUUCUAUAGUUUUUUUGUAUGAAAGUCUAGUGAAGUGACGCUUUUAUUCUCAAAUGAGUCACGUGGUUUGCACGUGCAGGGCCGGCCCUGAGAAUUUAGAGGCCCUGUGCAAGAUUAAGAUGGAGGCUCUUCAUUUUUUAAUACUGUAUUUUCUUUGUUAUUUUUUUUUAAAUUUGUAUCUAUAAAAUUUAAAUACUACAAAUUAGAGCACCACUUUGAGUGGACAAGAGUGUUUUCUGUCUUGAAAGGUCUUCAAUUCGAAAUAUGUUGCACGGUUUUUUGUGUAAAACUUAACAACUUUUUAAGUUAAUAAAUUUGCAAAACUUAAAAAUAGCAAAAUAGUUCUACAAGGACUCAAACCCGGGCCAUGUACAAGAAGAUUGAACGCCUACACCACUAGCACUGGUGUGGUGAUUAUUAUUAGGAGUAAUUAGGUUUUCAUCCUUAUUUUUACUACUCUAUUGAUUAAAACCUUAUUACUUUUCAAUUUUUGAUCAAGGUCCUUUGUAUUAAUAAUAUCAUUAAUUAUUUCAAUAAUAAAAUAUUUUUUAUUUCUAAAUAUAUUCAUUUAAUAUUAAAAAUGUUACAAUUAGUAUAUUUAUACUUAUGGCUAAAUUUUUUAUCAUAUAUUUUUAUUUUUAGUUUGUACCCAUUUUUAAUUUGCAACCCUUUUUUAAUUUGUACCAAUUUUCCUUUCAGUUUUAAUUUGUACCCAUAUAUUAAAUUCUUUUUGUGCCCAUAUUUUUUAAAGUUUUAUUUGUAUUGUACCCAUAUUUUUUUAUUUAUUUGUACCCAUUUUUAUUUUUGCUAAAUGUACCCAUUUUGAAGAAUGUACCCAUGUUUUGAUACAAUAAUUUUUUGGUUAUUUUUAUGAAUGUACCCAUGUUUACACACACACACACACACACACACACAAUAGUAUAUUUAUAUUUUAAUAUUUUUAAUCCCACAAAUUAUGGUUUUUUAUUUAAAAUCUCAUUACUAUAAACAACUAUAAAUUUUAAUUUUUAAUUUAAAAAAUAUAGUAACGUACAUAGAAAUAAAUUAUCAAUUAAUUUCAGGGACUUGGAUCAAAAAUUGAAAACCAAUAAGGUUUCAGUCAAAGAUUGUUCAUAACUAGGGACCGCAUCCAAAGUCUCCCUUAUUAUUAUCUUGCACAUUUAAGUAUAUAAUAGUAUAUGUUUACAUGUAAAGAAACUUUGGGGAUCCUUCCGAAUUGGGGGCCUUGUGCAGUGGCACCUUUUGCACACCCUCAGGGCCGGCUCUGUGCACGUGAUAAGAAUUAACGUUAACUUGGAUAGCAUUUUUAUGCUGGUAGUUUACGCUCAUACCUAUUAUAAUUAUAUAAUAAUAUAUGGUUAGGUUGAUGGCAUUUUUAUGCAGGCCUUUUUUAUUGCAUAUAAUAUGUUUUGGUCGAACCACCAAAGUCUGGAGGUUGCUAGUAUUUUGAUCAAGCAAGUACAUGUAAUUUUUUAUAGGCAUUUAUGUAUAUAGGUUGUCCCUACUACAUUUCUUCUCAAAAAAGAUUUAAGUCUGAGUCUCAUUUAAUUUCCAAAAACAUCAAACAAGCACAGAACGCGUCGCAACGUUGAAGCUGGCAAAGCUUGAUGGCAACAAGUAUCCACUCUGAUUUGUUGCAUAUCUUGACCGUAGAUUGUGGCAAAUGUGGGACCUCACUUAAAAUGCCAGGUCCUAAAUCAUCAAUAAUUAUAAGGAACGGUUCCAACUAAUUAUUUCUAAAACAUUAAGAGACCUCAUCCAUUUGUGACUCACAAUGUCUGAGGACUCGAUGCAUGUUUUAGUGUAUUGUGAUCGUCCUUGGGUUAGGUUUAAGAUUAAUUCAAGGUUAGUUAAUCAAAAUUAAUUAUACGUAUUUAUUUUGUUUUAUCAGAACAAAGCAAUUAUAAUUGCAAAUAUGAAUUAAUCAAGUUAGUUAGAGUAAUAUGAAUUUAGUGUAAACUUCAAAAUAAGCUAAUCGCGAUCAUUUCAUUUCCAAUUCUACUGCCCAGGUCUACUGGAGUGAUACCAUGCCCAUGAACCCAUUUAAGUGCAAAGUUUUAUUUCAAUUUCUGACAAUUGAAUCUGACCCACAAUUCCUAAUUAACGCGCAUUAACAAAUUUUUUUUCCUAUACGAUCUUCUAAACAAUGUAUCUUUAAUACAGAAAAGUGAUAUGAACUUGAACGAUACUAUGCCUUAACCAAUUGACCUAAUGCAUUUGCAACAUGUUAAUUUUAUUAGUUUUAGUUGGCCAAGUAAAGCCACCUAUUUCCAUGCCUUAUUUGUCCAACCAGUUGUGCUAGGCCAGAAGAUUUUUCAGAACCACCAAAAUAACUCCAUCACAUGCAGCUUAGACAUGCCUUUUAACUCAUAAUGCCUCCACCUGCUAUCCUCUCAACCACCCUAUGCAACCGCAUAUUUAAUACCCAAAAAAAAAAAAAAACGUUUUGUCUUCAAAUUAUCACAAGAAAUUAAAGUAAAGCAAGACCAAAAGGGUCAGUAAUUUAUUAUGUUUGGGCAUUAGAUUGAAUAAAUCAAUGAUAUAACGGACAAAAUGUGUGUGAUUGUCAUUUCCUAAUUUUUAGUGUGGGUAAUUAAAUCCAUAAAACCAGUUGAUCUAUCAUUCAAUGCGUAACCAGAAACUUCAAAAGGGCCAUUUUCAAAAGCACUUUAUAAGUUCCAAUUUCACAACACAAAGCACUUCUGUUUUUCACAACAUGGAAAGCCAUUUCUUGAGAGCAGCAGCUUUUGGUUUGGUUUUGGCUUUUGCGUUUGUGAUUGGAGGAAAUUAUGCACAAGAGUCAACCACACUUGUUCCGGCAAUCAUGACGUUUGGAGACUCUGCAGUUGAUGUGGGCAACAAUGACUACCUCCCUACCAUUUUCAAGGCUAAUUACCCUCCUUAUGGAAGGGACUUUGUGAGCCAUCAGCCUACUGGGAGGUUUUGCAAUGGCAAACUGGCAACUGACAUCACUGGUAAGUUGAAAAUUUAGCUUCCAACAAAAGUGCUUUUGUUAUUAACAAUAUUAAACAGUAAUUAAUUGCUUCUUAAUUAGCAUAAUGGGCAACUUAAUGUUGAUCUGCAUAAGAUUUUUAGUUAACAGAACUGAAAGUUUAAAUUGUUAGUGAAAUUAAUGACUGUUUAGCCGCUUUUUUUUCUUUUGCAGCUCAGAAUUUAAGUUCUUUAGAUUAAUAAUAUGGUCACUUUAGCUGCAUUUGCGAUUAAUUUCUAUUAGAGCGAGCAUGUUAACUGAUGAUAUGAUAUGGUAGCUGAUGUAUUAAUUAACAGUUGUCAGUAGUAAUUGAUACAUGAUUUGAUGUAAUAAGUGCGCAUCAACUGCCUCGUAGUUCUCUAAUGUGGUUAGAGAAUAUGAUUUUUCUUGCAUUAUUCUUCGUGAUCAGUAGUUAAUUAGAAUAUCCAAGGAAAUUUAAUUGACAGGUAAAAAUCUAAUCUUAUGUCUUUAUAUAUGCAGCCGACACUCUGGGGUUCACUACUUAUCCGCCGGCGUAUCUUAGCCCCCAAGCAU
RNAcentral lists this long non-coding RNA (107949 nucleotides) under Malus domestica (apple). RNAcentral describes it as "long non-coding RNA (MDOM_LNC008208)". Lineage: Eukaryota; Viridiplantae; Streptophyta; Magnoliopsida; Rosales; Rosaceae. The record is from RNAcentral.